Molecule: long non-coding RNA, 123344 nt
Filed under: Gossypium barbadense (sea-island cotton)
Lineage: Eukaryota; Viridiplantae; Streptophyta; Magnoliopsida; Malvales; Malvaceae
Description: long non-coding RNA (GBAR_LNC013892)
Source: RNAcentral
GAGAGGACCUGUAAAUGAAUUACCCUUCAAGAUGAGAUCUUCUAACUUUGUGUUGUUUUCUAGCAACCAAGUUGGUACAGUUCCACUGAGAUUGUUAUGCGAAAGAUCCACAUAUCUCAAGUCAUAUUGGUAGUAAAGGAAGGUAGGAACUUUACGACUGAGUUGUUGAGAUGUUAUGCACUUUAGCAAACUGAUGACUUCCAAUUGGAACUUUGGGAUUGAGGUAUAAAAGGAAGGUUCCAAUACCAUCUUGUUUUCAUUAAUCGAAAGGGCUUUGAGGUUUGAAAGGUUUGCAAAUGGUGCAAAUGACAGCGGAAUUUGAAAAUGGUUUCUUGAAAUAUCUAACUCACGAAGAGAUGUCAAGUUACUAAAACAAUGAGGAAGCAUCCCCUCAAGUGCAUUCUCACUCACAUCCAACACUUCAAGGUUCCUAAGAUCACACCAUCCUGAAAAUUUUAUAAAUAAAUUCAUGGAAGAAGUUUCAAUUAAAUUUUGCUUUAUAAAACAGAAUAGGAGAUAAUAUAUUACAGAAAGCUCAUAAAGAAAUCAAUUUGAGCCAUAAAAUUAUUUACCUUGAUUAGGUAAGGGACCAAUAAGUCCACAAUCAGAUAAAUACAAUGUUUUAAGAGAAGCAAAUACUCCAAUGCUUUGCAAAAUGUUGGUGUUGAGAGUAGAAUAGUCAAGAUAUAUUUCCUCCAAACUGCUCGACACAUUUGAAUCUAAGCAAUGUCAAGAGGUAUUAGAUAACGGUAUUAUAGAAAGCCUCUACUAAGCAGAAUGCUUUAUUUUCUGUGAAUGAAAUGAAGUAUAUAAAUAUAUAUAUUUUUUAUGAAUUAGAUUAUUCAUGAUUUAUCUGAGAUAAAUUUUGAUAGAGAGAAGAUGUUGAAACUUUAAUAUAACUCUUUAUCCAUUUUAUUAAUUAUACUAUUUUUUUUCUUUUUAUAUUUUCUUAUAUUAUUUUUUAAUAUAAGUAAUUAACUGAUAUAGCUAAGUUGUAUAAUUUUCAAACUCCAAUCAACAACACUAUAAAUAAUAUUUAUAAAAUAAAACAUGUCUACACUAAAUGUAUGUUUAAAUUUCAUAAAAUUGAAGAUAUUUUUAAAUUAUUCAAAAUUCACAUGUCUACACUAUAAAUAAUAUUUAUAAAAUAAAACAUGUCUACACUAAAAUUAGUAUAUUACCUUUAAAGAUGCCAAUAGUAUAUAAAAAAAUCAAAUAGGUAUUUUACUCACCAAUAAAUAAAACUCAAAAGAAUUAUAAGUAAACUCAGCGGAUUAAAUGAAAAUUUUAAAGCAUUAAAUCUUGGCCCAAAAAUAGAGUUAAGUUAAAAUUCAAAAUUCAAAAUUAUUUUAUUAAUAUUGUUAAAAUUAUUUUAUUAAAUCCAUGUUCAUUACGUCAUUUUUUUAGUUACAUUGUUAUCAAGUUUUUUUUUAUUUCAAAAUGUCACACCAACAAACUAUUUUAAAAAUUUAACAAUUUUAACAAUUGAACUAGGAUUUUGAAUUUUUUUUUUUUAAAAAAGAGGGACUAAAUUCUUGAAAAUAAAAGUAUAAGAAUUAAAUUACAAAUUAGUAAAGAGUACGUAGACCAAUCAUAUUUUUUUAAACCAAAAAGUUAAAAACAUAUGCACUUUGAAAUUUAUAAAAAGAUUGCAAUGGAAGUUUAAGCACCUCUAAAUGUAUGUUUAAAUUUCACAAAAUUGAAGAUUUUUUUAAAUUAUUCAAAAUUGACAUUUAUUUAUUUUUGCCAAAAAAAUGCCAUUUAUUUAACUCUAAUAUGUAUUUUUAUGUUUUAUACUAUUAAAAAUAUAUGAAAUUAAAAUAUAGUUAUAUUACAUAUUUUCUCAUAAAUAUAUGUUUUUUAUUUAUUUAUAAUAUCAUUGUUUUUAUUGUUAUAAUUAUUUUUAUCUAAUAAAAAUUCAAUAAAUUAUUUAAAAAAAUAUUUAUACAAACAAAAUAAUUAUAAACAUUAAUAUUUUAAAAUGAUGAAAAUUUUAAAGAAUUUUAGUUUCAAACCAAAGUCGAAACACAUUAUAAUGGAGGAUUUAGAAAAUGUUUCACCAAACCCAUAUUUUACUUUCAAGUAUGAUAUGAUAUAACUUUAUUAAUAUUUAUGGCAAUAACCGUUAUUAUAAUAUAUGAGAUCAAAAUUAAAUUUCUAAAUUAAAAAAAAAAGGAAGUUUAAUUAAAUGCAUCCAAAUCUAGGAAAACAAAAACAACAAAUCAACUUCAUUAUAUUCUCUUAAAACAUUAUUAUAUUCUUGUUAAAAAUCUAAUAUUUUUACCUUUCAUAUCUAUUGAUCCUUUCAAUUCAUUGAACCUUAUGCUCAAAGAUUUCAAAUUUGAAAGCUUGUUAAGGGAUGCAAAUACACUAGUAUUGAAGUGGUUGAAAUCUAAAUUAAGCUCUUCCAAGUGGGUCAACUCCAAUUUUCUACCACCAUCUACAAAAGAUUUAUAUAAUUUCAUCACUGAAAUAAAUUGGCAUAAAAUUUAAUUAUAUGUAAGAAUUUAGAUAAUUGGUUAAAUAUAAAUGCAUACCUUUAAAGGAUUGAAAGCUUUCAAUUUGAUUCCCACUUAAAUCGAGUUUCUUCAAAUUUGUUAAAUUGCUCAAUCCUAUACAUAUUCACGUCCAAUUCAAAAAAUCAAACCACUUAAUAUUUUAAUGAAAUAAAAAUGAAAAAAAGUAAAUCUAAAACUUGAAGUGAAGAUGAAAAUCCUCAAACGUGAAAUGUGAAUGUUCAAAUUUGAAACAAUUAAUUUUAAAAGGUUGUAGAAAGAAUUAUCAAGAAAAAUAAAGUUAUAGUUUUAGUACCUUUAGUAUCUAAUGAGCCUUGCAAAUCGUUGUCGGACAAAGUCAGAGACUUUAGGCUUGAAAGCCCUUCAAGAGAGGAAAUUGUGUUGUUCCGAAAGAGAUUAGUACUUAAAACAAGUUCCUCCAAGUUUGUUAGCCUCAAUUGCGUUCCAUCUAUCAUUGGAAGAAAAUAAUGAGUAUAAUUAAUAUCAUUCAAGAAAUAGUUAGGAAAAAUGAUUGUUUGAGAAGGAAGAGCCAAUUUAGAAGCUUUCCCAUGAAUUGAUAACUACAUUUUACAAGUAAAACUUAAUUGAUUCAAUAUAUAAAUACUUUGUUUGAGAUACCUUCCUAUUUUGAAAUUCAAUCCCAAAUAUUGAUUACUUAUAUAUAUUCAUGAUAUGAUAAAAUCAAACUUGAACAUACAUUGAUUUUUAAAGUUAAAAAGAAACAGGUAAAAUCAGUCUACCUUGAAUAUGAUUCAAAAUAUAUUUUUAUUUAUAAUAUCAUUGUUUUUAUUGUUAUAAUUAUUUUUUAUCUCAUAAAAAUUCAAUAAAUUAUUUUAAAAUAAUUAUAAACAUUAAUAUAUUAAAAUUAUGAAAAUUUUAAAGAAUUUUAGUUUCAAACCAAAUUCGAAACACAUUAUAAUGGAGGAUUUAGAAAAUGUAUCACCAAACCCAUAUUUUACUUUCAAGUAUGAUAUGAUAUAACUUUAUUAGUUAUUAUAAUAUUUGAGAUCAAAACUAAAUUUCUAAAUUAGAAAAAAAAAGGAAGUUUAAUUAAAUGAUACCUUGGUGGAUCACAAAAUUUUUCAAUUCAUUGUCGCUCAUAUAUAGUUCCCUUAAGUUGAUAAAUGCAUCCAAAUCUAGGAAAACAAAAACAACAAAUCAACUUCAUUAUAUUCUCUUCAAACAUUAUUAUAUUCUUGUUAAAAAUCUAAUAUUUUUACCUUUCAUAUCUAUUGAUCCUUUCAAUCCAUUGGCCCUUAUGCUCAACGAUUUCAAAUUUGAAAGCUUGUUAAGGGAUGCAAAUACACUAGUAUUGAAGUGAUUGUAAUCUAAAUUAAGCUCUUCCAAGUGGGUCAACUCCAAUUUUCUACCACCAUCUACAAAAGAUUUAUAUAAUUUCAUCACUGAAAUAAAUUGGCAUAAAAUUUAAUUAUAUGUAAGAAUUUAGGUAAUUGGUUAAAUAUAAAUGCAUACCUUUAAAGGAUUGAAAGCUUUCAAUUUGAUUCCCACUUAAAUCNNNNNNNNNNNNNNNNNNNNNNNNNNNNNNNNNNNNNNNNNNNNNNNNNNNNNNNNNNNNNNNNNNNNNNNNNNNNNNNNNNNNNNNNNNNNNNNNNNNNNNNNNNNNNNNNNNNNNNNNNNNNNNNNNNNNNNNNNNNNNNNNNNNNNNNNNNNNNNNNNNNNNNNNNNNNNNNNNNNNNNNNNNNNNNNNNNNNNNNNNNNNNNNNNNNNNNNNNNNNNNNNNNNNNNNNNNNNNNNNNNNNNNNNNNNNNNNNNNNNNNNNNNNNNNNNNNNNNNNNNNNNNNNNNNNNNNNNNNNNNNNNNNNNNNNNNNNNNNNNNNNNNNNNNNNNNNNNNNNNNNNNNNNNNNNNNNNNNNNNNNNNNNNNNNNNNNNNNNNNNNNNNNNNNNNNNNNNNNNNNNNNNNNNNNNNNNNNNNNNNNNNNNNNNNNNNNNNNNNNNNNNNNNNNNNNNNNNNNNNNNNNNNNNNNNNNNNNNNNNNNNNNNNNNNNNNNNNNNNNUAUACCAAACACAAUUUUUAUUAUUUGAUUUAAUAACUAUAUAUUUAAAAAAAUAUUGUCUUUAAUUAAAUUAGUUUUAUGUAAUUGCCUAAUUCUCCGAAACGAAGAGUGUAGACAUAAUAAAAUUAAACUCUAGUCAAUUUCGGUUGCCUAUCAAAUCGCAAAGGUUCCCAAAGUCAAUGUGAUUGCCACAAAAUUAGUACAUUAUUUUUCCACAAAACUAAAAUCUUGUACACCAUACAAACUUUCCGUCUCAAACAACCAAACACAGACUUAGUUGGGUAAGCCUAAAACUUCCUUGAAUAAAACAAAAAAUCUAGACCUAAAUUUUCCAUUAAUAAAAACAAAAUCAAGAGUCAAGACUUCAACUUUUUCAUGAAUUAAAACAUUCUACUUACAUUUUAGGUAUCAAAUCUCAAAAGUUGAUGUUGAGUUCGAAAUGUAAGAAGAGCAUACUCCAAUUGACUUGGCUAAAGCAGGUUUGGCAAGGAAUUCAUUGUUUUGAGCAUAUUGGUAACUUUGUUUUGGUUUUGUUGUUAUGCUCUAUUUUGGCAUAGUUUGACUGCUGUUAUUUUCUUGUUUGAACUGGCAUGGGUUGGGUGAUCUCAACUCCUUUUCUUAUAAUCAAUUGACUGAGCAGAAAAAAGAAACAACAUAUAAAUGAAAUUUAGAAGAAAACCACAUGAAGAAUUUUACAACACAAAUUACAGGAUUUUAUGUCUAUUUCACACUUUUGAUAUCUUUUCGAACAUUAGAUUUGGAAUCGACGCAACUCAUGUUUCAAUUCUUUUUCUUAUAUAAUUAUUGAUUUUAAAAAUUCCAAUUGUAUACAUAUAAAACCAAUCACAAAACUAAUAGUAUUAAUAGACAAAACGGUUUCAGGGAAAAGCAUUAGAAGAUAAAUAUCCAUAUCUCAAUCUUUCUUCGCUUCUUCCCUUAUAGAAUUGAAGAGUCUGGAAAUGCCAUAAUUGGUUAUGUUAAAAAUGACAGUCAUAAUUUUAAGUAAUUUUAAUUUGCCCUUAAUUUCAUAUAAAAUCUGUCGAAACCUUCUUUUUUUUAAAACGGGUCGACUUGAAUUUUGAAAAAUGAAAAAAAAUGGGAGUCGCCACCAAUCUUUUUUAAUAAGGUGUGAUCGGGUCACCUCGAAAAAUAGUUAUUUUUAUAAAUGAUUUGAUUUAUUAAAACAACAAUUUUGGUCCAUAAAAUUCAGAAAGAUGAGUUCGGAAGUCAGUUACGUACGAUGAAGAAUUAGCACCCUCGUAACACCCAAAAAUUGGUACCUAGUUGAUUAAUUAGUGUCUUAAUGUCGAAAGUUAAAAACUCAAAAAGAAUUGAAAAUACGAUCCUUUGUUAAAAUAUUAAAAAUUUUCAAGAAAGGGGCACAUUUCACGUUAAUCGAGAAAGAGAAUUACGUCCCGUAAGUUAUGACAUAAUGUCUUAAAUUCCCGAUACGAGAAUAAAUGCCGAAAAAUUUACUUAUUUGAAAGAUAUUUGAUUAUCUCAAUUUAUUAAAAAAGAUCAUAUUUCGUAAGUUAGAAUACAAUCCUUUAUUAAGUCCGACAUUAUUAAAAAUUUAUGUCUAAAAAGGUUCGUGUAUUUGGAUUUGUCGAGAAAAUGAAGCCCUGUAAGUUAGGGUACGACCUUUUCAAAUCAAAAUACGAAGUUUUAUUUAUUUUAAAGUCAUAAUUUAUGCAUCGAGUAGAAUUAACGUAACAUAAAUCGAUAGAAAUAAAAUACGAUGUUGAUGUGCAUAACGGAAUAAUAAAUGCAUUGGUACGAAUGACAAUAAAAUAAACAAGCAAAUAAUAAUAAACGAAAUGACAAACAAAUAAUGAAGAUAACGGACUAAGAAUUUAAAUUUAAAAAUUUAAUAUUAUAGAAAUAAUUAAAUAAAUGUUGUAAGGCAAUUUAAGAAUAAUGAUGAUGAUGAUGAUGAUGAUGAUGAUGAUGAUGAUAAAUAAAUAAACUAAAGUUUUAAAAUUUUAUAAAAAAUAUAAAUAAAUAGGGGAUAAAAUAAAAUAAAUGUAUUUAAAUUAUUUAGGUAAAUAAAUAUAAAAAAAUAUAAUAGAAAUAAUAAUAUAAGAAUUAAUUAAUUUAACAAUAUGGUAAUAAUAAGUAUAUAAAUCAGAAAGGGUAAAAUAAUAAUAAAGAUAAUGAUAUUAAAAUAAUUAAUUUAAUAAUAAAAUAAGAAAAGGACUAAAUUGGAGUUUAAACGAAAAUCAGGGUAAAAAUCGAAAGUAAAAAAAUAAGGGAGAGGGCCCAAUUGAAAGGCGCGCAUAACCCAAAGGGACCAAAUGGGGAAAUAUCCCCGCCCUCCGAAACACACCAUUUUGCUAGGACUAAAUCAGAAACAAAAUAAAAUUUGAAGUAUCAAUUGUAAAAUAAAAAAAACUGAAUUAAAAAAAUAAAAAAUGCUGAAGGGCUAAAUGCGCAAAUUGCCCACCAAAGCAAAACAAGCGGAUCCUUCUCUUGGGUCGGGUUGACACGCGGGUUGAAGGCCUUAUUACGCGUUGUUUUGGCCACUGGAGUUAAGGCUCAAAACAGUGUCGUUUCAGCCUUCUAUAAGACCAAUUCUUUUUUUGCAAAAUUUAAAUUCUCCUCCUUUCUUUAAAAAAUCGUAAAAACACUCUCAAAACCUGCCUUCUUCACAGGAAUUCGAACAUGGCUUGGGUCGCCGGAUCACCGCGGCGGCCGCCGAUUGCCAGUGACGGUGCCAUCGCCCACGGCGGCCGAAAAAUCAAAAGAAGCUUAUUUUUUGAGUUUUUCAAUUUUCCAACUCAAAAAACACCGAUUUUCAUCAGAAUCGGCGAACCUCAUGCAAAAAGGUACGUUUUUUAUUCCCUUUUCCCUUUUUAUAUUUUUUUCUUCUAAAAAAACAAAUAAGAACGAAAGAUAAAAAAAUAGAAAAAAUAAGAAAAAUGAAACUACCUUUGAAAAUCUACUGAUUUUUGUAUUGAUUUUUUUGUUCUUUUUGAUUGAUUCGUAAGGUCCUAAAAUACAGGAAUCGGGGACCUUUUUAUAGCCCGAAAAUAUCAUUUUUUUCUAUUUUUUCUCUCUUCUCUUAUUUUUUUACACUAUUAGAUUCUUAUCGUUCAUUUGUUUUACAGGUACAAGGCCGUUGGCCAGCUAGCAUACGAAGGCGCACGUGGGGAGGUGGUUGGAGGUGCGGUGGCUGAAAGCUAUUUGGGUAGGGUUUUUGUUUUUUUUUUUUUUUUUGAAAAUGUAAUGGGUUUUGGGCUUGGUUGUUAUUUUUUGGGUUAGAAUUUGUGAUUUGGGUUUGUAUUAGGCUAGGGUCUUGGUUUUUAGUUUGUAAAUGGACUAUUUGAUUCUUGGACUUUUUAUUGGGUUUGUUUUGUUUGGUUUAUUUUUAGUGGGCCAGGCGAAUCGGGCCUGUUAAGCUGUCCCUCUUUGCUCGUUGUCAUGUAACGAGAAUAGAACAAAGACUUUAAAAGGGCCGAUUUUGCUUGGCCUCUUGGUGCUCAUCUUCUUCAUGUAGCUUCUUUCUAACCCACUGCAGCUUCAAAGAGAUGAGGUUUGCAAAUUGUAGCUUCAAUAUGUUCCAUUGCAACUUCAGGGAAGCAAAAAUUAAUAUGUUUAAUUAUAAUGAUUUAAUUCAUCGUUUGCUUAUUACAUAAUAUUAAGUUAUGUUAAAUUUGUUUUUAUUAUAUAUUUCGUUUCUAACUCUUUAAUUAAUUUACUAGGAGAAACUAAAGGAUAAAAAGGCGGAGUAUGAAGCGAUUGCCUCGAGUGAUAGUUUUGUUAAUGUCGAUGACAUUGAUAAUCAGAUUAUUACCUGAAGUUUUGGGUCCUGAGCGGUAUGGUCGGGUUUGAUUUCAAGGUUCUUUUGUUAACCCAACCUAAUAUUUUGGAUCCAGCUUGCAGCAAUACAUGCCUUCGGGGAGUCAGGCUCAAGUUGAAGUUCAGAGGUUAAGAGACCAGCUGGCUUAGAUGCAAGUGACCACAAUUGAGCAAAUUACUCAACUUAAAGCGGAGGCAGCAUCAAAAGAAGUUGAAGUUCAAAGAAAAUAUGAAGAACUCCAGCUACAACUUAAAGCAGAGGCUACUGCGAGGGAAGCAAAGGUAGCAGUGAGGGAAGCAGAGUAGAGCAGAAAGUACGAUGCACUCCAACUACAGCUUCAGAAUAUGAUGAAGAUGUUUCAGCAGUCGCAAAAUUUGCCAUAUUAGACUAUUGUAUGAAUAAUUUUAACAUUUUAACUUUUAACAUUAUUGUAAGAAUAAUGUGAAUUAUACUUCAUUUAUCAAUUUAUAUCAUAUAUUUUGUUAAAUUUGAAGUAUAAUUUAGAUUUGCUGCUUUUGGUUGGUUUCCAUGCUACAGAAGGGUUGCAUAUGGAUAAAAAUUGGAUUUUACAAAUUUUCCAAACUUAGUGGCAUUUUUAGUAAAACGCCGCUAAAGAACGGUACUUUUAGCGACGUUUAUGAAAAAAGCACCGCUAAAGGUCAUGAUCUAUAGUGGCGUUUGUGAUAAAAGCGCCUCUAAAGGUCAUGACCUUUAACGGCAUUUAUGUGAAAAAAUGCCACCAACAUUACCUGACGUGGUCUAUAGUGGUGUUUUUUGUGGUGCUUCCACAAGCGUCGCAAAUACUUUUAGUGGCACUAGAAGCGCUGCUAUAGGCCUAAAAAAACACCACUAAAAGCUUGUUUUGCUGUAGUGAGAUGACAAUGCUUGUGCUCACUAAAACUCCAUCAGCCAAUGAGCCUCUACACACCAUGUGGGGAUAUAAUCAACCCACUCAUCCCUACACUCCAAGUAGUACUGAAUGCGGCAUAAAACUGUAGUUUGCAGUUGAGCUGCCAGUAAAUUAGGCUUAAAGCCUUUCAGCACAUUUCCUGCAAAUAACGACCCCCAAUCCAAUGCAAUGCAACAUACCAUGGAUGAUAUGCUAUUAUGCAAUUUCAGUACAUAUGUAUAAGUUUAGAUAUUAACAUGCUCAGAACAAAUAUCAUUCAGUCAAUUUCACACAUAUAGGGGUCCAAGUAGCGCUUACAGACCUUAUAGUAGGUUCAUAGUCGACUUGGGCAACCCAUGUAACCUUAGAAAUAUUUUGGUAAAAAUGGGCCCACACAUCUGUGUGCCCGCGUGGCCACCCGACCCAAAUUGGCCUUGGCCGUGUGAUCCAUUUUUAAUGUAACUCAUGCUAGCUAAAUAUUCAUAUAUGUUUCCACUAUUUACUAAUAUGAUCAUUCAGAGUUGUCUACUUGAGUCAUUGUCACUAAAUUAUUUAUAACUUGAGCUACAGAAUUCAAAAUUAAGAUCUGCUUGAUUUUCUUGAAGCAUAGACUCACAUAUCUUCUUACCUUAACAUUUUUAGAAUUUUUGGUUUAGCUAGUAAGUAUAGUUAAUUCUUCAAAAUUAUCCCUAUUCUACCGUCUGACAAUUUCGACCCUUCUUUUCUAAAAAUUAAUUAUCUCUUAGUACGGGAUUCAGAUGAUGUUAAGGUUUCUUUCUCUUGAAAUAUACUCAUUAAGAAUUUUAAUCAUAUAAAUUUUAACCCAUAAUUAUUUUUAUACAAUUUUUAAUGAUUUUCCAAAGUCAGAAUAGGGGAAACCGAAUUCAUUCUGACCUUGUCUCACAAAUUAUAUUAUAUCUCACGAUUUACAAUUAUAUUACUUACACCGUUUCUCUAUGAGAAACUAGACUCAAUAAGUUUUAAUUCCAUAUCUUUUCAUCUUUUAAUUCGAUUUUCACAAUUUAUGAUGAUUUUUCAAAUUUAGCCCACUAUUGCUGUCCAAACAGCAAGCAAUUUCGGCUUUUCGUCGAAUCUCAUUUUCUACGUUUCGAGUACACACCUAGUAUAGUUUCUAAUGUGUAAGCACUCCUAAGCCUCCAGAACCUAAAAAUCGACCAAAAAAUCUCCAGAUUAAUCACUUAAUUCAUUUUUAAUCAACCAAUUUUGGAAAGAACUCAACUAAAAACCUAACAAACACUUACCUCGCUUGAGUAAUCACAACUUCGUACAAUCACAGCAUCGAUUCAGAACCACCAGCCCCUUGACAACUCCUAAACACCAAAAAGGAACCCUUCUUUCAGAGAUUAACCAAGAACGAUUAAUAAUAGACAAAAUCGUUACUUACUGAACACACACAACCAACGAUGAACAACUAAAUCAAUUGGAAAAUAAAGAAAGAAAUGGAAGGGAAAAAAUAAUGGAAAUUUUGGCAACAACUAGAAGAAAGAAUCGGUAGAGGAGGAAAACUGAAACUCUACUAGGAGAAAGAAUCCACCAAGGUAUCAUUUAAUUAAACUUUCAUUUUUGUUCAAAUUUUAGAAAUUUAGUUUCAAUUCUUAGUAAAGGUUAUUGUGAUAGAUACUAAAAAAAUUAUAUCAUUUCAUACUUGAAACAAAUGGGUGGAAAAAAAGAAUUCAGUUUAAAAAAAAAUUAAGAAAUAAGGGUUUGGUGAAAAGAUCUUCUAAAUCCUUAUAGUGUGUUUGGAAUUUGGUUUGAAAAUCAAAUAAUUUUUAAAAAUUGCAUAAUUUUAAAAUUUUGGUGUUUAUAAUUAUUUUGUUUGUAUAAAUAUAUUUCUAAAAAAUAAUUUAUUAAAUUUUUAUGAGAUAAAAAGUAAUUAUAAAAGAACAAUGAUGUUUAAAAUUAAAAAAUACAUUUAUUUAUGAAAAAAUAUGUACUAUAAAUAUCAUUUGAAUUUCAUAUAUUUUUAAAAUAAAACAUAAAAGUACAUAUUAGAGUUAAAUAAAUGGCAUUUUUUGGCCAAAAAUAAAUAAAUGACAUUUUUGAAGAAUUAAAAAAACCUCAAGUAAAUGAAAUUUAAACAUAGAUUUCAAGGUGCUCGAACUUCCUUCUGAAACUUUUCGUAAAAUUCAAAAUGCAUGUGUUAUUAACGUUUUUGAGGGCCAAGAUUUAGUGCUUUAAAAUUUUGAUCUAAUUUAAUGAGUAGAGGUGAGCGUUCGAUCGAAUCGAAUCGAAUGAAAAAGUUUUGAAUUAAUCGAGUUGACAAAUCCUAUUUUAUCAUCCUAAGUCGAUUUAAAAUUUUCUCGAAUCGAGUCAAAUGAGAUGGAAUUCAAAUUGAAUAUAUUUAUUCGAGUUAAAUUAAAAAAUGAUUUUGGUGCUUUUUAUUUUUAUGUAAUUUUUAUUUAAAAUAUUUUUUAAAAGUUUUUAAAAAUGAUCCUACAAAGAAAAUUUGUAAUGAACAAAUAAAAACAAUCAAUGAAAAAAAUAAGAGGAUUUUGAUUUUAAGGGGUAAAGGGGGAGAAAUAAUAUUUUUGGGGGGAUUUUGAUUGUUGGGAGUAAAAGAGAAGGGAAAGCAAAAAAUUUUGGAGGUAAGGGGGAUAAAAAAUUUGGGGAUUUGAUUUUUGGGUUAAAAGGGGAGGAAAAAAAAAGAAAUUGAAGAGAAGAGUUGGUGGGGUAGAACCGGGGUUAAUAUUCAGUUUAUUCGAAUUUGAAAGCCUCAGCUCGAUUCGGAUGUGAAAUUCAAAAAGAAAUGUAAGUUGACUCGAUUCAAAUAAUUCAAAAUUUAAAUUUUUUUCAAGUCAAAUUAAAUUUUGCUCACCCCUACCAAUGAGUUUACUUGUAGUUUUUCUUGAAGUUUUAUUUAUUGGUGAGUAAAAUAUCUUUUACCAUCUAUAAAUUAAAUGCUAAAUUGAUUUCAACAUAUUUGAUUUUUUUUAUAAUGUAUUGAUAAAUUUAAAUGCAAUUUAACGAUUCUAUUCUAGACAUGUUGUAUUUUAUAAAUAUUAUUUUAUGGUGUUGUUGACUCGAGUUUAAAAAUUAUGCCAAUUAAUUAUAUCUAUUAAUUACUUAUAUUAAAAAUAUAUAAUAUAAUAAAAUACUAAAAAUAAAAAAAUUGUAUAAUUAAUAAAAUGAAUGAAGAGUUAUGUUAAACAUUCAACAUUCACUAUUAAAAUUUGUCUUGGUUAAAUUAUGGAUAAUCUAAUUUAUAUCUUUCUUUUCACUCUCAGAAAAUAAAGAAAUGAGAAACUUCAAAAAAUAUUUAUCUCAAUGACGUUUUUACCCAUGGAAGCAUUUCACUUAGCAGAGGCUUUCUCAUUAAUUAUCACUUUCUUUCUACAAUAAUAUUGUUAUCUAAUACCUCUUGUCAUUGCUUAAAAUCAAGUGUGUUGAGCAACCUAGAGGAAAUAUAUCUUGACGGAUCUAGUCUCAACACCAGCAUUUUGCAAAGCAUUGGGAUAUUCGCUUUUCUUAAAAUUUUGUCCUAAGAGUGGAUUUAUUGGUUCACUACCGAAUCAAGGUAAAUAAAUUUAUGGCUCAAAUUGAAUUCUUUAUGAGCUUUCUAUAAAGUAAUAUCUCGUAUUAUGUUAUUAAAACUAAAUUUAAAUAAUAAAAAAUUUUCACGAAAUUUUAAAAUUUUCAGGAUGGUGUGAUCUAAGGAAUCUUGAAGUAUUGAACGUGAAUAGGAAUACACUUGAGGGGACGCUUCCUCAUUGUUUUAGUAACUUGCCAUCUCUUCGUGAGUUAGAUAUUUCAAGAAACCAUUUUCAAAUUCCCGCUGUCAUUCGCACCAUUUGCAAACCUUUCGAGCCUCAAAGUCCUUUUGAGUAAUCAAAACAAGAUGGUAAUGGAACCUUCCUUUUAUACCUCAGUCCCAAAGUUUCAAUUGAAAUUCAUCAGUUUGUCAAAGUGCAUUACAUCUCUCCAACUCAAUCUUGAAUUUCCGACCUUCCUUUACUACCAAUACGACUUGAGAUAUGUGGAUGUUUCUCAAAACAAUUUCGGCGGAACAGUCCCAACUUGGUUGUUAGAAAACAACACAAAGUUAGAAGUUCUCAUCUUGAUGGGUAAUUCUUUUACUGGUCCACUCUCAUUAUCGUUAGCUCCUAAUUCUAAUGUGUCUUUAAUUGACAUAUCCCAAAACAAAUUGCAAGGUCAGAUUCCGAUUAGUAUAUGUCCAACUUUUCCACAUUUGAGCCUAUUAUUCUUAUCCAAGAAUGCCUUCGAAGGUGAUAUCCCUCCUUGUUUGAGUGGCAUGAAGGAUUUAUGGAUUUUAGAUUUAUCAAACAAUCAAUUGUCUGGAAGAGUACCUGAAGAGUUAAUCACAAAAAGCUCGUUGACCAGUGAUUCUCAAUGCAAAUGGGUUGUUAAAAUUAUAUUUGGAUGGAAAUAAUUUUUCUGGGGAGAUGGCAAAUGUUGAUGUCUCCAUUUCUGAGUUUCCAACUUCACUAAGGGAAAUCAAUCUCGGAAAUAACAAGUUUUAUGGAAACCUCCCAAGAUUGAUAGGGAAUGUGCCAUUUUUGGAGAAAUUAGCUUUGUCUGAAAAUGGUUUCGAGGGUUCUAUUCCGAUGGAAUUUUGCAACUUGAAUUACUUGGAAUUUUUGGAUCUCUCUGAAAACAAUUUAUUUGGCUCUAUACCGACCUGCUUUAAUCCCCCAGACAUAAAGCAUGUACACCUGCACGGGAAUAGACUAAGUGGCCCACUACCAAUUGCUUUUUAUAAUAGCUCUUCACUGGUUACAUUAGAUCUUGGAGGAAACUGUUGGUGUUUAAAGGCAGUAGCAAGCUGCUUUGUUCUUGCUUGGAUAGCAAGGCUCGAGACUUGCAGAAGAAACAAGUGAACAAAAACAGAAAUUUGCAAGUGAAAAACAGAAAUGAAAGAGAAAUUUUUUUAAUGAAAAACCAGCUGAAUUCUUCAUUAACAAAAAGAAUAAGGCAUUAAGCCAUUACAUAUACAAGUCAACUUGUAAAGCUAACAAGUUAUCACCUAAUCAACUACCUAACACCACUAAAAUUACAUUGGAAAUUGUUAAUCAGCUUGCUUAAGUUACUUUGCUGAUUUUUCAGUCAAUCAAUCAACAAAAUUACAUCAAAAGUUUACCAACUAAAUUCUACAAGAACUGAAUUACAAAAUACAAACUUAAUUCAACACAACUAGUUGAAUUUGAACAGCAUUGUCGAGUUCAAGUUGCUGCCUUCAAGUGCUGCUUCUUUCCUGCAUGUGACUUGCAUGGAAGCUAACUUCAUCAGAAUCAAUUUGAUUGGUAGUAUUCCAAAAUGGAUUGGCACACUUUCUUCAUUGAGUGUCCUUCUCUUGAAAGCUAGUAAUUUACAUGGUAGAAUUCCAGUUCAAUUAUGCAAGUUGUAUUCCUUGAGCAUGAUAGAUCUAUCUCAUAAUAUGUUUUAUGGUUUUAUACCUUCUUGUUUGGGAAAUUUAACUCUUAAAACGAAAUACCAGAAGACUUUGACAUCAUAUUCUGAGGCAAGUGAUGUAUUGGAAGACAUAUUACCAUACCAUAAGGAAACACGGUGGCGUGGGGAUGACUUACAAGAGUAUCCUGAAACCUACAUGGAAGAAUGGGUACAGUUCACAACAAAGAGUAGGUCCUACUCAUAUGGGGGUCUCAUCCUUGAGGACAUGACAGGGAUUGAUUUAUCUUGCAACAAGUUAACUGGACAAAUCCCACCUGAACUAGGAAACUUGAGUCAAAUCCAUUAACUGUCGUACAAUAACUUAACAGGAGUUAUACCCUCAUCAUUCUCAAACCUUAAGCAGAUUGAGAGUUUGGACCUUUCUUACAAUAGCUUGAGUGGUGAAAUCCCUAAUCAAUUGGUAGAAUUGAAUUCUUUAGAGGUUUUCAGUGUGGCACGAAACAAUUUGUCAGGUAGUAUUCCAGAACCAAAAGCUCAAUUCGGAACCUUUAUUGAAAGCAGUUAUGAGGGAAACCCUUUUCUCUGUGGUGCUAUACUGCAUAAAAGUUGCUCCAGAAUCAAUUCGCCAUCAACAAUAUCAACUAUAUCAGAUGAUAAAGGAGAAGAUGGUUUGUUUGAUACUUAUGAUUUUUGUGUGAGUUUUUUUAUUUCUUAUGUAGUUGUGUUGUUGACGAUUUUUGCGGUCCUUUACAUAAAUCCAUAUUGGCGAAGAUCUUGGUUUUCUUUUGUCGGAAAAUGUAUCACCACCUGUCGUUUCUCAAUUGGAGGCAGCUUUCUUGCGUAUUACAUCUUCAAGCGAUGUGUUUAACUAUCAUGAAGAUUUAUGCAAAGUUUGUUCAUGUUGUCUUCGGAAAAAAAUUCUGCUAUGAUCUUUUAUAUCAGGUGAGCACCUGAUUGUUUUUGGUGCUAAGACGGAUUUUGUUUAUUUUAUAUUUUGAUUAAAGCUUUUAUCUUUGUGUGAAGGAAGCUUAUAACCUUUGUCUUGUCGGUUAUUGUGGUAGACAUGUAGUCAAUUAAUUAUAUUCACUCUUCUAUCCAUCUCCAAGUUAUUUGGUAUUAAAUAUCUUUUUUAAAUUAUAUUCUGCUUUAUUAAAAAAAAUUCAAUAUAAAAACCAAGUUUAUAUCUUUUUCAAAUGCUUCUCUCUAUGCAUUUAUGACAUGUUUUUCGAUAUAAAAGUUAUAUACACAAGCAGAUAUUCCUUGGGUUAAAACAUGUAGCGGUCCUACUCUUUAGAUUUGCUAGGCACCCAUGCAUACAUAUGUAGAAGUAUUUGCUUUGGGAUGUAAGGUGGUGAGACUAUCAUCACAGCUUUGCUUAAGACUAAUAUUGUGAAAGAAUUAGAUUCUUGGAUCCAACAGUAAACAGAGCGGAUCAACUUAAGUUAAUCCUACUCUUCAUUUUUAUAUCUAAUCAUUUACGAACAUGGAUAUGAGAAUAUAACUGAGUCCAAGUAACAUUGUUUUUAAUCAAGGGGGGUUGGGUUUGAGUGGUGGACCCAUUUUUUAGAUGUAAGAUGAGUUUAUCAUUUUCAAAUUUGUUGAUAAUCCUUCAUUUAAUCUGCAGUGAAGUUGAUAGAUAGUCUUAAGAUACUGCCCCAAGAAACUAGAUAUAGUAAAUGUUGGUGUUGGCUUUGGGAUUAAAAGGUUGCCCCCUCAACCUUGCCAUAGAAGAAGGCUUAAAGUCUUCACUUGAGAAGCAGCCCAAAUUUGAUCUCCCACUUGAUUUGUAUACAAUUAUUUACUUUGGAAAAGUCUUUUAAUUGAGGGUUUCAUUAAUUUGUAAAUCUUAUCAUACGGCGUUGAUGUCGGAGAAUGUAGGCAUUCUGUUAAACCUCUUAAAUUUAGUGUGUGUUUUCCUUUAUUAUUUUAUUUGUAUUUAUCGGUUGUUCUGUUACGUUUUAAUAUUCAAUUAUGAUUUGGUGGGUUAAUCCGUUGUGUUGAGUAGUUUCAAUUUACUUUUGGUUCAUUAUUGAAGUUACAUUCUGCCUUAUGUUGCUAACAUUAUUAAUUCUCUAAUAUUUAAAAAUAAAAAUAAAAAUUAUGUGGUUAUUAAAAUUAUAAUACUAAAUUGAGAAACACAAAUUAAUACUUAAUUAUAAAAAAAAAAUGAAACCCACAAGAGUAUACGUAUUAAUUUAUUUUUCUCAAUUUAGCAUCAUAAUUUUAAUAACCACAUAAUUUUAAUUUUUAAAUGUUAGAGAAUUAAUCAUGUUAGUUAUUUUAAUAAAUCCAUAAAAGGAACAAAAUAUAUCAAAUUAAAUAAUAAAAACUAAAAUUUUAAUUCAAUUGAGUAAGACUAGGGAUUAAAACUGUAAAUUGAUGUAUAAUAAUUUUUCAGGCAUUAAUUAUGAGAUUAUUUCCGUGAGGGGGGCCUAUAUAAGCUCAAGGUUGAUGUAAAAGUCAAUAGUCAACAUUUGAAAGUUAAUACAAUGAAUUAUGUGACUGUUGAUAUAUGUAAUAAUAAUUUCUUAACAAUUUCCUCCAAUUUUCAUUAUUAUUCAUUAUUUGUUUUACUCAUUAAUGAAAUUUGGUGUGAAUACAUUAAAUUGAAGGUCAUUCAAGGAAAUGGUAAUGUCCAUUUUCCACGCGACAAAAACUUUCUUGGUCAAACAAGUUGGAUUUGGCUUCUCCAAUAACUUAAUAAUCUGUACUAAAAUUUUCCACACAAUAGAAUACGAACUCGUUCUCGUAAAUAUUUUGAAAAAUAAAAUAAUAUUAUGAGUUAACGAAUUAUCAAUUUAAUUAAAAAAUUAAAAGAUACAUUUUUAAAAUUUUAUGAAAUUAUAUGUUAAUAUAAUUAUAAAAUUAUAGUUCUAACUUUAUAAAAUUUAUUUUUUAUCUUUAAUCCUGAAGAGAGACAAAUUAAGAUAACUAUUCUUGGGGCCAUAACGACGACUAGGAUUAUGAUUGCACAUUUUCUAAGUCUUCAUUUUUAUUAAUUAGGAAAGAUGAUGGGCAUCUCCACUAAAUUUCCACCCACAAGAAUAUACAUAUUAAUUUGUUUUUCUCAAUUUCCAUGAGGGGGACCUAUAUAAGCUCAAAGUUGACGCAGAAGUCAAUAGUUAACAUUUGAAAGUUAAUGCAAUGAAUUAUGCGAAUGUUGAUAUAUGUAAUGAUAUUUUCUUAACAAUUUCCUCCAACUAUUUUGUAGACGGUGCUAUAUUACAUCACAAUGGGUGACCAAAUAUAUAUAAUUGAGAUUUUUAAGCAAAUAUUAUAUUUUAUCUUUAUCCAUGAAUAGUAUAAUAAUUAGGAUUAAUAUUUGGUACAUUGUUAGUGGAGUUUUUAAAUUCCAUAAGGAGAGUUAAAGGAUUGACACGUAUCCUAUAGAGGUGUAGUAUAUAAUAUUAAAAAAAUAGAUAUUUUUAAAAAAAUAGACACAUGCCAAUUUUUUAAUGUUGCUUGUGGGGUGCACUUGAAUUGUGGUUCAUAGAAGGAAAUUAUUAUAUAAAGGUUUAAUUCUACAAUAGUUCUUGUACUUUACUGAAGUUGUAGAUUUAAUUCCUAGACUUUAAUUUGAUAUUUUAGAUAUUUCUUAAAUUCAUUAAGUAUUUGUUAAAUUCAUUAAGUUCUACUAUUUCAAAAUUUGGUGUGACAAACAUAUUAUCAUAUGUGUAAUAUCACUAAAAUUCAAAACAAUGAGAAAUUUGUACAUAUUAUCAGAUGUCAAUAUCAAGUUGAACAUUUCAAAAUUUAAAGUAAUGGUGCAAGUCUUUAUCUUUCCAACAAACCAGAAUUUUCUACAUGAUGGCUUUUUUUUUUUCUUUUUUUUUCUUUUUGCUAUUAGUUAAGAGGAUUUUUUUAAAAAAUAACCCAAUUUAAUUAACUAAUUACAAAAAUGAUUCAAGUAAAACUCAAGUCAUAUUAAAAAUAAUUAUUUAUAAAUUUUAUGUUUCAAAAACUAAUGAAUGUUCAAAGAAUAGUGAAUUAUUAAAGAGAAGUUAUAUGAUAAUUGAUAGUUUUAAAGUAGUGGUCUAGUAGAAAUAAAUAGUUUUUUAUAAAAAAAUAUUAUAUAAAUAAUUAAAUUUUAUAGUUACUCCUAUUUUUUAAAAAAUAGUGAAUGUAAUAUUUUUUUAAAAUGUUAAAUUAACUCAUGAUAUUAAUUAAAUCAAGAAAUUUUAUAAUAAUAGAGAUGAAAAAAACUAAAUUUUCAAAAUCAAAACCUAAAAUGUGCAAGAAUAAAAGCAAAAUCAAAAUCAAAGAAGUAAAAUUUCCAUGAAUGAAACCAAAAAUGAAGACCUAAAUUUUCCAUUAAUAAAGCCAAGUCAAGACUAAGUUUGUAUAUGUGUAAGAAGGGUAUAAAUGAAGCUCACAAGAAAGCCACAUGAAGACUUUUGCAACCCCAACCACAAGAUUUUAUGUCCACCUCUCACUUUUCAUAUUUUUUUGGCCAUUCGUUUUUCAAGAUUAACAUCAACAUUCUUGUGGUCCAUUCAUCCUUUCCUAGCGAAUUUCCACCAGGAGUUUUUGCAAUAAGGAAUUUACGUAAAUAAAAAGCCUAGAUUUUGAUCCAAUUUUUGAGGAAUUAAUUAAUUAUAUAUUAUUUUUACAUUAUAGUGAAUUAGUGGGAUCCAGUAUGUUCUGCUUGUAUAUAAAUAAGAAGGUUAGGCUGCUUUAGAUUAUUUACAUAUAGAAGUUAACAAAAAGUAACAUAUAACUGAGAGAGAAGUGAAAACAGAGAGAUGAUGAUGAUGGAGUGGAAAUGGUUAAGGCUUAUUAGGAUGGCAGUAAUGUUGUUGGUGUUAGAAGGAUGCAGAUGGUGUACUACUGAUGCUUGUUUGGAGCAUGAGAGAAUCGCUCUCUUGCAUCUCAAGCCUUUCUUCAAUUAUGGUAAUCAAUUGCAAAGUUGGGUUGAGGUGAAGGGUUCAGAUUGUUGUAAAUGGAAAAGAGUUGAGUGUAACACCACCACUAGGAGACUCAUAAAACUCUCCCUUAAUUCUACAAGAUGGUUUGACAAUAUGGGAUACGACAUGGAUAAUGGGAAUCUCAAUGCCUGGUAUCUCAAUACCUCUAUGUUUCUUCCCUUUGAGGAAUUGAAGAGUCUUUAUUUGUCAGGAAACGCCAUAGGUGGUGACCUUGAAAAUGAAGGUCGUGCCUUUAACUUUCCAUUAAUUACAUCUUUUAUUAUUCCACUACUCUCACCAUUGUUAAUUUGCAAUUACUUAUAUUUUAUUUUAUUUUAUUGAAGAAAAGUCACUAACUGCUUGUAUAUAUUUAAAAGAACACUUCUACAGGCUUUGGAAAACUAUCAUCCACAUUGAGUAAUUUGGAGAUCCUUGACUUAAGUUUCAAUUACUUGAAUGAUAGCAUUUUGUUAUCUUUGAGUGAGCUUUCCUCUCUCCGGUAUUUAGACCUAUCAUACAACCAAUUUGAAGGAUCAAGUCAUCCAAGAGGUAAAUUAAAUUUGGUCUGGUGUAAGUUUUUAUUUGUAUAGUAGAGUUUGAGGAUGGUCUUCUAGGCUUGGUACCUAGUUUUCCAUUCUUUUUAUCCGUUGUAAUUCCACUUUUGCUUUAGUAAAAUUUUCAUAUAGCUAAGAAAGAAAAAAACAAUUAACAAGUAAUUAUGUAUAUAUAUCAGGUUUUCAAUUGCUUUCAAGACUCAAUAACUUGGAAACUCUUGAUUUAAGUUGGAAUUCUUUGAAGAAUAGCAUUUUGUUCCAUAUGAGAAAUCUUUCAUCCUUGAAGACUUUAAGAUUGAGACGUAAUCAGUUGAAAGGAAGGCUGGAUCAUAUUCAAGGUAGACUGAUUUUACCUGUUUCUUUUCAACUUUAAAAAUCAAUAUGUAUAUUCAAGUUUGAUUUCAUCAUACGAUCAAUAUAUAACUAAUCAAUACUUGGGAUUGAAUUUUAGGGUUGAAUAAUUUGACAAACUUGAAAUACUUGGAUUUAAGUGACAACAGCAUUGAAAGCAUCUCAAACCAAGGUAUAAGUACAGUAUUUAUAUGUCAAUUCAUAUUAAAGGUAGACUGGUUUUAUAUGUUUCUUUUUUACUUUAAAACCAAUUUUUGUUUAAGGGACAGUUAAUGUUGCAAUAUUUCAAAAUAGAGUAAAUUAAGUAGGAAGGUAUCUCAAACAAAGUAUUUAUAUGUUGAAUCAAUUAAGUUUUACUUGUAAAAUGUAGCUUAUCAAUUCAUGGGAAAGCUUGUAAAUUGGCUCUUCCUUCUCAAACAAACAUUUUUCCUAGCUAUUUAUAUAUUGAAUGAUAUUAACUAUACUAAUUAUUUUCUUCCAAUGAUAGAUGGAACACAAUGGAGGCUAACAAACUUAGAGGAACUUGAUUUAAGUAAUAAUCUCUUUCGGAACAACACAAUUUCCUUUCCUCAGGGGCUUUCAAGCCUAAAGUACAACAACAGUUUGCAAGGCUCAUUAGAUACUAAAGGUACUAAAGCUAUAACUUUGUUUUUCUUGAUAAUUCUUUCUAGAACCUUUUAAAAUUAAUUGUUUCAAAUUUGAGCAUUCAGAUUUCACGUUUGAGGUUUUUCAUCUUCACUUCAAGUUUUAGAUAUACUUUUUUUUUAUUUCAUUAAAAUAUUAAGUAGAAAUUAAAAUUAUUAACAUAAUGAUUUUUUGAAUUGGACAUGGAUAUGUAUAGGAUUGAGAAAUUUAACAAAUUUGAAGAAACUCGAUUUACGUUGGAAUCAAAUUGAAAGCUUUCAAUCCUUUAAAGGUAUGCAUUUAUAUUUAACCAAUUACCUAAAUUCUUACAUAUAAUUAAAUUUUAUGCCAAUUCAUUUUAGUGAUGAAAUUAUAUAAAUCUUUUGUAGAUGGUGGUUCAAAAUUGGAGUUGACCCACUUGGAAGAGCUUAAUUUAGAUGCAAAUCUCUUCAAUACUAGUGUAUUUGCAUCCCUUAACAAGCUUUCAAAUUUGAAAUCUUUGAGCAUAAAGUUACAAUGAAUUGAAAGGAUCAAUAGAUACGAAAGGUAAAAAUAUUAGUUUUUUAACAAGAAUAUAAUAAUGUUUUAAGAGAAUAUAAUGAAGUUGAUUUGUUAAUUUUGUUUUCCUAGAUUUGGAUGCAUUUAUCAAGUUAAGGGAACUAUAUUUGAGCGACUAAUGAAUUGAAAGAUUUGGUGAUCCACCAAGGUAUCAUUUAAUUAAACUUCUUUUUUUUUCUAAUUUAGAAAUUUAGUUUUUAUCUCAGAUAUUAUAAUAACGGUUAUUGUCAUAAAUAUUAAUAAAGUUAUAUCAUAUCAUACUUGAAAGUAAAAUAUGAGUUUGGUGAAACAUUUUCUAAAUCCUCCAUUAUAAUGUGUUUCAACUUUAGUUUGAAAUUAAAAUUCUUUAAAAUUUUCUUAAUUUUAAAAUAUUAAUGUUUAUAAUUAUUUUGUUUGUAAAAAUAUAUUUUUUAAAAUAAUUUUUUUAAUUUUUAUGAGAUAAAAAAUAAUUAUAACAAUAAAAACAAUGAUAUUACAAAUAAAUAAAAACAUAUAUUUAUGAGAAAAUAUGUAAUAUAACUAUAUUUUAAUUUCAUAUUUUUUUAAUAGUAUAAAACAUAAAAAUACAUAUUAGAGUUACAUAAAUCACAUUUUUUUUGCCAAAAAUAAAUAAAUAUGAAUUUUGAAUAAUUUAAAAAAAUCUUCAAUUUUAUGAAAUUUAAACAUACAUUUAGAGGUGCUUAAACUUCCAUCGCAAACUUUUUAUAAAUUUCAAAAUGCACAUGAUAUUAACAUAUGUCUACAUACUCUUUAUAAAUUUGUAAUUUAAUUCUUAUACUUUUAUUUUUAGGAAUUUAGUCCCUCUAUUUUAAAAAAAAAAUUCAAAAUCCAAGUUCAAUAGUUAAAAUUGUUAAUUUUUUUUAAAAAUAAUUAGUUGGUGUGACAUUUUGAAAUAAAAAAACUUUGGUAGCAAUGUAACUAAAAAAUGACAUAAUGAAAAUGGAUUUAAUAAAACAAUUUUAACAGUAUUAAUAAUUAGACUUGAAUUUUGAAAUUGAGUAAAAUAAAUGGCAUAAAACAUAAAAAUACACGUUAGAGUUAAUUAAAUGGCAUUUUUUGGCCAAAAAUAAAUAAAUGUCAAUUUUGAAUAAUUUAAAAAAAACUUCAAUUUUAUGAAAUUUAAACAUACAUUUUGAGGUGCUUAAAAAUUUUUUUCCAAACUUUUUAUAAAUUUCAAAAUGCACAUGUUAUUAACUUUUUGGUUUAAAAAAUGUGAUAGGUCUACGUACUCUUUACGAAUUUGUAAUUUAAUUCUUGUAUUUCUAUUUUCGUCAAUUUCCCUCUAUUUUUUAAAAUUUAAAAUCCAAGUUCAAUUGUUAACAUUGUUAUUUUUUUAAAUUAAUUUAUUGGUGUUGACAUUUUGAAAUAAAAAAACCUUGGUAGCAAUGUAACUAAAAGAUGACGUAAUGAACAUGGAUUUAAUAAAAUAAUUUCAAUAGUAUUAAUAGUUAGACCUGAAUUUUGAAAAUUUAUUUUUGUAAAGAGAAAAAUAUGCACAUUAGAUUUAAAUAAAAAUAAUAUUUUUUUAGUUUAAAAUUUUCUAUUUUAUAAUAGAACCAUGAUUUAAAUAAAUGAAAUUUUGAAGAGUUGCCAAAAAAAACUAUGUAGGUGAAAUUUAAAUAGAGAAUUUGAGAAGCUGAAAGUCUCUUUCGGAAUUUAUAAAUUUUAAAAUUCAAAAGGAUGUAUUUUGACAAUUUUAGGGCAAUGAUUUAGUGCUUUAAAAUUUUGAUUUAAUAUGGAGAAUUUAAUUAAAAAUUUAUUUAUUAGAUUGUAAAAUAUUUCUUAACAUUUAUAAUUGAGUACAAAGUAAAUUAAGUUUAAGGGAAAAUAUUAGGUACUAUUAAUGAAACUCUUUUCUUUUAUCAAAUUUUUUUUAAAAAAAUCUGGUUUUUAAAAAAAAUCGGGGUGGUACUAUUAAUGAAAUUCUAAACUUGAUAAGUAGGAUUGAGAUAAUAACAAAUAUAUUAUAUGGUAUAAUAAAAUAUUAAAAAAAGAAAUAUUUAAAAGAAAUAGGUUACUGGCCAUUUUUUAACUUCACUUGUAGAGUUAAAAAACUCCAUUACUAGUACCAAAUACUAAUAUUAAGGAAUUAAAUGCUAAAUUAAUUUCAAACAUAUUUAAAUCUGAUAUGAAUCAAGAAAAAAUUUAUUUUGAAAUUAUAUUUUAUCUUAGAAUGCUAAAAAAGGAUUAGUUUAAUUAAUAAAAUGAAUAAAUAGUUAUGUUAAGAUUUGGACAUUCUCUAUUAAAAUUUUAUUUUAUUGAUGAAAACAAAUAUUUAUAUAUUUCUUUCACUUACAGAAAAUAAGGGAUUGAGAAAUUUGAAAGUUUUGUUUCUUUAUCACGCUUUCACCGAUGGAAGCAUUCCAUUACAAAAUUUAGUGGAGUCUUUCUCAUCAGUUAAAGCCUUUCAUCUACAAUACAAUUAUCUGAACAUGACUCUGGCUACUCAAGGUAAGUGAAAGUCAUUAUGUUCUUUUCCAAAACAGCUUACGUUUAUUAACAUCUAAUACCUCUUCCCAUCCUAUAGAAUUAAAUGUGUCGAGCAAUGUGGAGGAAUUAUAUUUUGACGGAUCUACUCUCAACACCAACAUUUUGCAAAGCAUUGGAGUAUUCGCUUCUCUUAAAACAUUGUCUUUACAUGAUUGUGGACUUAUCGGUCCCUUACCUAAUCAUGGUAAAUAAAUUUAUGGGUCAAAUUGACUUCUUUAUGAGCCUUCUGGGAUAUAAUAUCUCCUAUUCUGUUUAAUAGAUCAAAUUUAAUUAAAAUUUCUUCAAUGAAUUUAUAAAUUUUUCAGGAUGGUGUGAUCUAAGGAACCUUGAAGUGUUGGAUGUGAGUGGGAAUGCACUUGAGGGGAUGCUUCCUCAUUGUUUCAGUAACUUGACAUCUCUUCGUGAGUUACAUAUUUCAGCAAACCGUUUUCAAAUUCCACUAUCAUUCGCACCAUUUGCAAACCUUUCAAACCUCAAAGUCCUUUCCGGUGAUGAAAACAAGAUGGUAAUGGAACCUUCCUUUUAUACCUCAGUCCCAAAGUUUCAAUUGACCAGCAUCAGUUUGUCAAAGUGCAUUACAUCUCAACAACUCAAUCUUGAACUUCCUACCUUCCUUUACUACCAAUAUGACUUGAGAUAUGUGGAUCUUUCUCAUAACAAUUUCAGCGGAACAGUCCCAACUUGGUUGUUAGAAAACAACACAAAGUUAGAAGUUCUCAUCUUGAUGGGUAAUUCCUUUACUGGUCCUCUCUCAUUUUCGUCAGCUCUUAUUUCUAAUGUAUCUUCAAUUGACAUAUCUGAAAACAAAUUACAAGGUCAAAUUCCGACUAGUAUAUGUUCAACUUUUCCACAUUUGUGGCGGUUAUUCUUAUCCAAGAAUGCUUUUGAAGGUAAUAUCCCACUUUGUUUAAGUGUCAUGAAGGACUUAUCAUUUUUAGAUCUAUCAAACAAUCAAUUGUAUGGAAAAGUACCAGAAGAGUUGAUCGCGAAAGGCUCACUGACCAUUUUGAGACUAUCAAAUAACAAGCUCAGUGGAAAUGUAGUUCCUGUGGUUCUCAACUCAAAUGGGGUGCAGAAUUUAUAUUUGGAUGGAAACAAUUUUUCAGGAGAGAUGACAAAUGUUGAUUUGUCUACUUUUGAGUUUCCAAAUUCAAUAAGGGAAAUUGAUCUUAGUAACAACAAGUUGCAUGGAAAGCUCCCAAGAUGGAUAGGGAAUGCAUCGUUUUUGGAGAGAUUAGCUUUGUCCAACAGCGGUUUCGAGGGUUCUAUUCCAAUGGAAUUUUGCAAGUUGAAUAGGUUGGAAUUUUUGGAUCUUUCCCAAAAUCAUUUAUCUGGAUCUAUACCGUCAUGUUUUAAUCCACCAAACAUAGAGCAUGUCCACCUCCACGAGAAUAGACUGAGAGGUCCACUAUCACUUGCUUUUUAUAAUAGCUCCUCUCUAGUGACUUUAGAUCUUAGAGGAAACAAUUUGACAGGUAAUAUUCCAAAAUGGAUUGACACAUUUUCUUCUUUGAGUGUUCUUCUCUUGAAAGAUAAUCAUUUUCACGGUAAAGUUCCAAUUCAGUUAUGCAAGUUGCAUUCUUUAAGCAUCAUAGAUCUUUCUCAAAAUAUGUUUUCUGGUCCUAUACCUUCUUGUUUGGGAAAUUUAUCUCUUCCAAUGCAAACGAAGAAGAUUCUAGACAUUGGGAUCUAUAGGCAAUCUACAGAAGAGGAUGAAUCAACACGCAUUAUGAUAGCAAAUCUGGGACUGGAUUCUUACUACCCUUACAGCUACUUUGAAGAAGUAAUAGAGUUCACAACAAAGAGUGGGUUCUAUUCGUACAAGGGCGACAUCCUUUCAUAUAUGACUGGGAUUGAUUUAUCUUGCAACAACUUAACUGGUCAUAUCCCACCAGAAUUAGGGAACUUGAGUGAAAUCCAUUCUUUAAACCUUUCACACAAUAAGUUGACCGGAGUUAUACCCUCGUCAUUCUCAAAACUUCAUCAAAUUGAGAGUUUGGACCUUUCUUACAACAACUUGAGUGGUGAAAUCCCCAAUCAAUUGGUAGAGUUGAACUCUUUGGAGGUUUUCAGCGUGGCAUUUAACAACUUUUCAGGUAGUAUUCCCGAACCAAAAGCUCAAUUUGGGACCUUUAUUGAAAAUAGUUAUGAGGGAAAUCCGUUUCUUUGUGGAGUUAUAUUGCAUAAAAGUUGUUCCAAAACCGAUUCACCAUCAACGAUAUCAACUGUAUCAGAAGAUAAAUGAGAAGAUGGUUUGAUAGAUACUUAUGAUUUUUGUGUGAGCUUUUUGGUUUCUUAUGUAGUUGUGUUGUUGACAAUUUUUGUUGUCCUCUACAUAAAUCCAUAUUGGCGAAGAGCUUGGUUUUCUCUAGUUGGGAAAUGCAUUACCACCUGUCACUACUCAAAUGUGGGCAAUUCUUACUUAUCACAUUUUCAAGCGAUGUGUUUAGCUACUCAAAUUGCGAUUUGAUUUCCACACCUAAAUGUUUAAUUAUGCUAAGUUGAGCGAUAAUGAAUAUUUUGUUGAUUUUUGCAUUUUGAAUAAAAGCUCUUUUACCUUAUGGUUUUAUCAUUUUCAACCAACUAUUUCUUUUUUCUUCUAUGAAAUUUAAUGUAAAAUCAUAAUCCAUUAUUAUGUAUAUGUAAUAUCUCUUUAAAUUAAAUUAAAUUAAAUUAACUGCCAAGCGUUCACUAGUGCAUACUAAAAAGGAAAUCUAAUGUAAAAUUAAAUAACAUACUAGAAAAUUGAAUCUAAAACUGGAAUAUUUUAAAACCUCACAAAUAAUGCAAUUCUUUAUUCCUCUUUUCCUCUCAAGUUAUUUUGUAUCAUGUUAUAUUUUACAUAAUUAUUCGUAUCAUUGAAUUUUAAAAAAAAUUUAAUAUUUUGAUAUCAUGUUCAUAUUAUGCUUUAAUUCACAAUAUAUUUUGUAUAAUAUGUUAUAACAAUUCAAUUUAAAAAACAAGCAAUUAUCUUAUUUUUGCAUACCGUAAUAUACAUUUACAUGUUAAUAAUUCUUUGUACAUAAAUUUUGACAUGUUCGUAUAUUCGAGUCAUUAUAAUUUUAUUAUUUGUAAUAUGACAUGUUUUACUUACCCUUAAUAUUGUGUCAUGAUAAUUAUAACUCGAUUGGCAGUGUACCAAAUAUUUUUCUAAUAAAAAAUAGUAUUUUAUUCUAUUUACCAAAUCUUUAUCAACUUUAUAUUCUCACCAACAAAACAUACAUUCAAAGUUCAAAUAAGUUCCACACCCAUUUAUGCUCAUCAUCAGAAAGCUGAAAUAUUCCACUCUAAUUAACAUUAUGAUUCUGUAAACAACAAAAAAGUGUGAUCUUUUUUUAAAGCUCUUUUUUUUCUUUAAUGAAAUGGGAUUGGUAAAAAAUCCGCACAUGUGUCGUGUGUGAAGAAGGUCAGGUUGUCUAUUCAUUCUCUAAUAAGUAGCUAAUUAUAGUUGAUCCUACAAAAUCAAAAUUAAUUCAGGUAUCUAUAUAUUCUGAAGACUGGACAGACCUUAGAAGCUCCUUCAAAUUUGCAAGAACAUGUCGUGGUCCUAAACUCUUUACACCGAUGAAAUUCAAAAGUUGCUCUAUAUCCUGCAAUCACAGUAAAGAUUAUGCAAGCUUUUCAGAACGAAUAACAUAACAAGCAAAAGGCAAUCAAAAUACUGUGAUCUCGAUAAUGUUCUUUGCCGAAAAGGAACAUAAACAUAACCUGAAAACAUCAGUGAAGGCUCAUCAGAUUUGCUUAGCAACCUUACAUACACAUGUAAAAAGCUUUGCUUUUGGAUGUAAGGUGUGACUAUCAUCACAGUCUUUCCUAAUUAGCUGAUAACCCUAUAUCUAACAUUAAUCAUGGCUAAGCAAAUUAACAUACAUAAUGUAAAGGAAUUUGACUAUAAGAUCCAACAUAAAACUUAAUAAAAGAUAAUCAACAUAGAAAGUUAAAAGGCAAUGCAAACUUAUUACAAUGAUGCAAGUGGAUCAAAAGAAAGCACUCUAUAAGGAAUUUGCAUUUAAGGCAUUGUAAACAGAAAAAAAAAAUAAAACUUUUUGGAAAGUAUUUUCAAAGAGGAGACAAACAGGGUAGAAAAAAUGUUUGGUCCUUCCUUUUUCUAUUUCUACUGUGGUGAAAAAGCCUUUUUGGGUUAAAAGUGUUUUUACACUGCAGAAGUGUUUUUCCACUGCAGAAGUGACGAAGAACACAUAGCUUUUGUAGUCAAAAACCUACUGCUUUUGGCUUUUGCAUUUCGAAGUGAAAAUUAUAAAAAUACUCUUAGAUUAAUUUAUAUUUUAUAUAUUAUUAUAUUAAUUGUUUAAAUCUUAUUUAUUAUUAUAUUUAAUUUUUUUCAAAAUAUUUUAUAUAUCAUCAAUUUUAUAAAUAAUUUAAAUUAAUUACUUAAAAGGUAUUUAAAAGUUAUAUUUCAUGUAUCAUUAUAUUAAAUUAUUUAAAUAUCAUAUAACUUGACUAAUUUUUUUCUUUCUACCAUCAUGUCUAAAAAAGACAUUUUAACUUUCAACUGCAAUUUUUGGCAGCAAUGAACAACACUAAAAACUAACAAACACACUUUUCCGCACCACAUUUCAACAACACUUUUUUCUAAACGCACUUUUGAACUAGUCCUUAGUCUAUCAUGCAUCAACUCUUCAUUUUUCUUUAACUACCCAUGUCCGACUUCGAACAUGGAUAUGGAGAUAUGACCAAGUCACAGUGACAUAGUUUUUAGUUAUGGGGAAUGGGAUUCGAGUGCUGGACCUCCUUUUAGAUGCAUGGUGGGACUUCAUCACAUUUUUCAAAUUUGUUGAUAAUCCUUCACCUAAUCUGCCGGUGAAGUUUAUAGAUAGUCUUAAGUGUCUAUCACAAGAACCUAGAUAUUGUAAAUCCAAUAUCUUCCAAACAAUUCAACCAUGAUAUUAAUGAUGAUGGAAGCAAGAUUAUCCACUAUCAAUGACAUAAAAUGAGCUGUAAAUGCUGACGAACAAACAUGCACUGUUUUUCCAACCUGUGGAUUGAAGAGCAUUGACAAGCUAACUUUGCAGACCAUUUGAAUCCAAUACUAUACAUAAAAAUGCCAAAGGAGAAUAAUUCAUCUUGGAAAAAGAAUUACUAAUAUGCAAAAGCUUACCUUGUUUAACAAGAAAACAGCAUAUGCUGCUCUUGUCGUGUCUUGACCUUCUAAAAACAGCGGAAAUUCUGCCAGCUUUACAUUUGCUGAAAGUGUUGUAUCCAAUGACAAAUCAGAAGAUGCAGGGUCUAUUGAAGACGCAUGGUCAUUAAUAUAUGAGCGAGAACCACCCAAGCGCAGAGGAUAACGCAAGGGAACUUGUAAAUAGGAUGCAAUUAGUGAAACAGCCUGCAAAUGAUGAAAUAACAGGAAACAAGAAACAAUAAUAGGUAUGAUUAAAAUUAUAGCCUCAGCAUGAGAAACAAACAAUCAAGAUGCAACCCACUAUACCAUAUUACCAUCCUAGCAAUUAAAAAUUACUACAGCAUCUUCAAGCAACAAGGGAUUGUAGGUGGUAGGUCAAAAAACUUGAUAUCCACAGCUUGAUAUUAUCAGAAAAAACAAAUUCAGUAAUAAAUGAUAACUUCACAGAAGAAAUAGAACGCACAUGUGCAACAUAUCCCAAGGCAGUUGCAGAUCUCUGAACCUCCUUUUUGUCAGUGAAAAAACUCAUCUUUGUAAAAGGAAGCAAGGUGAGAUUCAGACCUAAAAUUGUCAACGAUCCUUGAUUGACGGGCUUUGAUGCAGAAGGAUUCCCUAUUGAAGACAGGAACAAAGGAACUUCAUAUCAGUACAUCACCAGACACCACCUCUUUGUGAAAGUCAAAAGAAAAUUCAAAAAAAUAUCAUCAUGAAAGUAAGAGAUAUGUAAAAAGCUCAUAAUAUUCAAGAGCAAAAAAAAAUUGUUUUGAUAUGAGGAGAAUUGAAUAGUAGAUUGCUAAAAGAGGAAUAACUGAAUACAACCAUUAUAACCAAAAGAAGAGUCAAGUGAUAGGUAAUGGUACUCCCUAAGCUGUUUAGGAAUCAUAAAAGACUUGUCCAGUCGACAAAAAUAACUCAUUUUAUUCUCCCCUAGUAAAACAUCAUAUUGGACCAACCAUAUUUGAUAUCAAAGGAUAUGCAUAUCCAGGCAUGCCAUUUAUAGAUAUUCCCAGUGUUACAAGAAGGAAUUGUUCAAGAGAAAGAAGCUGCUAUUGUUGGUAAAGUUUUCCUCAAACCAUUUUGAACAUCCAAAAUCUCAAGAACAAAAAAGAAAACGUAGGAGGAAAUAUAACAAGCAUCACAACGGGUUCUCGAUGAUAUAAGUGAGAGGAUAAAUGUUAAUUAAGAUUAUAAAAAUAAACCACAAACUAAACAGGAAAGACAUGGAUUUCAAAACGAGGAGACUGGCUGCUAAUUAAAACCAUAUGCGGCGUUGUCUAGGGCGCAAGGCACAUUCUAGGUGCUAACCUUUAUAUUGCCUCAAGCACAAGGCACAAAAGGAAGCGCUAGCCUGAGUGCAGUAAAGCGCAAUACGUAUAUGUGAGAGUUUUUGCAAGUCUGUGUGUCUAUAACAUAAAAGUUUUAAGAUAUAUGGUAAACUCUAAAGUGUGGUCUGGUUUAUCCACAAAACUUGCAAAAUUUUUAUAGGUGAAUACUUAAAUAUUGAGAAUUAUAGAGUUUGAUAUUAUCCCUUUCUUAUUAGUAAAGGUGUAUCAAAUGAAAACAGUAGAAAAUAAAAUAAAAUAUUGAGAAAUUCAACAAGGCAGGCUUUUUCUAAUGCCCAUUGCCUUACAAAAAAAGUGUGCCUAGGUGCACCAGGCAUACGCUUGAUCAAAUGGACCUCACCUGGAAGGGUCCAAGGCGUUUUGUUGUAUAAAACUAAGGCGUAGGCACGCCUAGGCGCAUGCCUUGACAACACUGACCAUAUGUUGGCUUUAUUGCAAAGCAUUAGCAAUCCAAAACUACUAGCACAUUACCUAAUCUACUACUGCUAGAAUAGGACUCAAGUUCUUGCUCCUGUGCAGGUCCAACCAAGAUCUUUACAGGAUACAAUAAUGAAACUUGUGAUAUCAUAUAUUGUUGCCUUGCUCGAAGCUUCCUUUGCACAUUUUUAAGUUUAACACAACCCCUUUCUUCAGUGAGUAAUCUAUUUGCUUCCUGUGAUAAAAACAACAUAUAAUCAAUCAUGCCACGCAUGCAAGACUACCAACCAACUAUCUAAUAAAAGAGACAAAGAAGUAGGAGAGCAAGAAGGGGAUAACCCUUGACUAUGCAAAGGAAUUCAUAGAAUGAGAAUCAUCUCAUCUAAGCCCCUCAACCACCUUCACAGGGGGUGGAGGUGCAAAGAGAGAGGUCUUAUUGAUCCGAGAGGAGAAUAUAUAACAUCUAAAGCUGAAUAAGAAGAAACCUUCAAAUAUAUCAUAAAUUCAGAAUUCAUGAUAAUAUAAAAAUGAAAUUCCAAAGCUAAUUUAAGCUAGAAUAAAAAUGCUUCACCUGUAAUCGCUUCCUUGCUACAGAAAGAGAGGUACCAGCAACCAACAAUGAUCUUACUUCAGUACUCAGCAUUUCCUCCUGUUUUUUAGCAUCCUCUGUUGCAACUUUGCAACGAGUUGACAUGUUUGCCAUAACUACUUUCCUUGCCUCUAGUCUCUCACGCAUUUCCUCAAGCUCGUUCAGUUUAUUCAAAGACUCAUUUUUUACCUGCACAGCAUGUUCCCACCCAUUAAUCAGUGGGCCAAUUAAUUAGGUCACAGAAGACAAAACUAAAUUAUCACUCACCAGGUCCCCUUGAAGUGUCAUAUGGCUUUAACAAUUCAACGUGCAAUAUCUAGUAAAAGUGAAAUAAACAUAGAAGAAUGCAAAUGCAAUUCUUAAACGCCUUUAAAUGGACAACAUGAAACAGUUUAAGAGCCCUAUAAAACAGAAAAGUGGAAAAAAAAUCUGAAAAGGAAAAAAAAUGAAUUGAAACAAUAAAUCCAUCUGGUACAAACAGCAACAAAUCUCGAAAUAAGCCUUGGCUUUAGCCCAUUAAAGCCCGGGCAUCCGGCCGAAUAAACAGUGACUGCCAUGUCAACUUUUUGAGACGGUAGAAAAGAGCUCAAAAAUCUCAAUUUCCAAAAUUAAGGACAUAAGAAGGAAAACAAUGUACUUAUUCUUACAGUAGAAGAGCAAAAUGAAACUAAAUGAAGGAUAAGGGAACUGAUGCGAAUUGACAUUGUUAUUUUUGGGACUAAAAAGAAUACGCAGAUUGAAUAUUUAAGAUUUUGUAAGGGAAAAGUUCCAUUCACCAACACAAUUAUCAUCGCCCUUUAUCCCAGUAAAGCUUAAUUGACAAUUUUUCUGUCUCGUGUUCUUGCUAAAGCAUUUGAGCAACCCAACAGAAAUCAUUAUAUGUCAAACUGAAAUGAUUGGCUUUAUCAAUUUCACAACCUAUACUGCCCAACCUAGUAAGUAAUUUAGGUGCAGACACCAGAAAUCUAUUUUCUUUGCACUCUACAACCAAAUAGCCUACCACUUAUCAAUCAAACACAGCUGAAAACUUCAGUGAGGAAACAUUAUGUAAACUGAAAAAACUAUAACUUCAACUUGAUUCAUAGCUCGGUAAGUUCAGGGAACUUGGACUUCUACCACCAUGAUCCAGUUCGAUGUGAAACAGUGAUCCAUAUCACGCAUAUCAGUUCCCGCAACAAGAGGUAAAACAGCAAAUUAGGUAAACAAUGAUCCAACUAUAUUUCAGAAUAGCAACAUUGAGCAUGAAAGCUAAAAUUAUAGCAUAUUAUGGGUCCUUGCUCCCUACAACUACAUAUAAAAUUACUAAACAAUAUUACUACAUUAAGGAUCCAGAAAAACUUGGUUUCAAUUGUUGAUCACUUGAUCCAACUAUUUUAGAAAGUUUAUUCUUCUUUUUCCUUUCCCUUAUUUUCUAAAUCAGGAAAAACAGUAGCAUAUAAACUGGAUUACUACUCCAAUUAAGUUUCUAAAAUUUCAGCAAUAUCCCUUUAACCUUUUCACUCAAGUCACUACCCCCCCCCCCCAAUUAACAAAUAUAUUCCCAGUUUCCCUUUCACUUCAAACCCCCCCCCUUUUUUUUUUCUCUACCCAAAUUCAGCUUACGUUCAAAAACCCAAAAUUGGUUUGCUAAAAAAACAUAAUUUUCAAACCCAAAGGUAACCUAAUUUUAAUCAGAAAAAAAAAAGAAGCAUUACCUGAAUUAGUGAAUGGAGUUUCUCUUGAAGACUUUAUUUUAAAAUUAUCUUAUACUAUUUGCUUUAAAUCGAUUUUUAUUAGUUAUUUGAAACUCGUUUUCAUGUACUAUUUAUUUUUUUAUCACUUAUUUAAAUUGUUUUACAUAUCUAUUUUUUAAACCCUAUUUUAUUAUAUUUUACUUAUUUUAACUUUUUUACAUAUUUCAUUAUAAAUAUUAUUAAUUAUCUAUAUUGAGUUUUUCAUUUAUGUAUUACUUAUUUAGAUAAAUAUAUACUAUUUUGUGUAUUACUUAUUUUGAUUUUCUUCUUAUACAAUAUUACUUUAAAAUUCAUUUAGAUAUUAUUAUUUCACAUAGUAUUUAUUUUUAUCUUCAUUUUUGAUCUAUUUCAAACUCAUAUAUAUUGUUUAUUUUGAAAUUUUAUGCACAUGAUUUAUUGUUUAUAUUGAUGAUUUUAAAUUUCCUUUCUUGUAUUUUUAUUUAUUUAUUUUAAAACUUGUUAUACUUUAUUUGUGUUAAUUUGCUUAGUUUUUCUUUCAAAAUUAACUUAUAAUUCAUUAGCUUUUAAUGUUAGUAUUUGCAUAAUAUGUGAUAUAAGAUUAUUGCUCUCAUGUAUUGCUUAUCUGUAUAUAUUGAUUAUUUGUCAUUCAUUAGUAUAUAUUUUGUUUUACGAAUUAUCACUUCUCGCGUUGUACAUUAUCAUUUCCAUCGCGUUUUAUUUGCUCAAAAAUUAUGUUUAAUAUGGCUUAAGUUUUGAAAUCAUUUUAUCCAAAAGCUUCCAAUAUAGCAUAACACUCGGUGUUUGGGAUUUUUGAAAAGAUCGUACUCUAACUUACGAGGUCUCGAUUUUUUGAUAAUUUCAAAUAUACGAACCUUUUUAAAAAAAAAAACAAGACACAUUUACUUAAAAAUUAUCUCAAGAAUCAAAAAAAGAUCGUGUCCCAACUUACCGGAUAUGAUUUAUUAUCUGAAACCGAUAUGAUCAAGAUUUUUAAAAAUAAAUAAAUUUUGGUGUUUAUUCUCGUUUCGGGAUUUAAGAUAUUGUGUCCUAACUCACGGGAUAUAAUUUUUUUCUCGAUUAACGAGAAAUACACCCUUCUUUAAAUUUUAACAAAAUGGUCAUUUUUUUAAAUUUCUUUUCGAAAUUUUAAUUUUUCGACAUUAAGACAUUAAUUAAUCGAUUAGGUACUAAUUUUGGGCAUGACGGGGUGCUAAUCCUUCCUCGCAUGUAACUGACUCUCGAACCCGUUUUUCUUAAAUUCCAUUGACCAAAAUCAUUGUUUUAAUAAAAUCAAAAUGUUUUAUCAAAACGAUUGAAUUGCAAGGUGAUCCAAUCACACAUAAAAAAAAUGUCGGUAGCGACUCCCUUUUUUUCAUUUUCAAAAUAAAAGUCAACACUAUUUUUGUUUUCAAAAAGUGGUUUCGACAAAAUUGUUUAAAUCUUACUUAUUAUUAUAUUUAAUUGUUUUUCAAAAUAUUUUAUAUAUCAUCAAUUUUACAAAUAAUUUAUAUUAAUUACUUAAAAGGUAUUUAAAAGUUAUAUUUCAUGUAUCAUUAUAUUAAAUUAUUUAAAUAUCAUAUAACUUGACUAAUUUUUUAAUUUCUACUAUCAUGUUUAAAAAGAACAUUUUAACUUUCAACUGCGAUUUUUAGUAGCAAUGAACAACACUAAAAACUAACAAACACACUUUUCAGCACCCCUUUUCAACAACACUUUUUUCUUAAAGUACUUUUGAACUAGUCCUUAGUCUAUCAUGCAUCGACUCUUCAUUUUUCUUUAACUACCCAUGUCCGACUUCAAACAUGGAUAUGGAGAUAUGACCAAGUCAGAGUGACAUAGUUUUUAGUUAUGGGGAAAAGGAUUCGAGUGUUGGACCUCCUUUUAGAUGCAUAGUGGGACUUUCAUCACAUUUUUCAAAUUUGUUGAUAAUCCUUCAUCUAAUCUGCCGGUGAAGUUUAUAGAUGGUCCUAAGUGUCUAUCACAAGAACCUAGAUAUUGUAAAUCCAAUAUCUUCCAAACAAUUCAACCAUGAUAUUAUUAAUAAUGAUGAAAGCAAGAUUAUCCACUAUCAAUGACAUAAAAUGAGCUGUAAAUGCUGACGAACAAACAUGCACUGUUUUUCCAACCUGUGGAUUGAAGAGCAUUGACAAGCUAACUUUGCAGACCAUUUGAAUCCAAUAAUAUACAUAAAAAUGCCAAAGGAGAAUAAUUCAUCUUGGAAAAAGAAUUACUAAUAUGCAAAAGCUUACCUUGUUUAACAAGAACACAGCAUAUACUGCUCUUGUCGUGUCUUGACCUUCUAAAAACAGCGGAAAUUCUGCCGGCUUUACAUUUGCUGAAACUGUUGUAUCCAAUGACAAAUCAGAAGAUGCAGGGUCUAUUGAAGCUGCAUGGUCAUUAAUAUAUGAGCGAGAACCACCCAAGCGCAGAAGAUAGCGCAAGGGAACUUGUAAAUAGGAUGCAAUUAGUGAAACAGCCUGCAAAUGAUGAAAUAGCAGGACAUUAGAAACAAUAAUAGGUAUGAUAAAAUUAUAGCCUAAGCAUGAGAAACAAACAAUCAAGAUGCAGCCCACUAUACCAUAUUACCAUCCUAGCAAUACCUGCAAAACUUUCAUCAAAACGGUAAUAACACUUUUGGACAAUGUGUCCUAUUUUACCACACAACUGGCAUUGGGGCCGAUUGUUUGAAAAACCACCCUCACGGCCUCAUCCUCGAUGGAAACCUCUAUUGCAUUGAAAACCACCUCUAUGUGCCUGUUUGUUCCCUUGAUAGCCACUGUUAUAAUCAUAACACUUGGUCCGAUCACCCUCAUCACAAUCUUGUUUACUAGCUAUGUUAGCUUGUUCGAGAACACUAUUCAAGAACUCAAGUUCUCGAGCUUCACAAUCAAGCAGCAUCUCAAUCAACAGACCAAGCGACACAGCAGUAGCUGAAGCUACUACCCGUACUGAUUCACACUCAACUGGCAACCUUGCAAGAAUGAUGCUAACCAUUUCUUGAUUUGAAAUCAAACAACUCGUUGCAACCAACAUAUCACACAUGGACUUGAUCUUAGACAAAUAUUCUUUAACAAACAGAUGACCCUUUUUCUGUGAAUACAACACAUGAUGCAUACUGGACAAUUUUACCGUCGACUUAGUCGCAAGCCUUUUUUUCAAUAGUUUCCCAAAUAUAAUAACUAGUACGAGCACUAGUAAGAUAGGCUAGAAUUUCAUCACUAUCAGUUGAAAGUAACCAAGAAGCCAAUAGCUUAUCUUGUUGCACAUGUAAAACAGAAUCAGAAUCUUCUACUAAUCUCCCAUAUUUAUCCACUACAAACUGUGCUAGUACACUAAUAGCACCCAAAACAAACUCAUGCAGACCGUAUCAUUCAAGGAUCAACAUAAUUUGGAGCUUCCAUAAAACAAAAUUAUACUCACCAAGCUUUAUUGUAUCGUGCUUAGGAAAUUGUUGAAGACAUCUACAACUGUUGAGGUGGGUUUUCUUUAAACAUACUCAUUCCAACAAAAAAAAAAUCUACGUUAGUAUGAUUAAUUAGAAAGUGAUUAAUUCAUUAUUUAGUUAGAAGUGAUGGCCUUAAGAAAAAAAAUGACAUUAUUUUAUUUGGCAUUGUUAAAAGUGUUAGUUACUGAAAUAAUUAAUGAGAUUAUAAAAGUGAAAGAAUCAAAUUAUGUCAAAAGUAAAGUAGAGGGUUUUAAUCCUAAAUUUGGGUAUAAUAAAGGGACUAACACCAAAUAAUUAUAAAAUUUUCAAAUAUUUUAAAAUUAAUUUUAAAUAUUAAUUAAAUACAAAUUAUAAAAAAAUAAAAUAAAAAUCCCCAGCGCAGUGAGGGACAUAUUCGAUAUCAAUAAUUAUAAAAUCUGUAGUUGUAAUAUUUAAUUGAUAUAAUAUAUAAAAUUUGAGGGUUAAAUUUGUUAUUAUACAAUUUUUUUAACUGCCGUGUCACUUUGCAAUUUUUUAUUUUAAGGAGUCAUCAAAAUAACUAAACUAUGUAAUGUGAGUGCUUAAAUUACAAAAUUUUUACUUUAAUGUGAGUGCUUAAAUUACAAAAUUUUUACUUUAAGUGUUUAAAUUUUUAAAAAAAAUUAUAAUUAAAUAACAAUCUAUAUGUAGUUUGCCCAAAAAUUUUAUAACCCAAACUACACAAUUUUAUGGCCAUCUCCCACUUUUGAUAUCUCUUUGGCCAUUAGUUAAGAUGGGAGGGGAAUGACUUAUUCAAGAUUAGUGUCAACAUUAGAUUUAAAACCUACGGAAGUCAUGUUUCAAUUUUUUUAUAUAAUAAUAUAACAUUUAAAAUUAUAUUAUAUCUAUAAAAGAACUCAUUGGAUUAGGGUUUUUUUUUUUAAUUAACUUUCCAUUUGUUAUUAGAAAACAAAACUAAAAAUGCAUCAAACAGGGCUCUGAUAAAAAAUUAAAAAAAAACCAAAAUGUUUAGGUUUGGUAUCGUUUUACUUUUACUUUAAAAUCAGUCUAAUCUGUAUCAUGCUCACACCAAACAUAUGAAGAAAAAAAAAAGUGAAAUAGUAAGGAUAUUAUUAAUUUCAUUCCAAGACAAAUUUUAGCAUACCCAAUUAGGUCCUUGGGUUAAUCUUAUGUUUUUUGUUUAGGCAUUCAGCAUUCUUGGCGUUUAGUUUAGUUAGAAUUUUAAAUUAUGAUAGAUCUGAAACUUUGGUAUUUUUGUGCAAAACUCAACCUCAAAGCUUUAUUUGUUGUCUAAAUUAUUUUAUUGAAGCCUAGGAAUUGUUGUUAUUGUUUCGGCUAAUUGACCUUAAAGCAUCAAAUGCCUUUUUUUGGAUGGUCAUAUUCCUUCCAAGGGCUGAAUUACUAAAAGCCCAUGAAGUAUCCUUCUUUUUCUUAAGUGAGCCUCUGUUUCAAUGCCGCCAAAAUUUUCUUUAUCCACAUGGAAGCUGACCUGCCAUGAUGAUGUGGUAAAAAAAUGAACAAUUUGUAUUUUUUGAAAAAUAUAACACUUAAGAACUUUCUUUCUUCUUGCCUCCCAAUUCUCACCACCAAUUCCUUAGCCCAAAUCAGUUUUGGCCUCCGACAUUGAUCAUAACAAAAGUAAACUUUCUAUUAGAAAUAAUUUCUUUUAUGUACAAAUUAAAGGGUAAGAUAUUGUUUGGGUACAAAAAAAGCAUAUGAGCUUACUUUAGAAAAGUGACAACGUUGGGCUCUUUUAGUAUUCUAUCCUCCCACCAACUUUGUCCAAUGUUUUUUGCCUUAUCACCAGACAGUAAAAGGGCCUUUGACCUUUUCAGGCUAAGCGCUGCCUGGUGCAUGUAGGGGGAAAAGGCCUUCUAAUUGAAGUUCUCUUUAAUAUCUCUUUAAUUGUUUCUUAAUUGUAACAAAGGGAUAAUAUCGAACUCUCUAUUUCUCAAUAUUUGAGUAUUCAACACCAGGCAUGGGAUCAUAUGGAAAUAUGCAUAUGGUUGACAAAAGAAAGAAAAUUUGGAAAUGUUUAUUUAAGUAGUAACUGCUGGUUUUCUUGGAUGCUUUCUUGUUAAUGACUACUGUUUGGGCAUGUUUAUUUAAGAAUUGCCCCCAAGUAGUUUCUUGAAUCAUCUAAAAUUGGAAAAAAUAGUCUUAUGGUAACUCAUUAAAGUAUUUGAAAGUAUGCACAAGCUAAUAACAUUUUAGAAAUUAAAAUUGAAGAUCGGUUUUUAGGGUAUCAUGUCCAUAUUAAGCAUCAUCUUUCCAGAUUACUGUUCUCUCUCUCUCUCCCUCUCUGUGUGAUAUAUUUCUCAAGUGAAAGGUAACCUUCUUCACUUGAUUUUGACUUAAUUUUGCAGUCACCACGAUUGUAUAAUGUGUACAAGCAAAUGGGAAUUGUAAAAUCUUUUCAGAAUAUUCUGGACAAUGUUUUCAUUCCACUAUUUGAAGUUACAGUUGAUCCGAAUUCUCAUCCUCAACUACACGUGUUCCUAAAAAUGGUGAGUUCUAUGUUCAUCGGAGAACAUACUGUGCUAUAAUAAGAGAUUUCGGAAAAUAUAGUUAAAAAAUGCUUCUUUAUUGGAAUGACCUGCAUUAUAGCAAGCUGAAUAAAUGAUGCCUUAACUUUAUUCAUUGUGUUCUCAUAAUUCUUUAAAACCAUUCGAAAAUUCUAUUGAGCCACAUUAUAUGGUUAAUUUUUGGGUCUGUACUGCAUACUGAACAUGUGUACAUCCUUGCGAUUUUAGAUGGAUGGAGUUGGACAGCAAAGCAAUUGAAAAAAACCCAAUUUAUGGUUUCUAAAUGUUAGAUCAUUUAUGGUUUCUAGUUUCAAUUUAAAAAAAAAAAAUCCAAAUCAGCCAACUAAUGAAAUUUUCAACGAUGUUAGUUAUUUUAACUAAUCCAUAACAUGUUUGCUUCUUCUUCUUUUUUUUAGCCUAGCAGCAAUGUUAGCCUCUGGACUAGUUACCGCCCUCCUUUUUCCCCUCCCUAUUAACCCUUUUUAUUUUUCUUCUCAUUCACUCCAUGAGUCUUCGUUCUUUUCAGUUUACAGAUUUAUUUUGUGAGUAUUUUUGUUGUCUUUACAAGUUGUAAUGGACAGUUGACAAUGGCUAUCAUCAUUGAAACACCACCGACCACCAACACUUUCUUUUAGAAAGUGGGUACCUCUUCGUUGACUACUUAAUUUGUUUAUAUUUUGAGAGUUUCAAAAUAAUAAAUGAUUUCAUGACUCGGUUUAGACUCAUGUUUUUUUUCCAUUGUUCAAUAAGUUUUUACUUUUAAAAGUUUUUUUCUACUCUUAUAGUAAGCUUUUUAGUCUUGCUUUUGCGAGUAAUUUUAGGGUUGGUUUUGUCGCCAUCCCCUCUAGUUUGGUGGAUGCUCAGUUCUUUUGCUGAUUUAUGCCCGCCGCUUUGGACCAUCCGGGGUUGAUUUUCUUACUAUAUUAAGUGCUUGUAAUCACUUCUGAUAUGUUGUGCUUGAGUUGUGAUAGAGCUGAUUUCAACAUGCCAUAAUGUUCUAUUAAUGUUGAAGCUAAAGCUUUUGUUAUAUUGAUGGAGCUUGUCCUUUAGCGAGUACAACAAGUGUUUGUUAUUUCCUCCCCCCCCCCGAAUUGUAUGGUAUUAUUCAUUGAAUAAAUUAAUGAAGUUGUCUUAAAAAAAACUAAUCCAUAACAUUAACAUUAAUAAGAGAACAAAAUAUAUCAAAUUAAAAAAGAAAAACUGAAUCUUUAAUUCAAUUGAGAAAUUAUAGGGAUUAAAACUAUAAAUUGAUCUAUAAUAAUUUCUCAGGCAUUAAUUGUAAGAUUAAUUCCAUAACCUAAAUUAUUGUAGGGGCUAUAUAAGCUCAAGGUUGACGCAAAAGUCAAUAGUCAGCGUCUGAAAGUUAAUGCAAUUAAUUAUGUCAUUGUUGAUAUAUUUAACGCAAAUAUAUUAUCAUAUGUGUAAUGUCAUACCAUCUUAUUAUUUCCAUAUGUUACUAAAAAUCUAGUUAACGGACUAAGGAUUGUCAUUUGUAUCAAGACUGAAAUUUUAAAUUUUGAAAAAUAUAGGUACUUAGAAUAAUCCAAUUAGAGAGUAUGGACUAAAUCAACAAUUAUACGCAUAAUAUAGGACUAGUAAUUGGUUUUAAUUAAAUUGAUUUAACUCUAUUGUUUGGAUCACAACUAAAAUUUUAAAAUUCAAAAUGUAUAGGGAUUAAAAUUGAUCAAAUUGAAGUAAAUAGACUAAAUUUACAACUUUCACAAAGAACAGUGACCAACAGCAGAAUUUAACCAAAUAAGCUCACCAAAGUCAAUAGUCAAUCUUUGAAAAGUAAUGCAAUUAAUUAUGUCAUUGUAGGAACGCUUUCCUGACAUAAAAUUCCACCAACUAAGCCUUUUGCGUAAAUAUUAGCUAUGAAAAUUCAACCAUUGAUAUUAAAUUCAAGACCCCACAAAUGACAGACAUAUAUGUUGGAAAAAUCUUUGUGUGAACAUUUCUUUCGGUCAUACUCAUGUCGUAUAAGUUAGAGGAGCACAAGUCUAGAUUCAUCCAAUUUUUGAGGAAUUAAUUAAUUAUAUAUUAGUUUAAAAUUAUAGUGAAUUAGUGAGACGCCAUAGGUCUUGCUUGCAUAUAAAUAAGAAGCUUAGGCUUCUUCAGAUUAUUUACAUAUAAAAGUUUAAAAAGUAACAUAUAGCUAAGAGAGAAGAGGAAAACAGAAAGAUGAUGAUGAUAAUGAUGGAGUGGAAAUGGUUAUGGUUUAUAAGGAUGGCAGUAAUGUUGUUGGUGUUAGAAGGGUGCAGGUGGUGUACUGCUGAUGCUUGUUUGGAGCAUGAGUCGCCUUCUUGCAUCUCAAACCUUUCUUCAAUUAUGAUAAUCAAUUGAAAAGUUGGAUUGAGGUGAAGGGUUCAGAUUGUUGUAAAUGGAAAAGAGUUGAGUGCAACACCAUCACUAGGAGAGUCAUACAACUCUCCCUUAAUCAUACAUCAUCCAAUAUAUAAAUGAAUUAAUGAAUUUACCUUUCAAAAGAGAAAAAAAGAAUUCAUAAAUUUUGAAAUACAAAAUGAACGUGUUUUGAUAUUUUUAGGGCAAUGGUUUAGUGGUUCAAAAUUUUGAUUUAAUAUGGUGAAUUUAAUUAUAAUUUUUUAUAUAUUAGAUAGUAGAAUAUAUUUUACCAUUUAUAAUUAAGUACAAUUAAGUUUAGGUUAAAAUAUUUUAUUAAAUUUUUGUACUUUUCACAAAUUUUAAAUUUAAUCUGUUUACUUUUAUUCUAGAAUUUAAUCUCUCUGCAUGUAAAGGAGGUUAUUAUGGCAAGGGGAAUUACCAUGGCAGAGGUAGCCGAGGCUGACGAAGAGAUGCUGGAUAUGCUGAAGAAAGAUAGAUGGCUGAGAAACAGAAAAACUUUAGGAACAAUAUUCAGUGUUAGAAGUAUGGGGAUGUGAAGGCAGAUUGUUGGAAAAGGGGAAACAAGCAAAUUUUGCGGAAGAUGAUGAAGAGAUUUAAAUUAUUUAUGAGCUGUCUAGAUGACACUAUAGCUUCAACUAACAUUUGGUUUCAAGGGCGUAUAUCUCAUGAUGAAGAGAUCGUCUCUCUUCUUUUUUCUCAUAACAUAUUACACGCCAUGAUAAUAAAUAUUGAUAUGCCUAUAAAUUUGAGUUUCUAUUAUUUGUAGUCAUGAUUUGGUUCACUCCAUAAGUUACAUAAAUUUAUUAUAAUAAUUCAAUUAAUUUUAGAUUAAUUUUACAUUUUUGCCCGAACUUUAGUUUUUAAUAAUUCAAUCAUCCCACCAUUAUAUUCAAUUAAAAGUGUAAUACGAUUUUGCGUCAUCCAACCAUUAUUCUUAGUGUAAUUUUUGGUAGUGAGCAUAGAAGGACAGCGAGAACAAAGAAAGAAUGUAUCCAAUAACCCACUCCCCUUAUAGUCAAUGCUUAAAAUGAAUAAGAAAAUAGAAAACAAACGUGGCAAUGCCAGCUAAUUUGUUAUUACUAUUCACCGUAUAACUAAGGACAUUACGCACCGUUUUAAUUAAAACAAACUCACCGUUUAAGACCGUUACUUCUAUGCAUCGUUUUAAUCAUAUGCGUCAGUUCGAACAAAUAGGUGAACAUGAAAGCUUUUCGCAAAGUUUAGAUGUGUGCUUAAAACUCAAACUUUGUGUUCUGUAAAAAUAUUGAUUUUGUUGUAAUUGUAGGUUGAACUUUGUGAGUCCAAUUACUUUCUUUGGCAUCGGAUAUUUCGUGGAACUUUCGUAUGAGAUAUUUACUUCAUAAAUAGAAGAUUACAAAAUUUGGAUAUUAAUAUAUUUUUCAUGAUUUAAUUUUCUUUUCCUUUUUUGGGCUAAAAUAAUUAAUAACGAAAACACGUCUUUUGCUAGCACCUAUAAAUGCCUUAAAAAUGUAAAUUAAUAUUCCACAAUAAUUAUUAAGAUGAAAAGAAUUUUAUAAUCUAAACUUACGAUUUCAUGUGAAUUUAAUGUUUAGUUAUAGUUUUAAUUACAAAGUUAAAUUGGUAUCUUUGUUAUUGCAAUAAUUAAAAAAAGAUGAGUCCAAAUGACGUUGAUUUUCUGUUUUUUAAAAGUGAAUGCAAGAUGGGACGGCUGGAAUUUUUUUUAUUAAACAGUAAGUAUGAAACAGUUAUGGUAAUUGCUUGCUCCAUCUCACUCCACUCCACUAUAUAAAAUUAUCAUUUCAUUCUUUUAUAUAUAGAAAAAAAUUAAAUAUUUUAUGAAAAUAAUCAUGUUUAAAUUUCCAAGAAUAAAAGCAAACUGAAGACUUAAAAUUUCCAUUAAUAAAACCAAAAUCAAAGAAGUAAAUUUCCCAUGAAUAAAACAAAAAAUGAAGAUCUAAAUUUUCCAUUAAUAAAGCCAAGUCAAGACUAAGUUUGUAUAAGUGUAAGAAGGGUAUAAAUGAAACUCACAAGAAAGCCACAUGAAGAAUUUUAUAACCCCAAACUACACGAUUUUAUGUCCACCUCUCACUUUUCAUAUUUUUUUGGCCAUUCGUUUUUCAAGAUUAACAUCAGCAUUCUUGUGGUCCGUUCAUCCUUUUCUAAUGAAUUUCCACCAAGAGUUUUAUUUUUCAAAAUGUUAAAUUAACUCAUGAUAUUAAUUAAAUCAAGAAAUUUUAUAAUAAUAGAGAUGAAAAAACUAAAUUUUCAAAAUCAAAACCUAAAAUGUGCAAGAAUAAAAGCAAACUGAAGACUUAAAAUCUCCAUUAAAAAAAUCAAAAUCAAAGAAGUAAAAUUUCCAUGAAUAAAACGAAAAAUGAAGACCUAAAAUUUCCAUUAAUAAAUCCAAGUCAAGACUAAGUUUGUAUAAGCGUAAGAAGGGUAUAAAUGAAACUCACAAGAAAGCCACAUUAAGAAUUUUAUAACCCCAACUACACGAUUUUAUGUCCACCUCUCACUUUUCAGUUUUUUUGGUCAUUAGUUAUUCUAAGAUUUAACAUCAACAUUUGAUUUCAAAUCAACGUUAAACCAUGUUUAAACUCUUUUUCUUAUAUAAUAAUUAUAUUAUAUUUAAAAUUGAAAAAACUAACCAGCCAAAUAUAUAUUAAUUAAUUAAUAGAAUUUUUUUUGCUCAUCGAUUAAAAUAAAUCAAGAAAGACGUUGGAACCACCAACCUCUCUUUAAGAACAACAGGAAUACAAGAACCUAUGCACAACAAGUACUAAAAUGUAUUAAGUAAAUUCAUCACCAGGCCUUAAAAAAAGAAGAUCUCGAUAUACCUGCUUUUGCCAAAGCAUCUGCCAUACCAUUACUUUGCCAGUGAAUAAUUCUGAACUGAAACUUAGCCAAUUGAGUGAUAUUAAUUAUAGAAAUGGUUCUUCUUGCAACCAUAGAUGAAACACCACUGAGACUAACAAACUUGGAGAAACUUGAUUAAAUCAAACUUAUGCAAAUUUCUUGAAUAUUUAAGUUAAGAGUUAACGUCAAAGUCAAGAGUUGAUAAGGAUUUUGUGGUCCAUUCAUAUCUUUAUUACAAUAUAUAUAUAUUCAAGAAAUUUGCAGCAAGUUGGAGUUUUGCAAUAAGGAAUUUCCACCAAGAGUUUUGGAAUAAGGAAUUUCCUCCAAGAAUUUUGCAGGAAUCAUAUCUCUAACAAAAGAAAGACCUUCAUUUGACUAAAUUUUUUAGUAUUUAUUUUAACUUCCAUUUUAUUAAAAAAAAACAGAGGUAAAAAAUAUGCCGAACAGGGUCUUUAGGUUACUUUUCUUAGAACUAUAUUAUGUUAUAGUACCGUAUAAGUUAGAGGAGCACAAGUUUAGAUUCAUCCAAUUUUUGAGGAAUUAAUUAAAUAUAUAUUAUUUUAAUAUUAUAGUAUACAGAGGCAAUGUUAGAAAAAAAUUUUGUGGAGUCGAAAUUAAAUUAUAGUUUUAAAAGCAUAUAUCUUUAUAAUUUUUAAAGAAUUAAAUCAAAUUUUUAUCAAUUUUAGGGGGUCAAUGUGCAAUUUUAUCUUUACUAAUUUAAAAUUUUAAAACAUUUAAAGGACCUAAAUAGGAAUUUUUCUAUUUUAGAGGCGUCUGAGACGCCUGUCUAGCUAUGCCCCUGAUAGUGAAUUAGUGGGAUGCCAUAGGUCCUGCUUGUAUAUAAAUAAGAAGGUUAGGCUUCUUCAGAUUAUAUACAUAUAGAAGUUAAAAAUUAACAGACAACUGAGAGAGAAGAGAAAACAGAAAGAUGAUGAUGAUGAUGAUGAUGAUGGAGUGGAAAUGGUUAUGGUUUAUUAGGAUGGCAGUAAUGUUGUUGGUGUUCGAAGGAUGCAGGUGGUGUACUAUUGAUGCUUGUUUGGAGCACGAGAGGAUUGCUCUCUUGCAUCUCAAACCUUUCUUCAAUUCUCGUGAUGAAUUGAAAAGUUGGGUUGAGGUGAAGGGUUCAGAUUGCUGUAAAUGGGAAAGAGUUGAGUGCAACACCACCACUAGGAGACUCAUACAACUUUCCCUUAAUUAUACACAAUGGGAAUUCAACGUGGAAUAUUGGUAUCUCAAUGCCUCUAUGUUUCUUCCCUUCGAGGAAUUGAGGAGUCUUUAUUUGUCAGAUAAUGCCAUAGCUGGUUGCAUUGAAAAUGAAGGUCGUGCCUUUAAUUUUCCCUCAGUUACAUCUUUUAUUAUUACACUAUUCUCACCCUUGUUAAUUUGCAAUUACUUAUAAUUUAUUUUAUUUUAUUGAAGAAAGGUCACUAAAUGUUUGUGUAUAUAUUUAAAAGAACACUCUUACAGGUUUUGGAAAGCUAUCAUCCACAUUGAGUAAUUUGGAGAUUCUUGACUUAAGUUACAAUUACUUGAAUGAUAGCAUUUUGUUAUCUUUGAGUGAGCUUUCAUCUCUCCGAUAUUUGGAUCUAUCAUACAACCGAUUUGAAAGAUCAAGUCAUCCAAGAGGUAAAUUAAGUUUAGUCUGGUGUUAGUUUUUAUUUGUAUUGGGGAGUUUGACAGUGGUUUUCCAUUGUUUUAUUCCCUCUAACUUAGUUUUUGCUUUUAUGGUUGAGAGGAAAAAGAAACAAACAAGUACUUACUCAAAUUAACUAAACAAUGGAUUAUUUUUUUUAUGUUUUGCAGUAACUAAUUCUAUGGUAUAUAAAUCAGGUUUUCAGUGGCUUUCAAGGCUCACUAAAUUGGAAACUCUUCAUCUAAGUGGGAAUUCUUUGAAGAAUAGCAUUUUUUUACAGAUGAGAAAUCUUUCAUCUUUGAAGACUUUAAGUUUGGGUGACAAUCAGUUGGGAGGAAAACUGCUUCAUAUUCAAGGUAGACUGAUUUUACACUUUUCUUGUUAACUUUAAAAUAAAUUCAGUAUGUGAUUUGAUUUUAUCAUAUCAUGAAUAUAACUGAUCAAUAUUUGAGAUUGAAUUUCAGAAUUGAAUCAUUUGGCAAACUUGAAGUACUUGGAUUUAAGUAGGAACAGAAUUGAAAGCAUCUCAAACAAAGGUAUAAGUAAUAAUUUGUGCAUGACUUUCCUGACAGACUUCAAAUGUAUUUUCUUUGUUUUUUUCCUUUUCAUAUGGUUGAGAGGAAAAAAGAUCCUUAUAAUCUUAAAGAGUUGAUAUUGAGAGUUGGUCAUGAGAGAAUGGGUCCUUAAAAUCCUUAAGACCAGGGAGUUUGUGUCCACAGUUGAGUAUUCCAUUUGAAAACUGAAAAUUAAAUAUUCUAUUGCUUUAUUUCUUUUAAAAGAAAGAUUGAGUUUGGAUCUCCGACUGCUUUAUUUUUUUCAAAGAAAGAAAUAUGUUUAUACUUUUGCGCAGAAGAUAUGAAGAAGUCUUAUUUUGUUCUCGCUUUUGUGCAAGUGAAACUUAGUUAUCUCAAAUAUAUAUAUAUAUAUAUAUAUUGUAGUUAUCAGUUCACUACACAAUAGCAUGUAAACCAGUUCCCCCUUUUCAAAUUUAUGAGUGGGAGUUGUCCAUGAUUUUCUUUGUGAUUUUCUUUUCACGUUUUAGGAUUUUCAUCUUCACUUCAAGUUUUAGAUUUACUUUUUUUCAUUUUUAUUUCAUUAACUUAAAAAAGGAAUGCUGGAUCAUAUUCAAGGUAGAUUGAUUUUACAUGUUUCUUUUUAACUUAAAAAAUCAAUAUAUGUUCAAGUUUAAGUGACAACAACAUUGAAAGCAUCUCAAACCAAGGUAUAAGUAUUUGUGCGUAGUAACUUUCUUGACUGACUAUUAUUCCAAAAGGCAAUGACAGACUUCAAAUGUAUUUUCUUUAGUGAAUUUUUAUUGCAAAAAUGGAGUAUUAUUAUUUAUUUAAGUUUUGUAGUAACUAAUUAUAUAAUAUAUAAAUGAGGUUUUCAAUGGCUCAUUAAAUUGGAAAUUAUUGAUAUAAGUUGGAAUUAUUUGAAGAAUAGCAUUCUUUAAAAUAAAUUCAUGUUGAAGGAAAAGUUGUUGCAAUAAGUCAUUUGAUUUUAUCAUAUCAUGAAUAUAUAUAACUAAUCAAUAUUUGGGAUUGAAUUUCAAAAUUGAGUAAUUUAAGUAGGAAGGUAUCUCAAACAAAGUAUUUAUAUAUUGAAUCAAUUCAUCGGAAAGCUUGUAAAUUGGCUCUUCCUUCUCAAACAAACAUUUUUCCUAACUAUUUAUAUAUUGAAUGAUGUUAACUAUACUAAUUACUUUCUUCCAAUGAUAGAUGGAACACAAUUGAGGCUAACAAACUUAGAGGAACUUGAUUUGAGUGGUAAUCUCUUUCGGAACAACACAAUUUCCUUUCCUCAAGGGCUUUCAAGCCUAAAGUCUUUGACUUUGUACAACAACCAUUUGCAAGGCUCAUUAGAUACUAAAGGUACUAAAGCUAUAACUUUGUUUUUCUUGAUAAUUCUUUCUAGAACCUUUUAAAAUUAAUUGUUUCAAUUUUGAACAUUCACAUUUCACGUUUGAGGAUUUUCAUCUUCACUUCAAGUUUUAGAUUUACUUUUUUUUUCAUUUUUAUUUCAUUAAAAUAUUAAGUAGAAAUUAAAAUUAUUAACAUAAUGAUUUUUUGAAUUGGACGUGGAUAUGUAUAGGAUUGAGCAAUUUAACAAAUUUGAAGAAACUCGAUUUAAGUGUGAAUCAGAUUGAAAGCUUUCAAUCCUUUAAAGGUAUGCAUUUAUAUUUAACCAAUUACCUAAAUUCUUACAUAUAAUUAAAUUUUAUGCCAAUUCAUUUCAGUGAUGAAAUUAUAUAAAUCUUUUGUAGAUGGUGGUAGAAAAUUGGAGUUGACCCACUUGGAAGAGCUUUAUUUAGAUUACAAUCAGUUCAAUACUAGUGUAUUUGCAUCCCUUAACAAGCUUUCAAAUUUGAAAUCUUUGAGCAUAUGGGACAAUGGAUUGAAAGGAUCAAUAGAUAUGAAAGGUAAAUAUAUUAGUUUUUUUAACUAGAAUAUAAUCAUGUUUGAAGAGAAUAUAAUGAAGUUGAUUUGUUGUUUUUGUUUUCCUAGAUUUGGAAGCAUUUAUCAACUUAAGGGAACUAGAUAUGAACUAUAAUGAAUUGAAAGAUUUGGUGAUCCACCAAGGUAUCAUUUAAUUAAACUUCCUUUUUUUUUUAAUUUAGAAAUUUAGUUUUGAUCUCAUAUAUUAUAAUAACGGUUAUUGUCAUAAAUAUUAAUAAAGUUAUAUCAUAUCAUACUUGAAAGUAAAAGUUUGGUGAAACAUUUUCUAAAUCAUCCAUUAUAAUGUGUUUGGACUUUGGUUUGAAACUAAAAUUCUUUAAAAUUUUCAUCAUUUUAAAAUAUUAAUGUUUAUAAUUAUUUUGUUUGUAUAAAUAUAUUUUUUAAAAUAAUUUAUUGAAUUUUUAUGAGAUAAAAAAUAAUUAUAACAAUAAAAAAUGAUAUUAUAAAUAAAUAAAAACAUAUAUUUAUGAGAAAAUAUGUAAUAUAACUAUAUUUUAAUUUCAUAUAUUUUUAAUAGUAUAAAACAUAAAAAUACAUAUUAGCGUUAAAUAAAUGGCAUUUUUUGGCAAAAAUAAAUAAAUGUCAAUUUUGAAUAAUUUAAAAAAAAUCUUUAAUUUUGUGAAAUUUAAACAUACAUUGAGAGGUGCUUAAACUUCCAUUGCAAUCUUUUUAUAAAUUUCAAAGUGCAUAUGUUUUUAACUUUUUGGUUUAAAAAAAUAUGAUAGGUCUACGUACUCUUUACUAAUUUGUAAUUUAAUUCUUAUACUUUUAUUUUCAAGAAUUUAAUCCCUGUUUUUUUAUAAAAAAAUCAAAAUCCUAGUUCAAUUGUUAAAAUUGUUAAAAUUUUAAAAUAGUUUGUUGGUGUGACAUUUUGAAAUAAAAAAAAACUUAGUAGUAAUGUAACUAAAAAAUGACGUAAUGAACAUGGAUUUAAUAAAAUAAUUUUAACAAUAUUAAUAAAAUAAUUUUGAAUUUUGAAUUUUAACUUAACUCUAUUUUUGGGCCAAGAUUUAAUGCUUUAAAAUUUUCAUUUAAUCCGCUGAGUUUACUUAUAAUUCUUUUGAGUUUUAUUUAUUGGUGAGUAAAAUACCUAUUUGAUUUUUUUAUAUACUAUUGGCAUCUUUAAAGGUAAUAUAAUAAUUUUAGUGUAGACGUGUUUUAUUUUAUAAAUAUUAUUUAUAGUGUAGACAUGUGAAUUUUGAAUAAUUUAAAAAUAUCUUCAAUUUUAUGAAAUUUAAACAUACAUUUAGUGUAGACAUGUUUUAUUUUAUAAAUAUUAUUUAUAGUGUUGUUGAUUGGAGUUUGAAAAUUAUACAACUUAGCUAUAUCAGUUAAUUACUUAUAUUAAAAAAUAAUAUAAGAAAAUACUAAAAAGAAAAAAAAUAGUAUAAUUAAUAAAAUGGAUGAAGAGUUAUAUUAAAGUUUCAACAUCUUCUCUCUAUCAAAAUUUAUCUCGGAUAAAUCAUGAAUAAUCUAACUCAUAAAAAAAUAUAUAUAUAUUUAUAUACUUCAUUUCAUUCACAGAAAAUAAAGCAUUCCACUUAAUAGAGGCUUUCUAUAAUGCCGUUAUCUAAUACCUCUUGACAUUGCUUAGAUUCAAAUGUGUCGAGCAGUUUGGAGGAAAUAUAUCUUGACUAUUCUACUCUCAACACCAACAUUUUGCAAAGCAUUGGAGUAUUCGCUUCUCUUAAAAUAUUGUCUUUAUCUAAUUGUGGACUUAUUGGUCCCUUACCUAAUCAAGGUAAACAAUUUUAUGGCUCAAUUUGAUUUCUUUAUGAACUUUCUGUAAUAUAUUAUCUCCUAUUCUGUUUUAUAAAGCAAAAUUUAAUUGAAACUUCUUCCAUGAAUUUAUUUAUAAAAUUUUCAGGAUGGUGUGAUCUAAGGAACCUUGAAGUGUUGGAUGUGAGUAGAAAUGCACUUGAGGGGAUGCUUCCUCAUUGUUUUAGUAACUUGACAUCUCUUCGUGAGUUAGAUAUUUCAAGAAACCAUUUUCAAAUUCCGCUGUCAUUUGCACCAUUUGCAAACCUUUCAAACCUCAAAGCCCUUUUGAUUAAUGAAAACAAGAUGGUAAUGGAACCUUCCUUUUAUACCUCAAUCCCAAAGUUCCAAUUGGAAGUCAUCAGUUUGUCAAAGUGCAUAACAUCUCAACAACUCAGUCUUAAACUUUGUACCUUCCUUUACUACCAAUAUGACUUGAGAUAUGUGGAUCUUUCGCAUAACAAUCUCAGUGGAACUGUACCAACUUGGUUGCUAGAAAACAACACAAAGUUAGAAGAUCUCAUCUUGAAGGGUAAUUCAUUUACAGGUCCUCUCUCACUUUCGUCGGCUCUUAUUUCUAAUGUAUCUACAAUUGACAUAUCUGAAAACAAAUUACAAGGUCAAAUUCCAACUGGUAUAUGUUCAACUUUUCCACAUUUGAGGCAGUUAUUCUUAUCCAAGAAUGCUUUUGAAGGUAAUAUCCCACUUUGUUUAAGUGGCAUGAAGGACUUAUCAUUUUUAGAUCUAUCAGACAAUCAUUUGUAUGGAAAAGUACCAGAAGAGUUGAUCACGAAAGGCUUACUAAUCAUUUUGAGACUAUCAAAUAACAACCUCAGUGGAAAUGUAGUUCCUGUGAUUCUCAGCGCAAAUGGGGUGCAGCAUUUAUAUUUGGAUGGAAAUAAUUUUUCAGGAGAGAUGACAAAUGUUGAUGUGUCUACUUUUGAGUUUCCAAAUUCACUAAGCGAAAUUGAUCUCAGUAACAACACUUUGCAUGGAAAGCUCCCAAGAUGGAUAGGGAAUGCAUCAUUUUUGGGGAGAUUAGAUUUGUCCAACAAUGGUUUUGAAGGUUCUAUUCCAAUGGAAUUUUGCAAGUUGAAUAGGUUGGAAUUUUUGGAUCUUUCUCAAAAUAAUUUAUCUGGCUCUAUACCGUCAUGUUUUAAUCCACCAUACAUACAGCAUGUCCACCUCCACGGGAAUAGACUGAGAGGCCCACUAUCACUUGCUUUUUAUAAUAGCUCUUCAAUAGUGACUUUAGAUCUUGGAGGAAACAAUUUGACGGGUAGUAUUCCAAAAUGGAUUUACACGCUUUCUUCUUUGAGUUUUUUUCUCUUGAAAGAUAAUCAUUUUCAUGGUAAAGUUCCUAUUGAGUUAUGCAAGUUGCAUUCUUUAAGCAUCAUAGAUCUUUCUCAAAAUAUGUUUUCUGGUCCUAUACCUUCUUGUUUGGGAAAUUUAUCUCUUCCAAUGCAAAGGAAGAAGAUUCUAGAACCUGGUUUCUAUGGGCCACCUAUAGAAGAGGAUGAAACAACACGCAGUACGAAACUAAAUUUGGGAAUGUAUUCUUACUAUCCUAAUAGCUACUUCGAAGAAGUAAUAGAGUUCACAACAAAGAGUGGGUUCUAUUCAUACAAGGGCUACAUCCUUUCAUAUAUGAAUGGGAUUGAUUUAUCUUGCAACAACUUAACUGGUCAUAUCCCACCAGAAUUAGGGAACUUGAGUGAAAUCCAUUCUUUAAACCUUUCACACAAUAAGUUGACCGGAGUUAUACCCUCGUCACUCUCAAAACUACAUCAAAUUGAGAGUUUGGACCUUUCUUACAACAACUUAAGUGGUGAAAUCCCCAAUCAAUUGGUAGAGUUAAACUCUUUGGAGGUUUUCAGCGUGGCAUUUAACAACUUGUCAGGUAGUAUUCCCGAACCAAAAGCUCAAUUUGGGACCUUUAUUGAAAAUAGUUAUCAGGGAAAUCCGUUUCUUUGUGGAGUUAUAUUGCAUAAAAGUUGUUCCAAAACCGAUUCACCAUCAACGAUAUCAAUUGUAUCAGAAGAUAAAGGAGAAGAUGGUUUGAUAGAUACUUAUGAUUUUUGUGUGAGCUUUUUGGUUUCUUAUGUAGUUGUGUUGUUGACAAUUUUUGUUGUCCUCUACAUAAAUCCAUACUGGCGAAGAGCUUGGUUUUCUCUUGUUGGGAAAUGCAUUACCACCUGUCGCUACUCAAAUGUGGGCAAUUUUCUUACUUAUCACAUUUUCAAGCGAUGUGUUUAGCUACUCAAAUUGUGAUUUGAUUUCCACACCUAAAUGUUUAAUUAUGCUAAGUUGAGCGAUAAUGAAUAUUUUGUUGAUUUUUGCAUUUUGAAUAAAAGCUCUUUUAUCUUAUGGUUUUAUCAUUUUCAACCAUCUAUUUCUUUUUUCUUCUAUGAAAUUUAAUAUAAAAUCAUAAUCCAUUAUUAUGUAUAUGCAAUAUCUCUUUAAAUUAAAUUAAAUUAAAUUAACUGCCAAGCGUUCACUAGUGCAUACUAAAAAGGAAAUCUAAUGUAAAAUUAAAUCAAACAUACUACAGAAUUGAAUCUAAAACUGGAAUAUUUUAAAACCUCACAAACAAUGCAAUUCUUUAUUCCUCUUUUCCUCUCAAGUUAUUUUGUAUCAUGUUAUAUUUUACAUAAUUAAUCGUAUCAUCAAAUUUUAAAAAAAUUUUAAUAUUUUGAUAUCAUGUUCAUAUUAUGCUUUAAUUCACAAUGUAUUUUGUAUAAUAUGUUAUAACAAUUCAAUUUAAAAAACAAACAAUUAUCUUAUUUUUGCAUACCGUAAUAUACAUUUACAUGUUAAUAAUUCUUUGUACAUAAAUUUUGACAUGUUCGUAUAUUCGAGUCAUUAUAAUUUUAUUAUUUGUAAUAUGACAUGUUUUACUUACCCUUAAUAUUGUGUCAUGAUAAUUAUAACUCGAUUGGCAGUGUACCAAAUAUUUUUCUAAUAAAAAAUAGUAUUUUAUUCUAUUUACCAAAUCUUUAUCAACUUUAUUUUCUCACCAACAAAACAUACAUUCAAAGUUCAAAUAAGUUCCACACCCAUUUUUUUACUGCAAUACUCAAGAAUAUGCUCAUCAUCAGAAAUCUGAAAUAUUCCACUCUAAUUAACAUUAUGAUUCUGUAAACAACAAAAAAGUGUGAUACUUUUUUAAAGCUCUUUUUUUUUCUUUAAUGAAAUGGGAUUGGUAAAAAAUCCGCACAUGUGUCGUGUGUGAAGGUGGUCAGGUUGUCUAUUCAUACUGUAAUAAGUAGCUAAUUAUAGUUGAUCCUACAAAAUCAAAAUUAAUUCAGGUAUCUAUAUAUUCUGAAGACUGGACAGACCUUAGAAGCUCCUUCAAAUUUGCAAGAACAUGUCGUGGUCCUAAACUCUUUACACCGAUGAAAUUCAAAAGUUGCUCUAUAUCCUGCAAUCACAGUAAAGAUUAUGCAAGCUUUUCAGAACGAAUAACAUAACAAGCAAAAGGCAAUCAAAAUACUGUGAUCUCGAUAAUGUUCUUUGCCGAAAAGGAACAUAAACAUAACCUGAAAACAUCAGUGAAGGCUCAUCAGAUUUGCUUAGCAACCUUACAUACACAUGUAAAAAGCUUUGCUUUUGGAUGUAUGGUGUGACUAUCAUCACAGUCUUUCCUAAUUAGCUGAUAACCCUAUAUCUAACAUUUAUCAGGGCUAAGCAAAUUAACAUACAUAAUGUAAAGGAAUUUGACCAUAAGAUCCAACAGAAAACUUAAUAAAAGAUAAUCAACAUAGAAAGUUAAAAGGCAAUGCAAACUUAUUACAAUGAUGCAAGUGGAUCAAAAGAAAGCACUCUAUAAGGAAUUUGUAUUUAAGGCAUUGUAAACAGAAAAAAAAUAAUAAAACUUUUCGGAAAGUAUUUUCAAAGAGGAGACAAAAACAGGGUAGAAAAAAUGUUUGGUCCUUCCUUUUUCUAUUUCUACUGUGGUGAAAAAGCCUUUUUGGGUUAAAAGUGUUUUUACACUGCAGAAGUGUUUUUCCACUGCAGAAGUGAUGAAGAACACAUAGCUUUGUAGUCAAAAACCUACUGCUUUUGGCUUUUGCAUUUCGAAGUGAAAAUUAUAAAAAUACUCUUAGAUUAAUUUAUAUUUUAUAUAUUAUUAUAUUAAAUUGUUAAAUCUUAUUUAUUAUUAUAUUUAAUUUUUUUCAAAAUAUUUUAUACAUCAUCAAUUUUACAAAUAAUUUAUAUUAAUUACUUUUAAAAGUUAUAUUUCAUGUAUCAUUAUAUUAAAUUAUUUAAAUAUCAUAUAACAUCACUAAUUUUCUACUUUCUACCAUCAUGUCUAAAAUAGACAUUUUAACUUUCAACCGCAAUUUUUGGCAGCAAUGAACAACACUAAAAACUAACAAACACACUUUUCCGCACCACAUUUCAAAAACACUUUUUUCUAAACGCACUUUUGAACUAGUCCUUAGUCUAUCAUGCAUCAACUCUUCAUUUUUCUUUAACUACCCAUGUCCGACUUCGAACAUGGAUAUGGAGAUAUGACCAAGUCACAGUGACAUAGUUUUUAGUUAUGGGGAAUGGGAUUCGAGUGCUGGACCUCCUUCUAGAUGCAUGGUGGGACUUCAUCACAUUUUUCAAAUUUGUUGAUAAUCCUUCACCUAAUCUGCCGGUGAAGUUUAUAGAUAGUUGUUGACACCAUUUUUUUGAUGAAAACGGGAUCGACUUGGAUUUUGAAAAAAGAAUGAAAACGGGAGUCGCCACCAAUCCUUUUUGACGAGGUGUGAUCGGGUCACCUCAAAAUGUGGUUGUUUUUAAUAAAUGAUUUAAUUUUAUUAAAACAACGAUUUUGGUCUACGAAAUUCAGAAAAAUGAGUUCGGGAGUCGGUUACACACGAGGAAGGAUUAGCACCCUCGAUACGCCCAAAAUUGGUACCUAGUUGAUUAAUUAGUGUCUUAGUGUCGAAAAUUGAAAAUUUGAAGAGUUUUAAAAAUACGAUCCUUAAAAGAAAUUCUGAUAACGUGAAUUGAAAUAUAAGAUUCUCUUGUUCCGAAGGAAUAUCACAUCCAGCACGUUAGGACACGAUACUCUAAACCAUCGAAACCAAGAUCAUCUUAUAGUUUAAUGAAACCACACUUUGAAGCUUUAAGAGGAUAUUUGGCUAUUUAGUCGAACGAGAAAUCGAAACCCAGCACGUUAGGGCACGUUUUCUCGAUUUUCCAAACGCGAAAUAUCGCCUUAUUUAGAAAAAUUUUCCUUUUGAUGUUUGGUGUUAAUGCUUGACAAAACAAUAACGAAUACGACAAGGUGAGCAAAGUAAAGUGAGUAACAACAAUACAAUAGGCAAAAUGAAAUGACGAGGCGAUUACAUAAACAAAGCAUACAAAUAAAUAAAUAGAACUAACAUUUAAAAAAAAGCAUAAGUGUACACGAAUAAAUAAACAAACACCAAAUAACAAUGAUGACAAUAAAUACAAUUAUGUAAAAAUGUAUAUACAUGUAUAAUUUUAAGCCAUGAAAUAAGAAACGCAUAUAAAUUAUAGAAUAUGAAAACAUAGAUAAAUAUAUACAUAUGUGUAAAAAAUAAUAUUAUAAAAAGGGUACGUAUAUAUGUAUAAAAAAAUAAAUGUAUUAACAAUGAAUAUAAUAAGGGUAAGAAAACAAGUAUAUACACAAUAUAUAUGUAACGUGGUACUAAGGAUAUAUAUAUACAAUACAGUAUUUAAAAUAAUAUUUACGUAAUAUAAAAUAUAAUAUUAAAAGGUAUAUGUACAUACGUAAUAUAUAAAUACAUAUAUAAUAUAAUGUUAAAAUAUUUACAUAAUACUAAAAUAUUUAGGUAAUAUAUGCGUAUAUUGAAAACUAGUAAUAAUAUUAUCGAGGUAUAUACAAAUAUAUCAAGUAUAUACACGUAUUAUAAAUAUAUAAAUAUAUGACAAAGCAUAAACUAAUAAAAAUAAUAAGAAUAAUAAUAAUGAUAACAUUGGAAUAUAAAAGAAACAAACAUAACAUUAAUAAAAUAUUAAAAUAAAGUGAAAUAAAAAUAUUAAAUAUGAGAAUAUAUAUAGGUAUACACGUACAUAAUAAAAAUAUAUACUAAUACAUAAUAAUAAUAAUGGUAAUACUAAUAAUACUAAUAAUAUAAAAAUAACAAGGAUAUUUAAUAAAGAUAUAAAAAUCAACAAAAAAGGACUAAAAUUGAAUUGAAAGCAAAGUUGUGGGGCCAAUUUGAAAUGAAAACAAAGAAAAAGGACUUAAUUGUAACACGCAUGCAACUUGGAGGGUCAAAAGCGCAAUAAACCCAAGUAUUAAAAACGCUGCGCAGCGUGGGGGACCAGAAUGAAUUCGGGGCAACACCAUGGAGCCAAAUUAAAAAUAAAAAAACCUUGAUUGUAAACUCCCAGAAAGGCGGAAGGGCUAAAAGUGCAAUUAGCCCUUCCAAAGAAAAAAACACGCGGAUCUUCCUUGGUGCAGGUCGGGUCGACCCGACCCGUGUUCAAAACGACGUCGUUUCAUUUAUUUAAACCGGGGGUCCAAAACGGUGCGUUUUGACCCCCUAUAAAAGUCAAAAAAACUUCAAAAAAAAAUCAUUUGUAACGCUGAGGGAAAAAAAAGAAAAGGGAGAGAGGAGAGGGGAGCCCGGAGCGAUUUCCGGCCAAGGGAGGGGUCACCGGACGGCCACCGGAGGCUCGCCGGCGUCAGCGCCGGCCACCGCACGCGGUGGCCGGAAAGGUAAAAUUUUUUAUAUUUUUUUUAUAUUUUUUUUGUUAUUUAUUCUUGGUCUUAGAAUGUAUAGAUUUUAGGUUUAUAUUAAUAAAAAAGGUAUAGAUAUGUAUAUAGAAAUCGAAAGAAAAUGGAUGAAAACAAAAAGGUAACCUUUUCCGUUUGCCUUUCCUUUUUCCCGAAUGCUUGCUAUCUCAGUACUGAGAUCUAUGUAUUUUUUUUAAAAUUUUAGCUUCUGUUUUUUUGUAUUAAAAUGCCAAAAAACAAACAAAAAGAAGAAAGAAAAAAAACCCCCUGAUACAAUUUUUGAUUCGGGUUUUUAUAACCCAUUUUCAUCUAAUUUCCUAUUGUUUCUGUUUUGUCUCUUUGCAUGGGAUGGGCACGAUGGAGGUGACAGAGGCAUGGUGGUACAGAGGAGCAGGUGGCCGACAUGGUGGCAUGGAGAGCUGGGCGUGGCAGACAAGGAGGCCACGCGAGGCAUGCGGCGCUAGGGUUUGGGGGGCAUCUUUCUUCCGAAAAUGUUAAUGUUGUCUGGGCUGGGUUUUUAAUUUUUGUUUCGGGCCAUGGGCUACAUUGGGCUUGUUAUUUUCCUUUGUAAUUGGACUGUUGUUUAUCUUGUUUUAAUAUUCGGGCCUGGGCAUAAAAUUGGGCCUUACAGCUGCCCCUCUUUGCUUGUUAUCGUGUAACGAGAACAGAGCAAAGACUAAAAAAGGCCAAUUUGGCCCGGGCUCACCGAGUUUUGACUUCUUUUGGUGCUUCCUUUCUUCAAGCCUCAUUCUAGUCCACUGCGUCUUAUGAUUCUUCGAUCUGCUCUACUGCAACUUCAGAUACGCCUUAUAGCUUCAAUCUACUCUGCUACGACUCCAUGGGGAUGAGAUUUGUGUUUUUAGUCUGCUUCACUACUACUUAGGGAGAUAAGACUGUGGUUUCGUCUGCUCCGCUACUGCUUAGGGAGAUAAGACUGUAAUCUCCGAUCUAUUCCACUGUCAAAUACAGGGAGAUAGAGUUAUCAGCUUCAAUGUACUCCACUGUAGUCACAGGGAGGUAAAAUCUGCCAUCUUUGAUCUUCAAUCUAUUCCACUGCCAAAUACAGGGAGAUAGAGUUAUCGGCUUCAAUGUACUCCACUGUAGUCAGGGAGGUAAAAUCUGCCAUCUUCGAUCUGUUUCGCUGCCAAAUACAGGAAGGCAAGAUCUGCAAUCUUCGAUCUACUUCACGCCAAUACAUGAAGAUAAGAUCUGCUUUCUUCGAUCUACUUUGCCACCAGUAUGGGAAGACAAGAUCUGCAUCGUCGAUCCACUUCCUACCAAUAUAGGAAGACAGGACCUGCUAUCUUCGAUCUACUUCACGCCAAUACAUGAAGACAAGAUCUGCUUUCUGCGAUCUACUUCGCCACCAAUAUGGGAAGACAAGAUCUGUAUCUUCGAUCCACUUUCUACCAAUAUAGGAAGAUAGGAUCUGCUACCUUCGAUCUACUUCACGCCAAUACAUGAAGACAAGAUCUGCUUUCUGCGAUCUACUUCGCCACCAAUAUAGGAAGACAAGAUCUGCAUCUUCGAUCCACUUCCUACCAAUAUAGGAAGAUAGGAUCUGUUAUCUUUGAUUUACUUCACGCCUAUACAUGAAGACAAGAUCUGCUCUCUGCGAUCUACUUCGCCACCAAUAUGGGAAGACAAGAUCUGCAUCUUUGAUCCACUUCCUACCAAUAUAGGAAGAUAGGACCUAUUUACGCCUAGUGUUUAGGAUGACAUGAUCAGAAUGAAUCAAAUGCUCCUAACUAGAUGCGUAUGUAUUAUAUUUGUAGAAUGUCAUGAGAAUGAUCCAUUUUUAAUGCUUAGGUUGUCAUUCUUCAUUGUUCAUCAAGGUUCUAUCACUGAUGCCUUCUUGUUCAGCCAGUACCUUUGACAGAAAACCUAAAGAAAUAGACGCUAUUUAGACUAUCAUUUCUCAAAUGUUUCCAACCCUUAGGUUUGGUUAGUUCUAAACAAUAGUCCUGUUUCAGGUCAUCGUAUUAUUUAGAAACUUUCAGAGUAAUAUGCAGAACUCCUUCUGCAUGUGUAUUGUCAGUCCAUUAAUCGUUAUUUCAAUGAAAAAUGCUUGAAAAAGAUUAUCAAAAUGGACAAAAUGGAAUUUUGUUGAGAGCAAAGCUCUAAACAAACAAAUCAAGAUAGCAAAUUUGCUGAGAUACGAGAUGAAUAAGAUGAAAAAGAUUAUCACAACGGAUAAGAUGAAAAUUUGCUGAGAGCAAAGCUCUGAAUGAACAAAUUAAUCAAGAUAGCAAAUGUUGCUAGAAUACAAAACGAGAAUAAAUUAAUCAAGAUGAUGUAUUUUGUCAAAAAUACAGAAAAUGAAUAAAAUGGAAAUAAGUGCCCCAGAUAUCGUAGCAUGAGCUUCUCUGCCCCAAACUUCUUAAGGACCCUUUUGAACUUGAUAUGUGUUUAGAAGUCCUAGAAGGCUUUGUUGAUGCCCCAUCUUUGAUCGAAAACUACUUUAUGCCUCAUCCUUGAUCGAAAAUUUGAAUUGCCCGUUCCUGGGUUUUCAAUUCAAAACCCCUUUGGUCUCAAGGUGCCCUUUGCGGGUUUUCGCCUUGGCCUCUCCUCUUUUUUUUUUUUAGGCAAAGUACCUCUUCACUGAAUCCGAAUUCACAGGAUUGGGCAAGCUUUUGCCAUCCAUCCUAGUUAAAAUUAAUGCCCCUCCUGAAAAGGCCUUUUUUACUACAUAAGGUCCCUCCCAGUUUGACAUCCACUUUCCUCUGAAGUCUUUUUGUAUGGGAAGGAUCUUCUUCAGUACCAAGUCCCCUUCAUGGAAGUUUCUAGGACGAACUUUCUUAUUGUAAGCUCGCAUCAUUCGUUUCUGGUAUAUUUGACCAUGACGGAUAGCUCUUAACCUCCUUUCCUCAAUCAAGUUCAGCUGAUCAUAUCGGGAUUAGACCCAUUCUGCUUCGUCUAACUUUAGUUCUGAAAAAACUCAGAGGGAGGGAAUUUCAACCUCAAUUGGUAGCACUGCCUCCAUUCCAUAAACCAAAGAGAAUGGUGUUGCCCCGGUAGAAGUCUUGACGGACGUUCGAUAAGCAUAGAGGGCGAAUGGCAACUUCUCGUGCCAAUCUCUAUAGGUCUCAGUCAUUUUCCCCACAAUCAUUUUGAUAUUUUUAUUGGCUGCCUCCACCGCACCAUUCAUCUUUGGACGGUAUGGCGAUGAGUUGUGGUGCUUGAUAUUGAAUUGACUACAAACUUCUGCUAUCGUGCUAUUAUUCAAAUUUAAUGCGUUGUCAGAUAUAAUCCUUUCGGGCAUUCCAUACCGACAUAUGAUUUCCUUCUUUAAAAACUUGCUGACAGCUGCCUUUGUGACGUUGGUGUAAGAAGUAGCCCCUACCCACUUAGUAAAGUAGUCAAUCACUACAAAAAUGAAACGAUGUUCGUUUGAAGCCUUUGGCGAUAUCGGCCCAAUGACGUCCAUGCCCCACAUGGAGAAAGGCCAUGGGGAAGUCAUGACGUGAAGAGGUGAUAGAGGCAUAUGGAUUUUGUCUCCGUAAAUCUGGCAUUUAUGGCACUUCUUAGCAUAUUUGAUGCAGUCUCCUUCCAUGGUAGACCAAUAAUAUCCAAAUCUCAUGAUUUGUCUGGCCAUUGUGAAACCGUUAGCGUGUGUUCCACAAAUACCAUCAUGGACUUCUUCCAAGAUCUGUUUGGCCUCCAUAGCGUCCACACAUCUUAACAGCACCUGAUCUUUUCCUCUUUUGUACAGGAUCUCUCCAUCUAAGACGUAAUCACUGGCCAGCCUCCUCAACAUUCUCUUGUCAUUCUCAGUUGCUUGGUUUGGGUAUUCACGAUUUUUUACGUAUCGCAAUAUAUCCUGAUACCAAGGGUUUUCGUCCUUUUCUUCUUCUUCGUCAAUGUUACAACAGUGGGCUGGAGCAUCAUAAAUGCUCAUUUGGAUAGGCUUCACAUCCUCUGGUCUAUUUACUUUGAUAAUGGAAGCCAAUGUAGCUAAAGCGUCGGCCAUCUGAUUCUCGUCUCGUGGAAGAUAACAAAAAGUGAUGUCGUCAAACUCCUCAAUCAAUUCUAGGACUAUCCUUCGGUAACUAAUCAACUUAGGUUCUCUUGUUUCCCAUUCGCCUUUGAGCUGAUAAAUUACCAAUGCCGAAUCCCCAUAUACCUCAAGUACCUUGAUUUUGCGUUCUAUAGCCGCGCGGAUUCCCAUGAUACAUGCUUCAUAUUCCGUCAUGUUAUUUGUGCAAUCAAAAUCUAGUUUACUGGUGAAAGGAUAAUGAUCACCGUUUGGAGAUACCAAGACUGCCCCAAUCCCGUUGCCCAUGGCAUUUGAGGCUCCGUCAAAAUUUAAUUUCCAAGUAUUGCCUUCUUGUGUGCUUGCUUCAGUAGUUGCCACAUACAUCAGAUCCUCAUUUGGAAAAUCAAAGUUCAAAGGCUCAUAAUCGUCCAGGGCUCUACUUGCUAGAAAAUCUGCUAUCGCGCUCCCUUUUACAGCCUUUCGAUUCACAUAGGUUAUGUCAAAUUCAGAUAGUAGAAUUUACCAUCGGGCCAUCCUUCCGUUUAGAGCAGUUGACUCCAUCAUGUAUUUCAGAGGGUCUACCUUUGAGAUUAACCAAGUCGUAUGGUACAACAUGUAUUGUCUCAAUCUUCGAGUAGUCCAAACCAAUGCGCAACAUAAUUUUUCAAUUGGCGAAUACCUCGUUUCGCAUUCAGUGAACUUUUUACUGAGAUAAUAGAUCGCUCUUUCCUUUCGUCCUGACUCAUCAUGUUGGCCGAGCACGCACCCCAUGGAAUUCUCAAAUACUGCCAAGUAUAGUAUCAAUGGUUUGUCAGGGCAAGGUGGUAUCAGUACUGGGGCGUUGGACAAGUAAUGUUUAACUCUUUCGAAAGUUUUCUGGCACUCUUCAUCCCAUACACCUGGAUUGUGUUUCCUAAGAAGACGGAAUAUGGGGUCACAUUUCUCGGUUAAUUGUGAAAUGAAUCGAGCGAUGUAAUUUAGUCUUCCUAGGAAACCCCGAACUUCUUUUUGAGUACUUGGCGGAGGUAAUUCUUAUAUGGCCUUAACUUUGUCUGGGUCAAUUUCAAUUCCCUUUUCGCUGACUAAAAAUCCUAGCAAUUUUCCUGAUCUAGCCCCGAAAGUACACUUGGCUGGGUUAAGUUUUAGCUGGAACUUCCUUAACCUCAGAAACAGUUUUCUCAGAACUUGCACGUGUUCCCUUUCUGUUCUGGAUUUUGCGAUCAUGUCAUCAACAUAAACUUCUAUCUCUUUAUGCAUCAUAUCAUGGAAUAAUGCUACCAUGGCUCUCUGAUACGUUGCUCCCGCAUUUUUCAAUCCAAAAGGCAUCACUUUAUAACAAAACGUCCCCCACAUCGUUAUGAAUGUGGUCUUCUCCCUGUCUUCAGAAAGCAUCUUAAUUUGGUUGUACCCGGAGAAACCAUCCAUGAAAGAGAGCAGUGAGUAUCCGGCCGUGUUGUCUACCAAGGUAUCGAUAUGAGGAAGUGGGAAAUUAUCUUUUGGGCUGGCUUUGUUCAAGUCUCUGUAGUCCACACACAUUCGCACCUUCCCAUCUUUCUUAGGAACAGGGACUAUAUUGGCUACCCAUUCUGAGUACUUGACCACCUGUAAGAAACCAGCAUCAAAUUGCUUCUUAACUUCUUACUUUAUUUUUAGCAAGACAUCAGGCCUCAUCCUUCGGAGCUUUUGUUGGACUGGUUUGCAUUCUUCCUUUAUAGGCAAUCGGUGUACCACGAUAUCAGUACUUAACCCUGGCAUAUCUUGGUAGGACCACGCGAAGACAUCUUUAAACUCUUGAAGCAACUCAACAAGGUCUUGCCUUGUUUCCUUGGCAAUGCAAGCGCCAAUUUUUACCUCUCUGCUCUCUUCUAAGGUCACAACUUCUACUGAUUCCUUAUAGGGUAUAAUUUGUUUUUCUUCUUCUUUCAUCAUUCUUAACAAAUUCGGAGAUAAAACGCUGUCUUGGUCACCUUUAAAAUCUUGAGGAUCAUCUAUACUCAUGUCUUGCUCAAAUAGAGACUCUGAAUUAGUAACAGAGUCGCUCAUCUCGUUGAUAUUUGAAGACCUGUUAUUGGAACAAAUGGAGGCCCAAAUAAAAGGAUCUAAGAAUACUUGUAUGCAUAUUAUGAUUAUAAAGGGAAUGAAAAGAAUGAAAGAAUACUUGCUCAAGAUGAAACUGAAUGAUAAGUUUUCACUGAAAUUAGAUUUUGAACAUGUGCAUUUUACAAAAGAUUCUUAUCACCCCCAGGCUUAGGGCAACAAGUGUUCUGAAUAUUACUCUGAAUUAGUUCUAAAUGUUACAGGGAUCUCUUCUGCAGUCCAGUUAUUCGGAACACUUCCAGGUUCGUAAGGACGAAUGCCCGAUAAAUUCCUUUCCACCCUUUCUUCCGCGGAUAUGGCAUUGAUGUCCAACCUCUCAAUCCUUCCUUCUGUAACCUCAUCCUUCUCUUCAGGGUGGACAAUUCCCCCUGAAACAAAAGUCUUAGAUAUAUGAGGAAAGGUUAUCGGUCCCCACUUGGCUUCUAUCCCGCCCAAAUGUGCUCUUCUCCUUUCUUGUCUUUUCUCCAUCUCCUUCCUCCUUUCCCUCGCAAUAGGCUUAUAUCCCAAACCAUAACGGUCCUGUUUGUUAACUAGGAUCGGUACUCCGACCCUUCCCUGGAGGUAUUUUCCAAAUCCUCUUCCAGGCAAUGCUCCCUUUCCCACCGUUAAGUUCAUUGACGUAGCUUUGGAUAUCUUAGGCUCUGGGAUUUUGCUCAUCUCAAUGACAAAUAUGGCAUUUACGAAUUCCAAUGAUCGGAAUGAACAUUCUAUCGCUUCACUAUCAGCCUCUAUGUAUGGCAUAUCAUCGGUGACUGAUGCAAUGAUGUCUUCUUCUGCACCUAUAGUCACCAAUCUACCCUCUACCACCAAUUUUAACUUUUGGUGAAGUGACGAUGGUACAGCCCCUGCAGAAUGGAUCCAAGGCCUCCCUAAUAGGCAAUUGUAAGAUGGUUUAAUAUCCAUUACCAAAAAGUCUACCUCGUAUGUAUUUGGACCAAUCAAUAGAGGUAUCUCGAUUCUUCCCAUCACUUUUCUCUCAGUGCCAUCAAAUGCUCUCACUAUAUUUUGGCAUAAUUUCAUGUGAGAACUAUCCACAGGUAGCCUGUUUAAUGUGGACAGGGGUAAAACAUUCAGGGCCGAUCCAUUGUCAACGAGUACCGCCGGUAGUAUACACCCCUUGCAACGGGCAGUGAUGUGCAAGGCCUUGGUAGAUCCCAUACCGCCUGGCGAGAUCUCAUCAUCGUUGAAGAAGAUGAAGUUAUCGGCAUUUAUAUUGUUAACCAGGCAAUCCAAUUUGUCCACUGAGAUAUCUUUAGCGACAUAAGUUUCAUUUAGCACUUUUACUAACGUAUUACGAUGUAUCUCUGAACUUAGAAGUAACUCGAGCACUGAGAUGCGAGCCGGUUACUUAUGCAGUUGUUCCACCACGCUAUACUCGCUAUGCUUCAAGAAUUUUAAGAAUUCUCUAGCCUCAUUUUCAGUCACCGGUGUAUUAAUAUGCGGUUCAAUUCCGGUCUUCGUUUUAUCUUGUUCAACCGCCAAGGCUUUUCCUUUUAUAGGCCCCCUUUUUGUAUUUCCCGGGUCGCAACGUUUUCCACUACGCGUAUAAAAGCCUGUGUCAUUACCCUCUUCUGAAGCAUUUAUCGGGUUCUCCUCUCCCGUGAUCAUCACAUUGCAGUCAUAAUUCUAAGGAACCUUUUUACUAUCCUUGUAAGGAAAGGCUACAGGUUUUUGGAUUAUGACCCUUGGCGCCAGUUGUAUUCCAGAUCCUGUGCUUGUUGGCCUUGAAAUAAUCACCACCGGGUGAUUUUGGGCCUUUCUCGUAGGCCCCUCCUCUGAGGCAUAAACUUCUCCUUUCUCAAGUCCUUUGAUCUCUUCAUAAAAUUCUAACUCUUUGUUGUUCAUCAGAUUUUGUAACAUGGCCUUGAAAUCAGUGCAAUUUUGAAUGUCAUGGUCUUCUUCAGCAUGAAACUCGCAGUACGUCUUCGUUCCUUCGGGCCUUUCUUUUGAAUCUUGUUUGAUGAGACCUCCUUCUAUCAUUUGUCUCCAAACCCAACUCAAUGGGGUUUUUAUCUCUGCAAUGUCGGUUUUGAUUCUCUUUCUCCCACCUUCGAUUAUUGCGUUUACCCCUUUAUCAGCAUGAUCGGGUAACGGAUUCGCUGCUACAUUUGGUCCUAAUGGGUUGUCAAACUUCACAAUCCCCAUCUUAAUGAACCUUUCCACCGCCUUUUUAAACCCAGUGCAGUUCUCAAUUGAGUGCCCCGGUAUCCCUGCAUGGUAUUCACAUUGGGCAUUCGCGUCAUACCAUUUGGGAUACGGAGGUUGCAUGGGCUCUAGAUAAAAUGGAGAUACUAUGUGUGCAUCAAAUAACUUCUGAUACAGUUCCCCGUAUGUUAUUGGAAUGGGCGUGAAUUAAAGUCUCUCUGUGUUAGUCCUUGUGUUAGGCCUCGUGUUGGGUUCCUGCCUUGAGGGGGCUUGGUGACUAGUGGUUAUCAUUUUUGGAGGGCCAACAGUAAUCAGUUUUGAAUGGCUCUUGCUAUAUGUGCAUACGUUGUUUACUUCGCCCUCUUUUUUUCUUCGGGCUGGUCUUUUGAAGUUUUCCCCAGUGUCAAUUUUACCGCUCCUUACCGCGUUCUCAAUCAUUUCACCAGACAUUACCAUAUCCGAGAAACUCUUGGUAGCACUCCCCAACAUGUGGUUGAUGAACAGGGCUUUCAAAGUGUUGAUAAACAACAUGGUGACCUCUUUUUCCAAAAGGGGUGGCUGGACUUGUGUUGCCACUUCUCUCCAUCGUUGGGCGUAUUGCCUGAAAUUCUCGCUAGGCUUUUUUUCCAUGUUUUGUAACGUAAUUCGAUCGGGUGUUAUAUCCAUUACAUGACUGUAUUGCUUCAUAAAAGCUUGCGCCAAGUCUCUCCAUGAACUAACUUUAGCACGACUCAGUUGGUUGUACCAUUUGGCUGCAGAUCCGAUCAAACUGUCCUGGAAGCAGUGGAUUAACAGCUGAUCAUUGUUGACGUAUCCUGUCAUUCUUCGACAGAACAUAGUUAUAUGAGCUUCAGGACAACUAGUCCCAUUAUAUUUUUCGAAUUCUGACAUUUUGAACUUAGGUGGGAGUACUAAACCAGGGACCAAACUCAGAUCAUUGACGUCAACCCCGCGAUGACAGUCGAUGUUCUCCAUGGCUCUAAAUUUUUCCUCUAACCAUCUACAUCGGUCCUCCAGUUGUUUUGGCAGGUUCAUUCUUGUUUUUUCUGUUUCUGCCACGUCAUCGAGGUCCGGGACCACCAGAUUAGUGGGAUUAUCCCCGGGAUUAAAACCCGAGCCCAUUUGAAAAUGCACUGGUACCGAGGUACCAGCCAGAUAUUGAGGUCCUAUGGUAACUGGUACCCUCUGUGGGUACACCUCUGGUUGUGCUUGGAUGUUAGUUGGGGUGAAACCUGGAGGAUAAACAGGGUCAUCGUGAUCCUCCCCAGCAUCAAUUACGGGGUCUUUUCCUUUGUUAUUCCCUCCAGCCAAUAACUGCUUUAAUUGGUUCAUCACGGUGUUCUGGGAUUCUAACAUGUCCUGCUGGAUUUUUUCCAGUCGUUCAUGCAUCUGAUCUUGCAUCUCUCGUUGCAACUGUUCCAAUCUUUCCAACCUUUGAUCCAUUGCUUUUGUUUGGCGACGAGUACCGUAGUGAUAUUUGAUUAGAUUUUUGUUGGUUUCCAGGGUAACUGUCAUAAUUUAAUUUUAUUAGGGUCAUUUUAUGAGAUGUAAUGCAAAUGUAUGAGAUGAAUGCAAAAAAAAGAGGCAUUGAUUCGAAUUCAAUUUCAUUAGAAAACUCAACUAGAAAGCAAAUUUCUUUACAUAAAAUAAAUUACAUAUACGGCUUCGCCUUUAUACCCAAAGCCUUAACCUUCCUAAGAAGCCAACUAAAUCUCGACCUCGGCUUGAUUCUGACUCAUAUUUUAAACUCAAUACAUCGGCCUGAAUUGCUAAUGUUUGCAGAUGAUCAGCCACUUCCCGCACUUGAGUCACAGCUUCGCCCAUAACGUAAUCUCUAUCUCUAAUCUGACUUUGAGAAUGAUGGAAUUGCUCUUGCCAUUGAUCAUUACUCCUCUCAAGAAGCUCCAUUCGUAGCUCAGAAUUGUGUAAUGCGUCCUCAAGCUCCUCUACCUUUCCUUUCAGUUCUUCGAUCUUAUUUAAGCUUGCUCUUAAUUCGAUCAUGGAGUUGCGACUACGGUACGAGUGAAGUGACUUUUCUAGCUCUGCCACCUUGGCCUUUAAUCCUGCCUUCUCAUUUCGGCACUCUAACAAACUCCUUUCCAAAGCGUUUUCUCGAGCUCAAGCAUCUUGAAAUUUCUUUUCCCACUGAUCGGCCCUAUUCUUUUCCUCAUUGAUCUCUUGUCGCCAUUGCUCUGACGUUUUACCCAGACCGACAGUUCUCAUUGACAAUCGCAGCUUCUUGUAAUCUAUUUUUAGACUAUCCAAAUCCUCUUCAGCCUUGUUCUUUCCCUUCUUUAAUUUCUCGGCUUCUAGCUUGUGGAUAUCGAUGUCUAAUCCCAAAUGCACUCUUUCUUCUUCUAGCUGUUCUAUCCUCUUUCCCAACUCAGAAUUUCUUUUCUCAAAGUCUCGUUUGAUGAUCUCUAAUUCUGACGGAACUACUUGUAGAUGCUCCUCUAUAGACUGAACGCAAUCUUCCCUCGGCUUAGGGAUGUUGUCAUUGACUCUUUUACUCCACCACCCAUAAUAUUCUGAAGUUGUCAUCGCUCCUACGGUAAAUCUUUUCAUUCGGUGAACCUGUUUCCAAGCGUUAGAUAUUUCUCGAGUUUUUCUCUUGUAGUUUUCAUCCUUAUAAGAAAACUCACAUUGAGCCAGCCCUUGUGUUGCUGGUAUGAACUGUCUCGAUCUAUAUUGUCUUAAUACGAGUAAAGGGGCAUAACCGACAGCUCCCCAAAUUUCGAGUAAAGGGACCCAGUCGAAAUCCCCACAUCGAUACAGGAUCUCGUCGGGUACCAUCCAAGGAGCUUUCCAUUCAACGUCAUCCUCCUGAAGAUUUUGGAGAAUCGUCAUCCACUUCUCUUCCGUGAUGUCGUCUCGUCUUGGUGUAGCAACUUGUUCCUUCAAUGGGGAAUAGUCUUCUGAGAAGACUCGAUAGGAGACAUUUUCCACCUUCCAAAAGUGACUAUGGAACCACACUAAUAGUAGCUGUGCGCAUCCGAUGAACCUUCCCUCCCCUGCUCUUCGACAUGCACUUAGAAAUCUGAAGGUUUCUGCUAAGAUUGCCGGGAUGGGCGUGACUCCUUUACUAAGCCGAUCGAACAAAUCAGAGACGGCCUCAUCUACGUGCCCUAAAGCUCUAGGGAAAAUUACCAAUCCAUAGAUACCUAGAGCGAAGACAUCCACUCUUUUCUUCACAUCAGGGUGUGCUAAUACUAAAUCUCGCAAGCUUUUCCAAGGAACGCAUUUACUGUCUCCUUUCUGUUGGAUUCGGGCAGCGACCCACUGUUCGCUCAUCCCUGUAAUGCUCAUCAAUUUUUUUAAUAAUGUCGGGACACUAGCAGCUCUAGAAUAGGCCUUGUCAAUUUGAAUCUUUGGACACCGAAGCAAGGUCGUAUAUUCUUCCAUGGUGGGCACCAAGUCCACUUUUCCAAAAGUGAAACAACUGUAAGCAGGAUUCUAAAACUGGGCUAGGGCUCGGAAUAAAUGCUUGUCCACUUUGACACCAAGUAGGUAAGGCAAGUCCCCGUAGUCACAGUAAAACAUCUGCUUGGUCCCAUCGUCCCAUUGAUCCCAUAUUUCCUUCAUUUCUCGAAGAUCAUUUUGGAUUACGCUGAUACGGGUGAAGUCCCAUAACUCUGAUACGUACCCUUCUGCAAGACUAUCGCCUUUCUCUCUCCACAUCGUCUCAGCCCACACUCGUACAGCUGCAUUGUCUUCUACUUUAUCAAGAAACCUCUUUUCCAUGAUAAGCUUUCUAUCUAUACUGAACGUGAAUCGACACCUUUUGAAAUGAAAAUGCCAUGCAAUCAUAAACAAAGCAAAUCAGAGCUAGGAUUUAAAGUAAACAAUAAUAAAUAAAGCAUCUAUUCGGUAAGCGCUAGGGUUUGGAAUAGCUCUAUCUCGGUGGGUUCUUACGGCUCGCUAUAUGUGGUUUAGUUCUAAAGUAAGGGUACCUGAACCAGCAGAUUCCUCGAUCCUCACCCAUUAUAGGCUCAUGGACCGAGUUCAGUUCAGGGGAAUACAUUUCCCUAUGGCCAUGCGGAGAUGAAAAUCUCACGAAGACAUAGGUACGGAUGUAUCCCGGAAGCGAUUCACUAUCCCAUGCGGAGGUGAAAACCUCACGAAGGCGUAGUUUCUCACUCCCACUUAAAAAGGUAUGACCAGCGAUCAUGCAAUUCAAUGUGCAGAGGUAUAAAAUAAAAUACAGAACACGAUAAAAAAUAUAACUCAAAACAAAAGAGAUGCAAUGAAAGGAUCGUAAAUUUAAAUCAAAUUUUCCACUUUCAACAAAAAGACAAGAAAUAAUCAACACGUGGCUUGACUCUCUUUCGUUCCCCAGUGGAGUCGCCAAGCUGUUGACACCAUUUUUUUGAUGAAAACGGGGUCGACUUGGAUUUUGAAAAAAGAAUGAAAACGGGAGUCGCCACCAAUCCUUUUUGACGAGGUGUGAUCGGGUCACCUCAAAAUGUGGUUGUUUUUAAUAAAUGAUUUAAUUUUAUUAAAACAACGAUUUUGGUCUACGAAAUUCAGAAAAAUGAGUUCGGGAGUCGGUUACGCACGAGGAAGGAUUAGCACCCUCGAUACGCCCAAAAUUGGUACCUAGUUGAUUAAUUAGUGUCUUAGUGUCGAAAAUUGAAAAUUUGAAGAGUUUUAAAAAUACGAUCCUUAAAAGAAAUUCUGAUAACGUGAAUUGAAAUAUAAGAUUCUCUUGUUCCGAAGGAAUAUCACAUCCAGCACGUUAGGACACGAUACUCUAAACCAUCGAAACCAAGAUCAUCUUAUAGUUUAAUGAAACCACACUUUGAAGCUUUAAGAGGAUAUUUGGCUAUUUAGUCGAACGAGAAAUCGAAACCCAGCACGUUAGGGCACGUUUUCUCGAUUUUCCAAACGCGAAAUAUCGCCUUAUUUAGAAAAAUUUUCCUUUUGAUGUUUGGUGUUAAUGCUUGACAAAACAAUAACGAAUACGACAAGGUGAGCAAAGUAAAGUGAGUAACAACAAUACAAUAGGCAAAAUGAAAUGACGAGGCGAUUACAUAAACAAAGCAUACAAAUAAAUAAAUAGAACUAACAUUUAAAAAAAAGCAUAAGUGUACACGAAUAAAUAAACAAACACCAAAUAACAAUGAUGACAAUAAAUACAAUUAUGUAAAAAUGUAUAUACAUGUAUAAUUUUAAGCCAUGAAAUAAGAAACGCAUAUAAAUUAUAGAAUAUGAAAACAUAGAUAAAUAUAUACAUAUGUGUAAAAAAUAAUAUUAUAAAAAGGGUACGUAUAUAUGUAUAAAAAAUAAAUGUAUUAACAAUGAAUAUAAUAAGGGUAAGAAAACAAGUAUAUACACAAUAUAUAUGUAACGUAGGUACUAAGGAUAUAUAUAUACAAUACAGUAUUUAAAAUAAUAUUUACGUAAUAUAAAAUAUAAUAUUAAAAGGUAUAUGUACAUACGUAAUAUAUAAAUACAUAUAUAAUAUAAUGUUAAAAUAUUUACAUAAUACUAAAAUAUUUAGGUAAUAUAUGCGUAUAUUGAAAACUAGUAAUAAUAUUACCGAGGUAUAUACAAAUAUAUCAAGUAUAUACACGUAUUAUAAAUAUAUAAAUAUAUGACAAAGCAUAAACUAAUAAAAAUAAUAAGAAUAAUAAUAAUGAUAACAUUGGAAUAUAAAAGAAACAAACAUAACAUUAAUAAAAUAUUAAAAUAAAGUGAAAUAAAAAUAUUAAAUAUGAGAAUAUAUAUAGGUAUACACGUACAUAAUAAAAAUAUAUACUAAUACAUAAUAAUAAUAAUGGUAAUACUAAUAAUACUAAUAAUAUAAAAAUAACAAGGAUAUUUAAUAAAGAUAUAAAAAUCAACAAAAAAGGACUAAAAUUGAAUUGAAAGCAAAGUUGUGGGGCCAAUUUGAAAUGAAAACAAAGAAAAAGGACUUAAUUGUAACACGCAUGCAACUUGGAGGGUCAAAAGUGCAAUAAACCCAAGUAUUAAAAACGCUGCGCAGCGUGGGGGACCAGAAUGAAUUCGGGGCAACACCAUGGAGCCAAAUUAAAAAUAAAAAAACCUUGAUUGUAAACUCCCAGAAAGGCGGAAGGGCUAAAAGUGCAAUUAGCCCUUCCAAAGAAAAAAACACGCGGAUCUUCCUUGGUGCAGGUCGGGUCGACCCGACCCGUGUUCAAAACGACGUCGUUUCAUUUAUUUAAACCGGGGGUCCAAAACGGUGCGUUUUGACCCCCUAUAAAAGUCAAAAAAACUUCAAAAAAAAAUCAUUUGUAACGCUGAGGGAAAAAAAAGAAAAGGGAGAGAGGAGAGGGGAGCCCGGAGCGAUUUCCGGCCAAGGGAGGGGUCACCGGACGGCCACCGGAGGCUCGCCGGCGUCAGCGCCGGCCACCGCACGCCGUGGCCGGAAAGGUAAAAUUUUUUAUAUUUUUUUUAUAUUUUUUUGUUAUUUAUUCUUGGUCUUAGAAUGUAUAGAUUUUAGGUUUAUAUUAAUAAAAAAGGUAUAGAUAUGUAUAUAGAAAUCGAAAGAAAAUGGAUGAAAACAAAAAGGUAACCUUUUCCGUUUGCCUUUUCUUUUUCCCGAAUGCUUGCUAUCUCAGUACUGAGAUCUAUGUAUUUUUUUUAAAAUUCUAGCUUCUGUUUUUUUGUAUUAAAAUGCCAAAAAACAAACAAAAAGAAGAAAGAAAAAAAACCCCUGACACAAUUUUUUAUUCGGGUUUUUAUAACCCAUUUUCAUCUAAUUUCCUAUUGUUUCUGUUUUGUCUCUUUGCAUGGGAUGGGCACGAUGGAGGUGACAGAGGCAUGGUGGUACAGAGGAGCAGGUGGCCGACAUGGUGGCAUGGAGAGCUGGGCGUGGCAGACGAGGAGGCCACGCGAGGCAUGCAGCGCUAGGGCUUGGGGGGCAUCUUUCUGCCGAAAAUGUUAAUGUUGUCUGGGCUGGGUUUUUGAUUUUUGUUUCGGGCCAUGGGCUACAUUGGGCUUGUUAUUUUCCUUUGUAAUUGGACUGUUGUUUAUCUUGUUUUAAUAUUCGGGCCUGGGCAUAAAAUUGGGCCUUACAAUAGUCUUAAGUGUCUAUCACAAGAACCUAGAUAUUGUAAAUCCAAUAUCUUCCAAACAAUUCAACCAUGAUAUUAAUGAUGAUGGAAGCAAGAUUAUCCACUAUCAAUGACAUAAAAUGAGCUGUAAAUGCUGACGAACAAACAUGCACUGUUUUUCCAACCUGUGGAUUGAAGAGCAUUGACAAGCUAACUUUGCAGACCAUUUGAAUCCAAUACUAUACAUAAAAAUGCCAAAGGAGAAUAAUUCAUCUUGGAAAAAGAAUUACUAAUAUGCAAAAGCUUACCUUGUUUAACAAGAACACAGCAUAUGCUGCUCUUGUCGUGUCUUGACCUUCUAAAAACAGCGGAAAUUCUGCCAGCUUUACAUUUGCUGAAAGUGUUGUAUCCAAUGACAAAUCAGAAGAUGCAGGGUCUAUUGAAGACGCAUGGUCAUUAAUAUAUGAGCGAGAACCACCCAAGCGCAGAGGAUAACGCAAGGGAACUUGUAAAUAGGAUGCAAUUAGUGAAACAGCCUGCAAAUGAUGAAAUAACAGGAAACAAGAAACAAUAAUAGGUAUGAUUAAAAUUAUAGCCUCAGCAUGAGAAACAAGCAAUCAAGAUGCAGCCCACUAUACCAUAUUACCAUCCUAGCAAUUAAAAAUUACUACAGCAUCUUCAAGCAACAAGGGAUUGUAGGUGGUAGGUCAAAAAACUUGAUAUCCACAGCUUGAUAUUAUCAGAAAAAACAAAUUCAGUAAUAAAUGAUAACUUCACAGAAGAAAUAGAACGCACAUGUGCAACAUAUCCCAAGGCAGUUGCAGAUCUCUGAACCUCCUUUUUGUCAGUGAAAAAACUCAUCUUUGUAAAAGGAAGCAAGGUGAGAUUCAGACCUAAAAUUGUCAACGAUCCUUGAUUGACGGGCUUUGAUGCAGAAGGAUUCCCUAGUGAAGACAGGAACAAAGGAACUUCAUAUCAAUACAUCACCAGACACCACCUCUUUGUGAAAGUCAAAACAAAAUUCAAAAAAAUAUAAUCAUGAAAGUAAGAGAUAUGUAAAAAGUUCAUAAUAUUCAAGAGCAAAAAAAAAUUGUUUUGAUAUGAGGAGAAUUGAAUAGUAGAUUGCUAAAAGAGGAAUAACUGAAUACAGCCAUCAUAACCAAAAGAAGAGUCAAGUGAUAGGUAAUGGUACUCCCUAAGCUGUUUAGGAAUCAUAAAAGACUUGUCCAGUUGACAAAAAUAACUCAUUUUAUUCUCCCCUAGUAAAACAUCAUAUUGGACCAACCAUAUUUGAUAUCAAAGGAUAUGGAUAUCCAGGCAUGCCAUUUAUAGAUAUUCCCAGUGUUGCAAGAAGGAAUUGUUCAAGAGAAAGAAGCUGCUAUUGUUGGUAAAGUUUUCCUCAAACCAUUUUGAACAUCCAAAAUCUCAAGAACAAAAAAGAAAACGUAGGAGGAAAUAUAACAAGCAUCACAACGGGUUCUCGAUGAUAUAAGUGAGAGGAUAAAUGUUAAUUAAGAUUAUAAAAAUAAACCACAAACUAAACAGGAAAGACAUGGAUUUCAAAACGAGGAGACUGGCUGCUAAUUAAAACCAUAUGCGGUGUUGUCUAGGGCGCAAGGCGCAUUCUAGGUGCUAACCUUUAUAUUGCCUCAAGCACAAGGCACAAAAGGAAGCGCUAGCCUGAGUGCAGUAAAGCGCAAUACAUAUAUGUGAGAGUUUUUGCAAGUCUGUGUGUCUACAACAUAAAAGUUUUAAGAUAUAUAGUAAACUCUAAAGUGUGGUCUGGUUUAUCCACAAAACUUGCAAAAUUUUUAUAGGUGAAUGCUCAAAUAUUGAGAAUUAUAGAGUUUGAUAUUAUCCCUUUCUUAUUAGUAAAGGUGUAUCAAAUGAAAACAGUAAAAAAUAAAAUAAAAUAUUGAGAAAUUCAACAAGGCAGGCUUUUUCUAAUGCCCAUUGCCUUACAAAAAAAGUGUGCCUAGGUGCACCAGGCAUACGCUUGAUCAAAUGGACCUCACCUGGAAGGGUCCAAGGCGUUUGGUUGUAUAAAACUAAGGCGUAGGCAUGCCUAGGCGCAUGCCUUGACGACACUGACCAUAUGUUGGCUUUAUUGCAAAGCAUUAGCAAUCCAAAACUACUAGCACAUUACCUAAUCUACUACUGCUAGAAUAGGACUCAAGUUCUUGCUCCUGUGCAGGUCCAACCAAGAUCUUUACAGGAUACAAUAAUGAAACUUGUGAUAUCAUAUAUUGUUGCCUUGCUCGAAGCUUCCUUUGCACAUUUUUAAGUUUAACACAACCCCUUUCUUCAGUGAGUAAUCUAUUUGCUUCCUGUGAUAAAAACAACAUAUAAUCAAUCAUGCCACGCAUGCAAGACUACCAACCAACUAUCUAACAAAAGAUACAAAGAAGUAGGAGAGCAAGAAGGGGAUAACCCUUGACUAUGCAAAGGAAUUCAUAGAAUGAGAAUCAUCUCAUCUAAGCCCCUCAACCACCUUCACAGGGGGUGGAGGUGCAAAGAGAGAGGUCUUAUUGAUCCGAGAGGAGAAUAUAUAACAUCUAAAGCUGAAUAAGAAGAAACCUUGAAAUAUAUCAUAAAUUCAGAAUUCAUGAUAAUAUAAAAAUGAAAUUCCAAAGCUAAUUUAAGCUAGAAUAAAAAUGCUUCACCUGUAAUCACUUCCUUGCUACAGAAAGAGAGGUACCAGCAACCAACAAUGAUCUUACUUCAGUACUAAGCAUUUCCUCCUGUUUUUUAGCAUCCUCUGUUGCAACUUUGCAAUGAGUUGACAUGUUUGCCAUAACUACUUUCCUUGCCUCGAGUCUCUCACGCAUUUCCUCAAGCUCGUUCAGUUUAUUCAAAGACUCAUUUUUUACCUGCACAGCAUGUUCCCACCCAUUAAUCAGUGGGCCAAUUAAUUAGGUCACAGAAGACAAAACUAAAUUAUCACUCACCAGGUCCCCUUGAAGUGUCAUAUGGCUUUAACAAUUCAACGUGCAAUAUCUAGUAAAAGUAAAAUAAACAUAGAAGAAUGCAAAUGCAAUUCUUAAACGCCUUUAAAUGGACAACAUGAAACACUUUAAGAGCCCUAUAAAACAGAAAACUGGAAAAAAAAUCUGAAAAGGAAAAAAAAAUGAAUUGAAACAAUAAAUCCAUCUGGUACAAACAGCAACAAAUCUCGAAAUAAGCUUUGGCUUUAGCCCAUUAAAGCCCGGGCAUCCGGCCAAAUAAACAGUGACUGCCAUGUCAACUUUUUGAGACGGUAGAAAAGAGCUCAAAAAUCUCAAUUUCCAAAAAUAAGGACAUAAGAAGGAAAACAAUUUACUUAUUCUUACAGUAGAAGAGCAAAAUGAAACUAAAUGAAGGAUAAGGGAACUGAUGCGAAUUGACAUUGUUAUUUUUGGGACUAAAAAGAAUACGCAGAUUGAAUAUUUAAGAUUUUGUAAGGGAAAAGUUCCAUUCACCGACACAAUUAUCAUCGCCCUUUAUCCCAGUAAAGCUUAAUUGACAAUUUUUCUGUCUCGUGUUCUUGCUAAAGCAUUUGAGCAACCCAACAGAAAUCAUUAUAUUUCAAACUGAAAUGAUUGGCUUUAACAAUUUCACAACCUAUACCGCCCAACCUAGUAAGUAAUUUAGGUGCAGACACCAGAAAUCUAUUUUCUUUGCACUCUACAACUAAAUAGCAUACCACUUAUCAAUCAAACACAGCUGAAAACUUCAGUGAGGGAACAUUAUGUAAAAUGAAAAAACUAUAACUUCAACUUGAUUCAUAGCUCGGCAAGUUCAGGGAAUUGGGACUUCUACCACGAUGAUCCAGUUCAAUGUGAAACAGUGAUCCAUAUCAUGCAUAUCGGUUCCCGGAACAAGAGGUAAAACCAGCAAAUUAGGUAAACAAUAAUCCUACUAUAUUUCAGAAUAGCAACAUUGAGCAUGAAAGCUAAAAUUAUAGCAUAUUACGGGUCCUUGCUCUCUACAACUACAUAUAAAAUUAGUAAACAAUAUUACUACAUUAAGGAUCCAGAAAAACUUUGUUUCAAUUGUUGAUCACUUGAUCCAACUAUUUUAGAAAGUUUAUUCUUCUUUUUCCUUUCCCUUAUUUUCUAAAUCAGGAAAAACAGUAGCAUAUAAAUUGGAUUACUACUCCAAGUUUCUGAAAUUUCAACAAUAUCCCUUUUACCUUUUCACUCAAGUCAUUACCCCCCAAUUAACAAAUAUAUUCCCAGUUUCCCUUUCCCUUCAAACACCCCUUUUUUUUUCCUCUACCCAAAUUCAGCUUAUGUUCAAAAACCCAAAAUUGGUUUGCUAAAAUAACAUAAUUUUCAAACACAAAGAUAACCUAAUUUUAAUCAGAAAAAAAAAGCAUUACCUGAAUUAGUGACUGGAGUUUCUCUUGAAGACUUUGUUUCUUCUCAUUAGCUUCCUUAAGGGCAGAAGUUAAACUCCACAAUCUAGCUAGCUCGUUGUCGAAAUCUUCCCAUUCAAUUAGUUGCACAUUUUCAUGUGCAGCAUUGAUUUUCUUCGGGUCGGUAAUUAGGGUUUUGACUCGGGCUUGUUCUCGAUUUUCCAUGAAAUAAUUGAAGAGGAAAGCUUUCGAUUCUGUAAGUUUAAAAAGGGAUCAUAGAUCGACCUCAUGGUACUGGAUCUCGCCCGGUUAGAGUGUUCUUUUUCACGCCGAUCGAAUCAUUUUCUCGGGAAACUUUGCUAGCUAGGGGUAAUUUUCUCGGGAAAAUGGAGGGAAAAACAGAUUCGGGAGUUUUUAUUUGGGGGAGUCUAAGGUAUAACGGAGAAUGACAGGUGGCGGUUAACGGAGGAAUCUCACGAUUCAUGUCAUUUUCACUUUUUCGAUUUAGAAAUUGCUUAAAUACUUUUAAAAAUAGAUAAUAAGAUAAACUUUCUUUUUGAAUAAGAUAAAACUUUCAUUGAAAAUAAAUAAAUAAAUUAAAAAAUAUUUGAUGAUUUUUAAGUUGGUAAUUUUUUUUUAUAAAAAUUUGGUAACUUCUUUGAAAGUUGAUAUAAAAUGUAUCACGACCCGACUUGAGAUUUAAUUUGUCCUCGUCAGAAGUCCGACCCAAACAAGGGAAUAUGACUUGCCACUCACCAAUUUUUUAACCUUCCAACUUGCCAGCUUUAUGGAGUAACUCGGCACCUUGCGACACUACCUAACAUACCGUGAGAUUUAAGUACAAAUAUCUCUAAGGGUAUGUGUCAAGCUUAAGAGAAAUAACAUAUUAUUAUACAUAUUAUUUAGUUACCCCUAACAUGUCACGUCAAAAAAUCAUACUAUAAAAAAUAGUCCUCACAAGAUAGGAUAGAAAAAAAAAGUCAUCAACAAAAGUAAUUAAGUAACCUUUUUAUAAAACAAAAAGAUUUAUUUUAUUUUGAAAUAAAUUAAUUCUCUAACUUAUAUAAGAAAUUAAGUAAAAUCUUUUUAAAUAAUAAGACAUAAUUUCUCGAAAAAAAAUAAUCAAAUGAGAGCUAAUCAAAAUAAUUUAUUUUUUUAGGCCAAACAAUUUUACUUCAACUAUUUAUAAACACUUUUUAAUCAAUUUUAUUUUAACUCCCAUUAUAAAUUUUAUAAAAAGGAUAAUAUAUUAAAAAUACCCUUAAAUUAUUAGAUUUUGUAUAAAUAAACUCUUAUUUUUUUUAGUUAAAUAAACUCCUAAAUUAUUAAUUUAGUCAUGAAAAUGUUGAUAUAAAAGUAUGAGAAUAAUUUAUUAAAUAAAAAAUUAAUUAUUUUAAAAUAUUUAAAAUAUUUAUAUACAUAAUAAACUUAAUUAAAUUCUCUAGAAAAAAAAUUUAUAUUCUUUUAAAUUUUAUGUUGAUAUAUUAUUUCUAUUUGUCUAAUAAAGUGCAUAACGAGGCAAUAACUAUUUUUUAUGUAUAAAUUAAACAAUACUACAACUUCCGAAGUUAAUAAGAUUAUAUCUAUACUCACCAUCACAAUUAGAGACAGGGGUGAGUAUUCGAUCGAAUUGAGUUAAAAAAUUUUGAAUUAGUCGAGUUAACAAAUCUUAUUUUAGCAAUCGAAAUCAAUUUAAAUUUUUUUAAAUCAAAUCGAAUCGAGUCAAAAAAUUUCAAGUCGAAUUAACGAAUCCUAUUAUUUAUACUCAAUAUUGCGUUUAUAUGGGCUGAUUAUUUAACUGGUAGACGAAGUACAAGAUUAUUUAACUAUAUAAACAAUAUAAUGGUUUUGCAUUGUAACUUAAUAGGUAAACAUUUAUCAAAACGAAAUAAUUUUACCUUUUAAGUUAAUGGUUUUGACUUUUAACUUUUAACUUUAAAAAAUAUAAACAUUUAUCAAUACGACGUAAAUUUACAUUUUCGUAUUCGGAUUUUCGAAUAACUCGAAACGUGUAAUUCAUAUUCGAGUUAAACUAAAAAUUUUAAUUUUUUUAUUUGAGUUAAUCUGAAUAACUUGAUUAAAUCGAAUAACUCGAAUUGUUUAAUUUGAAAUUUGAUUUUUUUAUCGAAUUUUUCAAAUCAAAUCAAAAUUUACUCACCCUUAAUUAGUCAUCAUAACUAAAUUAAAGUUGCCCCAUUAUGCAAUUGCAAGUCUUCAAAGCCUAAAAGUUGUAACAAUUCAAAAUUUCAAUGGAAAUUAAAAUUAAUAUUUUUAUCAUAUAUUAGUCAAAGUUUAUUGCAUCAACAAUAAGUUAAGAUAAAAACCUCAAAUUUUAAAAUAUUUUUACCUCAAUAUAAAAUUUAAGAGCUUUCAUGUAUAAAAACUAAAGGUUAGAGCUUUCAUGUUUAAGGGCUUAUUUAUACUUCAUCUUUAUAAAAAAACACUUAAAUAGUAGUUUAAAUUAUAUAGUUAAUCACUCAAUUUUAGUAAAUUUUCAUUUUAGUCACUCGUUGUUAAUUUGGCUAAUGUAAAUAUUACAUUACACUGAUUUUAGUCACCUAAUUUUCAUAAGAUAGAAUUAAUUUUAUUUUUCGGUAAAAAAGAAAAGAAAAACUCAAAAUUUUACAAGCAAGUACCUAGGUUUUUAUAGAAAAAACUUGGAGUUUUAUAUGAAAAACCUACGUUUUUAUUGGAAUAGUCAUAUUAUCUUUUUUUAUUUCAUUUAUUUUUUUCAUUUAUAAAAUUAAUUUUAGCUUUUUCAAUGAAAAGAAAACCUAAUUUUUUACUAAGAAAAUCAUUUUAUCUUUUUAAUUUCUUUUACUUUCAUAUUUAGAAUUAAUUUUAAUUUUUUUUCCAAUAACAAUGAAAAAAAACUUGGAUUUUUACAAUGAGUUUGUUGGGUUUCCACGAGAAUUGCUUGAGUUUUAUGAAUAACUCAAUUCCUUAAAAAAUUCUAAAAAAAAUUAGAAAAAUAAGAUUAAUUAAAAAAAAUGGAGCAAAAUGAAAAUUUACUAAAAUUAGAUGGCUAAAAUGAAUAUACAAUUGCAUUUUCGUUAGCCAAAUUAACAUGUGAUCAAAAUGAAAUAUUAUUAAAAUUGAGUGAUUAAAAUGAAAAAACUAUUUGAUUUAUUUACACCCUGAUUUUAUGAGCAAAUUCCCCAGCACAAAGCCUAUUUUGACAAUAACAGUUCAAAUGAAAAGUCUUCGCUUACUCUUUGAACGAAACUCUUCUCCCGCUAAAACCACCUCUUCUUCCUCCAAAUUCAAACGCCCAAAGCUUUCUUCCAUCUCUAAUGGCUCUGAUUCAUCACAAUCAUCAUCAUCUCAAGAUCCCCUUAAAACCCAUUUCUCCUCUCUCAUCAAAUCCUCCGAAACCACCCUACAACUCCGGCAAAUCCACGCUCAAAUCCUGCGCCGCCACCUCUCUUCCAGUGCCAAUCUCACCACCCUCUUAAUCUCCGUUUCUUCUUCCUUCAAAUCCAUACCUUACGCGCUCUCUAUUUUCAACUAUUCUCACCACAAAAGCUUAUUCCUUUUCAAUGCUUUGAUUCGUGGCUUGACGGAGAAUUCCCAUUUCCAAUCCUCAGUUUCACAUUUUCUUCUCAUGUUGAGACAUAGAGUUCGCCCUGAUUAACUUACAUACCCUUUCGUGCUCAAGUCUAUUGCGGGAUUGGGUCUUCAUUUCCUUGGUCUGAUCCUUCAUGGGAGAAUCAUAAAAUCUGGGGUUGAGUUCGAUUCGUUCGUUCGGGUUUCGUUAGUGGAAAUGUAUGUGAAGCUCGAGGAAAUGGGUUUUGCGUUGCAAGUGUUUGAUGAAAGUCCUGAGAGAAACAAGAGUGAGAGUAUAUUGUUGUGGAAUGUGUUGAUUAAUGGGUGUUGUAAAGUGGGGGAUUUGGAGAAAGCUAUGGAGUUUUUCGAGGCUAUGCCUGAAAGGAAUAUUGGGUCUUGGAAUAGUUUUAUAAAUGGGCUAAUGAAAAAUGGGGAUUUGAACAAAGCAAUGCAGCUUUUUGAUGAAAUGAAGGAGAAGGAUGUGGUUUCUUGGACUACAAUUGUUAAUGGGCUUUCACAGAAUGGAGAUCAUCAGAAGGCGUUAUCCAUGUUCUUUAAGAUGUUGGAGGUCGGUUUAAGGUCGAAUGAUCUUACUCUUGUUUCAGCUCUUUUCGCUUGCGCUAAAAUUGGUGCACUUGAAGUUGGAGUCCAUAUCCAUAACUAUUUUGUGGAAAAUGGGCUUCGGUUGAAUAAAGCAACUGCUGCUGCUUUGGUUGAUAUGUAUGCAAAGUGUGGGAAUAUCCUAUCUGCUAGUAAGGUUUUUGAAGUAACUGUUGCGCGGAAGCGUGUGAAAGAGUAAAAUUAUUGUACUGAAAAAUCACACUAAGUUCAAUUCCCAGGAAAGAGAGGUGGAUCACGAGGAUCGCUUACAUACCAGAUCUUUCCUAGCCAGAAUAUCCCUCUAUCGUAAUUUAAUAGCACAAUAAAUCACUACAAUGACACUUGCAAAAUAUGCAGAACAAAAAAUAAAGAACACUAGAAUUUUAACGAGGUUCAGCAAAUUUUGCCUACGUCCUCGGGCACUACCAAAUAUAUUUCACUCCAAAAAAUACAAGUGAAAGUUUACAAAUAGGGAGAGAGAACAAUUGCCUUAAGUAGAGAUUGGCAAGUGUGGGAUGAAGAAAGUAAGAAAUGGUUAGGCCUAUUUAUAGUUGAGGUUCAAGGAUCAACUUGCAAUGUCCCUAUACAAUUAGGGACCAAAAUUGCAAUUAUCUCAUGCCAACUUUUAACCCAACUUGCCAACCAAUUUUACUUUCUACUUUCGGUGACCACCCUUUUUGACUUUUCAAACAAUGGGUGGGUUCCAAUAAUCUCCACCUUGAAGAUUUGAUUAGGCUAAUCUUAUCUUCACACAAUUCUUUCUGCCUUUGACAACAAUACUUGAUAGUGCCUUCUUCAACUGUUAAACUUGCAGGAUAUUAAUCAAGUUCAAACAAUGUUCGAACUUGGUUGAUGUUACCACCUUGCUCAUCAUAUCUGCGGGAUUAUCUGCAGUCUUGAUCUUCUGAAGACAAAUUUUCCCCUCUUCAAUAAUUUCCCGCACAAAAUGGAAUCGUACGUCGAUAUGUUUUGUACGUGCAUGAUAGACUUGAUUCUUUGCUAAAUGAAUAGCACUUUGACUAUCACGAUACACGUUAAUAUGCUCCUGAACCAACCCCAAGGUUUUAGCCAUACCUUGUAACCAAAUAGCCUCCUUUACAGCCUCUGUUACAGCCAUGUACUCGGCUUCUGUGGUUGACAAUGCAACUGUAGACUGUAGUGUAGACUUCCAACUUAUUGGUCAUCCAGCAAGUGUAAACACAUAACCAGUGGUUGAUCUUCGAUUGUCCAAAUCACCGGCAUAGUCAGAAUCAACGUACCCAAUAACACCUUUACCAAGUGUAUUAUCCUGCUUGAACAGUAAUCCAACAUCCACGGUCUUCUGAAUAUACCGUAGAAUCCAUUUCACAGCUUGCCAAUGUCCUUUUCCAGGAUUAUGCAUAUACCUGCUCACUAUACUAACUGCCUGUGAAAUGUCAGGUCUUGUACACACCAUUGCAUACAUCAAGCUACCCACUGCAUUAGAAUACGGAACUUGCAACAUGUAUUCUCGUUCCGUAUUCGUCGAAGGAGAUAGUUGUGUAAAAAGCUUGAAAUGAGAAGCCAACGGGGUACUUACAGGUUUUGUCUGCUCGUUCAUGCCAAACUGCUGUAGUACCUUUUUCAAAUACUGCUUCUGAGACAAGCUAACUCUAUCAUGAGCUCUAUCUCUCCAUAUUUCCAUGCCGAGAAUCCUUUUAGCUUCUCCUAGAUCUUUCAUCUCAAACUCGAGAUUGAGUUGAGUCUUCAAUCUUUCAAUUUCAACUUUGCUCUUAGAUGCUAUUAGCAUAUCAUCAACAUAUAAGAGCAAGUAUAUGAAAGUUCCUUCUUGUAGCUUCUGAAAAUACACGCAAUGAUCAAAUUUACUUCUUGUGUACCUUUACCCUUUCAUAAACUGAUCAAAUCGCUUGUACCACUGCCUCGGAGAUUGCUUCAAUCCAUAAAGCGACUUUGUCAGUUUGCAAACCCAAUUUUCUUUUCCAGCAACCUUGAAUCCAUCUGGCUGAGUCAUAUAGAUUUCCUCUUCCAAAUCACCGUGUAAAAACGCGGUCUUCACAUCAAGCUGAACUAGUUCAAGAUCAUAUUGCGCAACCAAGGCUAGCAAAAUCUGAAUAGACGAAUGCUUCACAACUGGAGAAAACACUUCAUUGUAGUCUAUUCCUUCUUUCUGAGCGUAACCCUUUGUUACUAAUCUAGCCUUGUAUCGAAUUUCAUUUUUAUCAGGAAAUCCUUCCUUCUUUGCAUAUACCCAUUUGCAUCCAAUUGCCUUCUUUCCCUUGGGUAGUGUCACCAACUCCCAGGUCUUAUUUUUCUGAAGAGACUGCAUUUCUUCAUUCAUUGCUUGCUUCCACUUUACACCAUCAGGGUUACUUAUUACUUCUGUGUAAGUAGAAGGAACAUCAUCAUCUGUAUUUGGAAAUGCAUAGGCCACUAUAUCAUCAAAGCGAGCAGGCUUACGAAUCUCUCUUCUUGGCCUUCUAUAUGCAAUUGAAUCUUGUUGCUGUAGAGAUUCUUGGGUAGGAACCUCUUCAUCAUUUGUCCCUUCAAUAUUAGCUGGAUCAUCGUUAACCUUUUCAAGCUCCACAUGCUGCAAAGUACUAACGGUUUUGUCAUCCUUUUGUGAAUCCUUGUACUUCAACAUGGUUGAUUCAUCAAAAGUCACAUCUCUACUGAAAACAAUCUUCAUUGUAUCAGAACACCAGAGACGAUAUCCUUUUACUCCAUCAGUUAUACCCAAGAAUAAUGCUUUCUUUGCUCUUGGGUCUAACUUAGAUUCUUUUACAUGAUAAUAUGCAGUGGAACCAAAUACAUGCAAAGAAUCAUAAUCAGUAGCAGAUUUACCAGUCCACAUCUCUAUAGGAGUUUUUCCAUUUAUUGCAGCUGAUGGCAAACGGUUAAUUAGAUGGCACGCAUAUGUAACUGCCUCAGCCCAAAAUUCUUUGCCCAAUCCAGCAUUGGACAACAUACAUCGAACUUUCUCCAGUAUAGUUCGAUUCAUUCGUUCUGCCACCCCAUUUUGCUGUGGUGUAUCCCGAACAGUGAAGUGUCGCACAAUGCCCUCAUCUUGGCAUACUUGUAGAAAUGGAUCGUUUUUGUACUCAGUACCAUUAUCUGAUCGAAGUCGUUUGACCUUUCGACCAGUCUGAGUCUCCACCAUCUUCUUCCAUUUCAGAAAUGCAUCCAAAACUUCACUUUUUCUUUUCAUUAGAUACACCCAUACUUUUCUUGAAUAAUCAUCAACAAAAGUAACAAAAUAGUGCAUACCUCCCAAAGAAGCUACUUUGGUAGGUCCCCACACAUCACUGUGAACGUAGUCCAGAAUUCCUUUCGUAUUGUGAAUUGCUGGACCAAAUUUUACCCUCUUCUGCUUGCCCAGAACACAAUGUUCACAGAAUUCCAUUUUGCAAGAAUUUGCACUUUUCAAUAAGCCUUGCUUCACCAAUGUCUGCAAAGCUUUUUCACCAGCAUGUCCCAAUCGCAUAUGCCAUAAUCUGGUAGCCUCUGAAUCUACAUCUUUUGUAGAAACUGUUGAUGUUGAUCCAAUAACUGUACUUCCAUUUAAAAAAUACAAGUUAUUUCUUCUUGUGCCUUUCAUCACCGUCAGUUGCCCAGCUACUACUUUUAGUAAUCCAUCUCUCAAAGUGAUUGUGAGCCCUUUAGAUUCUAGGGCACCUAAUAAGAUGAGAUUUUUCUUCAGGCUAGGUACGUAGCAAACAUCUGUCAAGACUUGGAUUGAGCCGUCGUGAUUCUUCAAUUGGACUGUACCCACUCCCAUUGUCUUACAAGCACUAUCAUUGCCCAUAAGAACAAUUCCACCUUCUAGCUCUUUAAGACUAGAAAACCAGUCCUUAUUAGGACACAUAUGGUAAGUACAUCCUGAAUCCAAAAUCCACUCAUCCGUUUGACAUGCCAUUGCCAUGCCAACCAAGCUAAAGUCUGACUCCUCAUCAUGCUCCGCUACACAUGCAUUAGAAAUAGCCUUGCCCUUUUGUAGCUUAGGACAAUUCUUUUUCCAAUGCCCUUUUUCACGGCAAAAGGCACAUUUAUCUUUGGCGGGUCUCCCUUUGGACUUUCCUCUUCUACCAGAUUUGCUGCUGUGUGAACGACCUCUUACUGUUAAGACUUCUGCGGUUGUAUCUCUGUGAUCUCUUUUAUCUUUCUUUCGAGUCUCAGAUCUAUACAACGCACUACAGACUGCAUCAAAUGUGAUCGUGUCCUUCCCAUGAAGCAAUGUGGUGGUAAGAUGAUCAUAUUCAUCAGGAAGGGAAUUCAACAACAAUAAUGCAUUGUCUUCAUCUUCAAAUUUCUCAUCCAAAUUUAGCAAGUCUGCUAAAAUUUUAUUGAAUGAGUUCACAUGGUCAUUCAUCGACAUACCGGGUGCAUACGUGAAUCGAUAAAGUUUCUUUUUCAUAUAAAGCCUAUUUUCAAGACUUUUCGUUAGAAACUUUUCUUCCAGUGUAUCCCAUAACUUCUUCGCUGAUGUCUCCCUCAUGACAGAGUACUUCUGCUCUUUGGCCAAACAUAGGCGGAUUGUACCACACGCCUGUCUAUUGAUUUUGGCCCACUCCAUGUCAUCCAUCUUGUCAGGUUUUUCUUCAAAUGCUAUAUCUAGCUCUUGCUGACAUAAGACAUCCAGGAUCUCACAUUGCCACAUACCAAAAUUAUUGGUACCGUCAAAUUUCUCUACUUCAAAUUUUGCAUUUGUCACAGUAGUCCUUGCUGAUGACGAUGCUGCUGCCAUUUUUCUCCUCAAUCCCAACUACUGUAUACGUGAACAGUACUGUAUACGUGAAUAGUACCGUAUACGUGAAUAGUGCCGUAUACGUGAAUAGUACUGUAUAUGUAAAUAGUACCGUAUACGUGAAUAGUGCCGUAUACGUGAAUAGUACUGUAAACGGUCGUAUUCCCCAAGUACGAACCUGGCUCUGAUACCAAUUGUUGCGCGGAAGCGUGUGAAAGAGUAAAAUUAUUGUACUAAAAAAUCACACUAAGUUCAAUUCCCAAGAAAGAGAGGUGGAUCACGAGGAUCGCUUACAUACCAGAUCUUUCCUAGCCAGAAUAUCCCUAUAUCGUAAUUUAAUAGCACAAUAAAUCACUACAAUGACACUUGCAAAAUAUGCAGAACAAAAAAUAAAGAACACUAGAAUUUUAACGAGGUUCAGCAAAUUUUGCCUACGUCCUCGGGCACUACCAAAUAUAUUUCACUCCAAAAAAUACAAGUGAAAGUUUACAAAUAGGGAGAGAGAACAAUUGCCUUAAGUAGAGAAUGGCAAGUGUGGGAUGAAGAAAGUAAGAAAUGGUUAGGCCUAUUUAUAGUUGAGGUUCAAGGAUCAACUUGCAAUGUCCCUAUACAAUUAGGGACCAAAAUUGCAAUUAUCCCAUGCCAACUUUUAACCCAACUUGCCAACCAAUUUUACUUUCUACUUUCGGUGCCCACCCUUUUUGACUUUUCAAACAAUGAGUGGGUUCCAAUAGUAACAAAAGAGAAGGACAUUCGUACCUGGAGUGUCAUGAUAUGGGGUUGGGCAACCCAUGGGUUUUAUGGACAAGCUAUCCGAUGCUUCAAAAAGAUGAUGUUUUCAGGUGUGGACUUAGUAGUUUUCAUUGAGCUCAACCCUUUAUUCUAAUCUUUCUGAAUAAACUCAAGUUUGUCGUAUUUGCAGGAAUAAAACCCGAUGCGGUGGUCUUUCUUACCCUCCUGACUGCAUGCUCACAUUCUGGACAAGUAGAUCUUGGGCUUAACUUCUUUGAUAGCAUGAGGUUUGAUUACUCCAUUGAGCCAACCAUGAAGCAUUAUACGUUGGUCGUUGAUUUGUUAGGCAGGGCAGGCCGACUGGAUGAAGCAAUGAAGUUCAUACAAAGGAUGCCUAUAAGUCCUGAUUUUGUGGCAUGGGGAGCACUUUUUGUGCUUGCAGAGCUCACAAAAAUAUUAAAAUGGCAGAACUAGUGUCAGAAAAGCUCCUUCAGCUUGAACCUAAACAUCCUGGGAGCUAUGUUUUCUUGUCAAAUGUUUAUGCAGCAGUUGGUAGAUGGGAAGAUGUGGAGAGGGUAAGAAUGUUGAUGCAGAAUCAAGCUGUUGGCAAAGAUCCGGAGUGGAGUUAUAUUGAAGUCAAUGGACAAGUGCAUAGUUUUGUAGCUGGUGAUCAUGAUCAUAAGCGUGCAAGAGAAAUAUACUUGAAAUUAGAGGAAAUAGUGUCUGGUGCAAGAGAGCAAGGAUAUAUGCCUGAAACUGGGUGGGUUCUUCAUAAUAUUGAGGAAGAAGAGAAGGAAGAUGCAUUAGGAAGUCACAGUGAGAAAUUGGCGCUUGCCUUUGCCUUAAUGAACACUCCUCCGGGGACAACUAUUAGGAUAGUGAAGAACUUAAGAGUAUGUGGAGAUUGCCAUUCUUUGAUGAAAUGUGCUAGUAAGAUGAGCCAAAGAGAAAUCAUAUUGAGAGAUAUAAAGAGAUUCCACCAUUUCAAGUAUGGGGUCUGCUCAUGUGGAGAUUAUUGGUAAAAUGGUAAGUAACAGCAACAUUAAUUUGCUUUGCUGUUAAUAGCACAUGAUUAGUGCUUCUACUUGGUUUAUUUAGAAUAAUGCUUUUAGUUAAAACAUGGAUGUAGCUACAGCAACACAAGUUUUUUUGUUUGAUAAUUGGUAGCAAGUACAUUAAAUUUCUCCAAUGGACCUUUCUGCACAUAUAUAUUAAACUUGAAACUCAUUAGUUAAGUUUGUACUUUAUUUAGGUAUCUAAUUAACGUUGUUAGAUUUUUUCAAUUUCAACUUAUCAUCUUGUGCCACUUCUUUCUCUUCCCUUUAGUGAAAUUUAGCACUUUAAAAGAUGGGUUGCAUUUUGCUCCCUCUGUCAAAAAAAAUGGACAGAUUAAGCUAUACACGUUAGAUCAAAGAGCAAAUAGGUCUUUUUGUUUAAAAAUCCAUCAAUUUUUGUUGUUAAAAAUCAAUCCAUUUACAUCAACAUAAAAUAUAUAACUGUUUGGGUAUCUCAUCAUCCAUGUUAGUUUUUAGCAAUACAAAUGGAUAGAAUUUUUAACAAAAAAAACCAGUUUAUUGUUUGAUCUAACAUACAAUGACUAAUUUGUCAAUUUUUUAAGUAAAUAAAGCAUAAUGCUAAUUGACUCUUAGUAUAAUAUCUCUAUGGUACUUUUAUCAAUACUAUCUCUAUUUAUGAAAUUAAAAAUACUUAAAUAAUUAGAUUUAUUGUAUAUUGUGAUAAAAAAUUAUGUAAGAAAUGCAUUUAUUAAAAAUCCAUAUAAAAUCUAAAUGAUGAUUGUAAAGUUAAAUGUUCUGGUGCAAGAGAGCAAGGAUAUAUGCCUGAAACUGGGUGGGUUCUUCAUAAUAUUGAGGAAGAAGAGAAGGAAGAUGCAUUAGGAAGUCACAGUGAGAAAUUGGCGCUUGCCUUUGCCUUAAUGAACACUUCUCCGGGGACAACUAUCAGGAUAGUGAAGAACUUAAGAGUAUGUGGAGAUUGCCAUUCUUUGAUGAAAUGUGCUAGUAAGAUGAGCCAAAGGGAGAUCAUAUUGAGAGAUAUAAAGAGAUUCCACCAUUUUAGGUAUGGGGUCUGCUCAUGUGGAGAUUAUUGGUAAAAUGGUAAGUAACAACAACAUUAAUUUGCUUUGCUGUUAAUAACACAUGAUUAGUGUUUCUACUUGGUUUAUUUAGAAUAAUGCUUUUAGUUAAAACAUGGAUGUAGCUACAGCAACACAAGUUUUUUUGUUUGAAAAUUGGUAGCAAGUACAUUAAAUUUCUCCAAUGGACCUUUCUGCACAAAUGAUAUAUGUCCCCAUAAAGAACUUGGUGCUCACGGUAUUGCAUGACAGGUAGCCAUAGGUUAUUCGCUCUCUUGAUUGGUAUCUUACAUUCCUCAAGGUCCAAAAGUUGUUCCUUCUUUUUGUCUGAAGUCCAAACCUAAGAAAAGCAUUGAUGGGCCUUUAAAACUUUGCUCAUUUCACUACAUGAACUAUUGGAUGUUUUGUGUUCAAAUUAGUUUAUGCCAGUAGUGAAAGUACAUCUCUUUCUCCUUAUCCAGUUAUUCUUUUCAGUUGUCAUCAUCUUUCUGUGUCUUGCCUUCUGAAGUGUUUAGAUGACUGCAUUUCUCAAUAUAAUUUUCAUUUGACCUAAAUAGUUGAAAUUAAAGUCCCUUAUCAUGCCAUUCAUUACUUUGCUUCUAUAUGGUAGUUAUUCUUCAAUGUCCAUGAAUUGACAUAUAUCACUGGAAGCAUAAUCUUACUUCUAAGCAUGGGAUUGACCUUCUUUAAUGCAGGUUCUUCUGUAAGACUCAAACCAUAGAUGGGCAAGGCUUGAGAAAAUAAAGUUGUAAGUGUUGAACCAGGAAGGACGAUGUUGGCCAUGUUAUAAACAUUCCUCCAGAAUGACUAAACAUCGAGGAAAAGGUUCAACCAUGAGUGGUCCACUGAAACGUGCUUGGUCGAACACGUGCCAAUUAUCAGCUACGUAUCAAAUCCCACAAUUAUAAAUGUAGAUUGGGUUCCAUGCUCUGGUUAAUCCAUUAGAUGACACGGUCCAUUGAAAAGGUACUAAAUUACUGAUGUUUGGUCCAUAUAUGAAUCUGUUUAUUUAAUGGCCAGCAUUAAUUGUUAAUUCUCUUGUUUGCGGGUGACUUUUCCUCUAGCAUGCCUUAUGGAAAGAAGUGUCAGUGACAACCUUUUAAUCAACAGCAACUUACCCUACUAAUGAGCAUUUGGAGCAUUUCAUAGCUCGUUCAGUUUAUUCAAAGACUCAUUUUUACCUGCACAGCAUGUUCCCGCCCAGUAAUCAGUGGGCCAAUUAAUGAAGGAGAGGAUAGUUUGCUAGACACAUGUUUUUUGUGUGAGCUUUCUGGUCUUUUAUGUAGUUGUGGUGUUGACAAUUUUUGUUGUUCUUUACAUAAAUUCUUAUUGGCUAAGCGCUUGGUUUUCUUUUAUUGGAAAGUGCAUCACAACCUGUCGUUACUCAACAAUGGCCAAUUUUCUUGCAUAUCACAUCUUCAGGCAAUGUGAUUAUGUUGAAAAUUGGCCUACCAUGCUUGCUGUAAUACUUCCGGAUGAAGUACGUGCUAGCAAUUGUUCAUGCUGCAGCACGUAUGCUUGCUGUAACAGCAAGAUUUUUGUUUUAGUUUCACUGUAAUCAGCCUAGUUGGAAAUGAACAAGCUGAUGACAGCUUGAUAUGUUUAGGUGUUGAAUGACUAAUUUAGGUGGCUUGUUUCUGUGUACAAGCAAUGUUUUUAAAGUUAGUAGGCUACUUAGUGGUAGUAGGUAGUAAUAACUGAUGUAGUUGGCUAUAAAUGUAUUGUUUUUUUAUUGAAAAAUUAAGCAUAUCAGUGGUUAAAACAGAUUGCUUCCUUGCUGCACGUUUGUGAGCAAGUAAAUUAUUCUUGCAGCUUGCUUCAUUGUCUUGUUCUGUUCUCUGUUUUCUUCCUCUGCUGUCAAAAAACCCAACAGAUUAGCUAUCGUGAAGAUUUCAACAAAGUCGGUUCGUGUUGAUUCAAGGAAAAAAAGAUAUUACGAUUUGAUUUCCUCACCUAAUUGUUUUACUAUGCGAAGUUGGAUUGUGAGGAAUAUUUUGUUGAUUUCUGCAUUUUGAAUAAAGAGCUCUUAGGUUUGUGUGGCCGACGUUUAUAGUUUUAUCUUUCGAUUUUAUCUUUUUUUUUGUAUGAAAUUUAAAGUUUAAUCAAAACUAAUUGUUAUGUGUAUGUAAUAGCUAUUUGAAUUAAAUUAAAUUGACAAAUCAACGUACACUAGUGCAUACUAAAAAAAAUGUAAUAUAAAAUUAAACCAAAAUUGAAUCUAAAACUUAAAUAUUUUAAAACCUCAAACAUAUGGCAACUCUUCACUCCUCUUUCCCUCUGAAGUUAUUUUAAUUUAAAAUAUAUUUUGUAUAAUGUGUUAUAACAAUUCAACUAAACAAAGUGAUUCUCUUUGCAUAACAUAUUAUAUGCUUAUAUAAACUUUUACACAAUUUGUUAUAGAUACAUUUUUAAUAAUUGAAUGAUGACUCCAUUAAAAAUGCAAUAUCAUAAUAAUUCUACAUUUCUUGCAUUAAUAUAAAAUUUUCCUUUUUUUUUCCUCCAAGCCUUGUUUAUUAUCUUUUGUUUUGCCAAAUGGCAGUGCCAGCUUUCAGGCUAGCUAUCGCCCGCCUUUUUCUCCCUCCCAUUAAUCCUUUUUUUCUUUUUUCUUCUCAUUCACUCCACAUGUCUUCUUUCUUUUCAGUUUGUAGAUCUAUUUUAUGAGAAUCUUUAUUUUCUUCACAAGUUGUGAUAGACAGAUGACGACGCCUAUGUUCGUUAAAACUUCAUCGGCCACCAAUAAUUUUUCAGAAUAAUAAAUAAUUUCAUGAGUCGAUUUGGAUUCUUGUUAUCAUAAGUUUUAUAUAUUUUUUAGUUUGUUUUUCAUUGUUUAAUAGGUUUUUAGUUUUAGAAGUUUUUGUCUACUCUUGUAACACGUUUUUUAGUCUUGCUUAUGCAUGUAACCUUAGUUUUACAAGUGAUUUUAGAGAUGGUUUUGUUACCGUCUUCUCUAGUUUGGUGAAUGCUCAAUUCUUUUGUCCAUUUUUGCUCGUCACUUUGGACCAUUCGAGGCUGAUUUUCUUUAUCGCAUUAAGUGCUUGCGAUCACUCCAAAUAUAUCGUGCUUAAGUUGUGAUAAAGCCUGUACAAGCCCAAUUUUUAUGCCCGGGCCCAAUUGACCCAACAAAACCGAACGGCCCAACAGACUAAGGCCCAAACCCAACAAAGACUAGGGUUUCAGAACCCUAGCCCCUCCAUCAGCGCCGCAUGCUAGGGUCUCUGACUUCUGCCCCGUCGGCGCAAACGGCGCACCUACCCCGUCCGUGUCACGUCUCCUCCAUCGCCCUACACCUGCAAACAAUAAAGAGAGAAGCAGACAACACAAAACAGGGGAAAGAUUGAAUCUUUUUUUUUUGUUCUUUCGGUUAUAAAGCCGAACGUAUCAAAUAAGAAAAAGGGGGGAUUUUUUGCAAAAAAAGAAAAUCACAUCAGAAAUAAGAAAAGGAACAAAGGUUGCUGUGUUCUUCAUUUUAUUCUUUUUUGAUUCGUUUACUUUCAUUUAUUUUUAAACAAAUCCGUUAAAAAAUAUAUCAAUAAAAAGGAAAAGAAAAAAAGGAGCGCACCUGAAUCGCUCUCUGGCUCCGUCGACGGAGGUUCUCUCGCCGUUGUCGGCCCGGAUCUGAAGGAGGGAUUCAGAGCCCUUGUCUCGGCGCUCGUAGGGGUUCAAGGACCCGAUUUUCAAAUCGCCCGAAGGCCAGGCUUUUUAAAAACCCUUUGUUGCGCUUCGUUGGCCGCCGUUUCGGUGGCGGUGCGACGGACAGACGGACGAUGGUGAAAAGCCAAUCGUCGGAGGGCAUGAAGAGAGAGUGGGGGAAAGAGUUCUGAAUUUUUUUUUUUAAAAGAGGGAUGAAAUGAUUUUUUUAGGGGUUUUGAUUUAUAUAAGGAUCCAAAACGGCGCCGUUUUGGAAGGGUCAGAAAGCCCCUAAAACGACGCCGUUUUUGCAUAAGACCCGAGACCCAACCCGUCUGCCUUAGGGGAUCCGCGUGUUUUUUACGGAAGGGCUAAUUUCACGUUUAAUCCUUCCGCUUUUUAAUUAUUUUAAAAUUAGGUUCUUUUGAUCUUUUUAAUUUUACCCGGAAAUUGUUUUCGUUUUCAAUUUGAUCCUUACCCAAACUACGUCGUUUUAAAGAAAGGGCCAUUUCUUUGUUGGUCCCUCCAUGUUUUAUGCUUGUUUAGAGCAGUCCUUCCCUUUUCGUUUAUUUGCGUUUUGAACCCCCCGAAUUUUGUUUUAAUGUUUAAUCUAAUCCUUCUGCUAUUUUGUUUAUUUUCUUAACAAAUUUAUUAUUAUUAUUAUUAUUACAUAUUCAUUUAUAACAUCUAAUUUUAGAUUUAAUCAUAUAUAUAAAUAUACGUCCAUGAUAUAUACCUACUUUUUAUAUAUACUUUAUAAUUUAUAUAUACAUAUACACAUUUUAAUUUAUGUACAUAUCUACACAUAUUUUUCAUACUUUACUCAUAUAUAUAUACAUGUACUUAUACAUAUUCUUUAUAUCUUAAAAUCCAUAUUUUUCUUAUGUAUAUAUUUUAUAUUUUAUAUUUUAUAUAUAUGUGUUUAUAUAUUCUACGAUAUAUAUUUAUAUGCAUAAUAAAUACAUAUCUAUAUACGUUUCGAUUUUUAUAAACACAUAUAUAUGUAUGCAUACCUUUAUAUUUCUUAUAUUAAAUACAUAUAUAUAUAUUUAUAUAUCCCUUUAUACUUCUAAAAUCAUAUAUUUUGUAUAUAUUCUUUAUAUUUUAUGAUUCCUAUAUGUACCCACAUAUAUACUUUUUGUAUUGUAUGAUUGUUAUUUACGUAUAUGUACGUACAUACAUACUUACACCUAUUUUCAUGUAUAAUAGCCUUAUAAUAUGUGUACAUACAUGUAUUUUUCAUAUUUCCAUAUACAUACACAUAUAUCUUUUUAUUUUAUAUAAUCUUACUCAUUUUAUUUAUUUAUUUAUUUACAUGUCUAUUAUUAUUAUGCUCUAGUUUUUAUUUAUUUAUUUAUUAUUUGUUAUUGUGCUUGCUUGAUCCUUUUAUAUAUUAAUCUUAUUUUUUAUUUUUAUUUUGAUCAUGUCAUUUUACUUACAUUAUCAUCAUCAUUCCGUUACACUCAUUUUUUUGUUUAGAUUUCAAAAAAAAAAAGAAGAAAUUUUAAAAAUAAGUAACACUCGGUAUUUUGGAUCUUCGAGAGAAUCGAGUCCUAACGUAUUGGGUUCCGACUUUCUUCGUUGAAUUUAAAUAAUCGAGAUUACUCUUUUAAAAAUGAUAAAAAAGCUCGUUAUCGAGAAUUCAAUACGUUGUGUCCCAACGGAUUGGACGUAACACGGUGUUUUCUCGAGACGAGGAUUUUUCGAAAUAAACGUAAUAUUCAAUGUUUAAUCUUUUGAGAAAUUGUGCCCUAACGUAUUGGGUUGUGAUUUCUUCAUUUGAUUUAAACAAUUGAAUAUCCUUUUAAACUUUAUUACAUGGAUCUUUUCAAACUCAAGUUUUAAACAACCUCGGGAAUUAAAAGAGGAUCGUGUCCUAACUUACUGGUCGUAAUCCCUUUUUUAAUUCGAGAUCGUUAAAUAUCUUUUAAAUAAGCUUUUUUCAUUCGCGUAUUGGGAAUUCGACAUAUUGUGUCUUAACUUGCUAGAUAUGAUAUUCUGUCUCGAAUAACGUGAAAUAUGCCCCUUUUCCUGAAAAUUUUCAACGUUUUAAUACAAGGAUCGUAUUUUUAAAAUUCUUCUAAGUUAUCAAUUUUCGACACUAAGACAUUAACUAAUCAACUAGGUACCAAUUUUGGGCGUAUCGAGGGUGCUAAUCCUUCCUCGUGCGUAACCGACUCCCGAACCCGUUUUUCUGAAUUUCGUAGACCAGACUUGUUGUUUUAAUAAAAUUAAAUUGUUUAUUAAAAACAACCACUUUUCGAGGUGAUCCAAUCACCCCUCAUAAAAAAGGAUUGGUGGCGACUCCCGUUUUUUUAUUUUCGUCAAAACCCAAGUCGACCCCGUUUUUCAUCCAAAAAAAUGGUGUCAACAAAGCCAAUUGUCAACAUGUCAUAACGUUCUAUUUAUGCUAAGGCUAAAGCCUUCGUUGGGUUGUUGGAGCUUGUCAUUUACCAUCUACGACGAGUGCUUAUUUUUUUCCCUGAAUUGUAUGAUUCCAUUCAUUGAAUGAAUUAACGAAUUUACCUUUCAAAAGAAAAAAAAUUCAUAAAUUUUGAAAUACAAAAUGAAUGUGUUUUGAUAUUUUUAGGGCAAUGGUUUAGUGGUUUAAAUUUUUUUAUUUAAUAUGGUGAAUUUAAUUAUAAUUUUUUAUUUAUUAGAUAGUAGAAUAUCUCUUACCAUUUAUAAUUAAGUUUAGGUUAAAAUAUUUUAUUAAAUUUUUGGACUUUUCACAAAUUUUAAAUUUAAUCUGUUUACUUUUAUUCAAGAAUUUAAUCUCUCUGCAUAUAAAGGAGGUAAUUAUGGCAAGGGGAAUUACCAUGGCAGAGGUAGCGGAGGCUGAGGAAGAGAUGCUGGAUAUGCUGAAGAAAGAUAGAUGGCUGAGAAACAGAAAAACUUUAGGAACAAUAUUCAGUGUUAGAAGUAUGGGGAUGUGAAGGCAGAUUGUUGGAAAAGGGGAAAACAAGCAAAUUAUGCGGAAGAUGAUGAAGAGAUUUAAGUUAUUUAUGAGCUGUCUAGAUGACACCAUAGCUUCAACUAACAUUUGGCUUCAAGGGCGUAUAUCUCAUGAUGAAGAGAUUGUCUCUCUUCUUUUUUCUCAUAACAUAUUAUACGCCAUGAUAAUAAAUUUUGAUAUGCCUAUAAAUUUGAGUCUCUAUUAUUUGUAAUAUGACAUGUUUUAAUUAUUUUUUAUAUUAUGCCAUGAUUUGGUUCACUCCAUAAGUUAUAUAAAUUUAUUAUAAUAAUUCAAUUAAUUUAAUUUAGAUUAAUUUUACAUUUUUGUCCUAACUUUAGUUUUUAAUAAUUGAAUCAUCCCACCAUUAUAUUCAAUUACAAGUGUAAUACGAUUUUGCGUCAUCCCGCACCAUUAUUCUCAGUGUAAUUUUUGGUAGUGAGCAUUGAAGGGGAGAGAGAGAGAGAACAAAGAAAGAACUUACUGUAAUUUUUGGUGUAUGUAAUCGAUAACCCUCAAUGCUUAAAAUGAAAAAGAAAAUAGAAAACAAAGGUGGCAAAGUUAGUUACAAUGCCAGCUAAUUCGUUAUUGCUAUCCACAUGAAGAAUUUUAUAACCCCAACUACACGAUUUUAUGUCUACCAGCUCUCACUUUUCAUAUUUUUUGGCCAUUAGUUAUUCUAAGAUUUAACAUCACCGUUAAGCCAUGUUUAAACUCUUUUUCUUAUAUAAUAAUUAUAUUAUAUUUAAAAUUGAAAAAACUAACCAACCAAAUAUAUAUUAAUUAAUUAAUAGAAGUUUUUUGGUCAUCGAUUAAAAUAAAUCAAGAAAGACGUUGGAACCACCAACUUCUCUUUAAGAACAACACGAAUACAAGAAUCUAUGCACAACAAGUUCUAAAAUGUAUUAAGUAAAUUCAUCAUCAUGCCUUAAAAAAAGAAGAUCUCGAUAUAUCUGCUUUUGCCAAAGCAUCCGCCAUACCAUUACUUUGCCAGUGAAUAAUUGUGAACUGAAACUUAGCCAAUUGAGUGAUAUUAAUUAUAGAAAUGAUUCUUCUUGCAACCAUAGAUGAAACACCACUGAGACUAACAAACUUGGAGAAACUUGAUUUGAGUUUUAACAUCUUCAGGAACAACACAAUUUCGUUUCUUGAAGGACUUUCAAACUUAAAUUAGUCCUUGGAUAUGCAUAAUAACACUCUGCAAGGCUCAUUAAUAGAUAUUAAAGGUACUGAAGCUAUAACUUUUUUUUCUUGAUAAUUCUUUUUAAAAUAUUUCAUAAUUAAUUGUUCUGAAUUUGUACAUUCACUUCUCACAUUUCUGGGUUUUUUUUGUCCUCAACUAAAUUAAACUUAUGCAAAUUUCUUGAAUAUUUAAGUUAAGAGUUAACGUCAAAGUCAAGAGUUGAUAAGUAUUUUGUGGUCCAUUCAUAUCUUUAUUACAAAAAAAAAAUAUUCAAGAAAUUUGCAGCUAGUUGGAGUUUUGCAAUAAGGAAUUUCCACCAAGAGUUUUGGAGGAAUCAUAUCUCUAACAAAAGAAAGACCUUCAUUUGACUAAAUUUUUUAGUAUUUAUUUUAACUUCCAUUUUUAUUAAAAAAAAGGUAAAAAAAUAUGCCAAACAGGGUCUUUAGGUUACUUUUUUUAGAACUAUAUUAUGUUAUAGUACCAUAUAAGUUAGAGGAGCACAAGUUUAGAUUCAUCCAAUUUUUGAGGAAUUAAUUAAAUAUAUAUUAUUUUAAUAUUAUAGUGUAUAGGGGCAAAGUUAGAAAAAAAUUUUUGUGGAGUCGAAAUUAAAUUAUAGUUUUUACAAUAGUUAAAAAAAAUAAUUUCACUAUUUUAAAAGCAUAUAUGUUGUAAGCACUAAAUUUUUGUCCGACUAGAGUUUGUGUUUAAUUUUCAAAAUUUCAAAAAAAAAUUUUAAAAAUAAAAAUUGCAUUUUGACCCCUAAAUUUUUCCUAAAUUUCAUUUUGACCCUUAAACUUUCAUUAAAUUUCACUUAGACCCCUAAACUUUCAUUAAAUUUCAUUUUAAUCCUAAAUUUUCUAAAAAUUACAUUUAGCCCCAGAAGUUUUGCUGUAUUUGUGAUUUGGUCCUUCAGACACGUUACGUGAUUUGGGGCACCCACUUCCCAGAUUUUCAGGCCACAAUCACCCACUACCUGCAAACAAUGAGAAAGAGGACAAAAUUUGGAGCUUUUAAAAAGAAAAAAAGAGAAGAGGAAGAAAAAAAGGAGAGAAAAAAACAAGCAGAAUUUUUAGAGAAAAAUAAAAAAAGAAGCUCUCAAUCCGGCCGAUUGCCUCCACCGCCACCACGUCCGUUGCGCCACCACCAUUGUCAUCUCACCAUCGAGUCCUAAACGCAAACAAAACAAAAACAAAGAAAAAAGCAAGCAAAAGAGAAAAGGAGAAAGUGCAAAGAAGAAAAAGAAAAAGGAAAAGGGGAGAGAGCAUACCUCCGUGCACGCCAUUGUCGGCCGUCGCACCAGGCGGAGGGACAUCACCGGCGAGACAAAGGAGGUGCUGCUGAUCGGGGAGAAAGAAAGGAAGAAAAAGAAGAAGGAAAGAAGAAAAGGGGAAGAAGAAAGAAAGAAAAAAGAAAAAAAAACUAAAAAAAAUAGCAGGCCAUUUUGGUGGACCAGAUUCAGCCCAACAAGAAGCAGCCCAAACCAGUCCUUUGGCAGCCAAUAGCAACAGCCCAACAGCAAAAAAAAUAAUAAAAGGGGAGGCCCAAAAUUUAAGCCCAUAACUUUGGGCUUUUGGGUAAUUUUUUUUCUUUUUUUCUUUUUAAUCUAUUUUAUUUUAUUUUAUUUAUUUAAAUGGUGUUUUAUUUAAUUUAAAUUAGUAUGCUUUAAAACAGUUUUCAUAAAUAUUAUUAUGUCAUUUAAUUGCAUAUUUUUUUUAAAAAAUAAUAAUAUUUUAAUGCAUAAGGCAACGAACCGAUUUAGCAUCGAGUCAUCGAAUUCAUCGCUAUGUUGGAUGGAUAUCGAUAGCUCGUGUUAAAUUCGGGACACCCUUUUAAAAAUAAAAAUAUUCAAAAAUCCUCGUAUUUUAAUAAAAAUUCUCGUGUUUUAUUAGAAUCCCGAUUAAAUAUUAAAUUGAAUUGAGUUAACAUUAAUUCGAUGGUUUCAUCGCCAUAUCGGGAUGAAUAUCAUCGAUUCGUGUUAAAUACGGUAUUUUUUAAAGAAAAAUUGUGUUUCAAAAAUUUUCAUGUCUUCAAAAUUUCUCGUGUUUCGUAUUUUAUCAAAAAAUUUAUGUUUUCAAAAACAAAUUUUCUGUUUUAAAAAUUUUCGUGUUUCAAAAAGAAGAUUCGUGUUUUCAAAAAUAAAAAUAAAAAAUCUCGUGUUUUAAAUUCUUCGUGUUUUUUAAAAAAAAAUUUUGUGUUUCUAAAAUUCUUGUAUUUUAAAAUUUUCGUGUUUUCAAAAAAGAAAAAGUUGUUGCGCUUUAAAAUUCUCGUGUUCAAUCGGAUCACGACUAAUAUUAAAUUGAACUCGUAUUUUUGAAAAUGAAGACAAUGCGCGUUUAACGAGAUACCAAUUUUGGGCGUUGCGAGGGUGCUAAUACCUUCCUCGCGCGUAACCGACUCCCGGACCCUAAUUUUCUCUGGAUUUUUACGUGGACCUAAAAUUACCUCUUUUUUAGAAAAGUUUAAAAAUAAAUUUUUCUUCUAAAAAGAGAAUUUUAUAGGUGUCCGAUCACACCUAGAAAAAAUAUCGGUGGCGACUCCUUUUUCAAAUAAAAUCGAGAUUCAGUUUUCAAAUUUACAAUAAUUACUUCGACUAGCGCCCGUGCCGAAAUUUUUAGGUCGCUACAGCUGGCGACUCCGCUGGGGAACCUUUUUGAGAGUCGAGUCGAAUUAAACUCGCGUUGUCAAAAUUUUCAAAGUUUCUUGUUCAAAUUAACAUUUAGUCGUGAUCCUUAAAUUUUUUGUUUUCAAAAAAAUCAUGCAUUUGCAUCGUGUUGUAUAUAUUCUAACUUGUUUUAUCAGGUUGUUUUUCAGCUUUAAAUUUUUGCGGUUUUAGUUUUGGUUUAGUUUUUCUAAAUAAAACGUAAAGGUUUACAAGUUUCUCCCCACACACCGUGCACGUGCAUUUAUGUUGCAUAACAUGAGCUCUAUACCCGGGCUCUGUCCCUGUUAAGAGAAAGUAAAUGCUACGCCUUCGUGAGUUAACUCGUUCCUCCGCACAGGCUAGUGAAUACUUUCGGGUUACAUAUGACUUAUGCUUUCGUGAGUUAACUUGUCCCUCCGCAUAGGCAUAAGUAAAUGUAAUCCCUCGAAUUGAUCUCGUAAGCCUAUGAUGGGCCAUGACCGAGGCUCUGUACUAAUCUUAGUAGAUGACAGUGCAGACGAUUCGAGUACCCACCUAGAACCAAAACCGCAUAUAGUGAACCAUACGAGCUAUCCAAUUAGAGUCAUGCCGAACCUCUGUCCGCUUAUAGUCAUCAAAAUAAGUACACGGGGAAAAUGCCUUUUGCCUUUCAUUUACACUGUUUAUGCAAAAUAAUUGGAUUGGGUAGUUUAAUUUGUUUUUCAAAUUAUAUUUGUUGUGUUUACUAACCAAGUUUGUUUGUUUUUACUUUUAUUUUCAUCAUGCAUCAUAGGCAUCAUAUUAGGAAGGUGUUGAUUAAAAGUUGGUUGCCAAAAAACGGGUUUCUGAUGGAAGAGUCAAUUACACAAAUAACCGAGAAGAAUGCCGUGGUUCGGGACUGGUCUCUAAAAAUUCAGAGAGAAAAGAGGGAUAGUCUAGUGGAAGGGUGUGUCACUAAUUUGCCCGAACAUAUAACUGUAAAUGUUCGCCAAAAUAACUUUGAGGAUUUGGUUCAAAUUUGGAAUCAGUGGGAUUCAGACACUAGAGACAUUUUCACUCAGAGGUAUGGAGAUAUAGCUCACCUGAUCAUCAUCCAUGUAGACGAACAGUUGAUUCAAGCCAUGGUUCGGUUCUGGGACCCAGCUUAUCAGUGUUUCACCUUCAAUCAAGAAGACAUGACUCCAACCAUAGAAGAGUAUGCUGCUUUACUCCGCAUCGACAAUGUACAAUUCGGCAAAAUAUAUGUGAAGGAGCCUAAACCGAUGACCUUCAAGAAAAAGUUAGUGAGACUGACAGACAUGACUGAUGCAUGGGCCGAAAAACAGAUAAAGAAGAAGAAUGAAACCAUUUGCAUUCCAUGGUCCUCCCUACGAGAUUUGGCUCUGAACCAUCCCAACAUGCUGAAAAGGGUAAAUCUAUUCGCUUUGGCCAUUUACGGUUUGGUCAUUUUCCCAAAAGUUCUCGGACAUCUCGAAGUUGCAGUAGUUGAUUUCUUCGAAAGGUUAAAACAAGGAAUCAACCCUGUCCCGACCAUCCUAGCCGAGACCUUCAGGUCCCUGAGUAGUUGUCGAAAAAAAGGGGAGGGACGAUUUAUCAGAUGCGCGCAGUUGCUCAAUGUUUGGAUUUUGAGUCACUUCUGGAAGGUAGAGCGCACUCCGUUCCAUAUGUUUUCUAAAACAUUCUCCCCGCUAGAAGCUUACCUCAAUAAAGAAUGGCCGAAGGAAGUCACCGAGCAACAUUGGGUAUCAGUUUUUCAAAAUCUUCGCACCGAGAAUAUAACAUGGAGAGCACCCUGGAUCCGUCCUUCAGUUCUGCUAUACAAAUGUGGAAGCCAAGAUUGGGUACCUCUACUCGGGUUUUGGGGAGGAGUUGGAUAUGCUCCGCUAUUAGUCCAAAGGCAAUUUUCUUCGCGACAAUUCCUCCCCGCAACUGGAGGAUUAGCACAGUUCGAGUUCGCUUUUGCGGGUGAAGGAUAUAUGAAGAGAGUCCGAGACACUGCAAAGUAUUGGAAGGAAAUUCAUUUCAUGGAAUUAGCUUUGUAUGUUGAUACCCUUACCCAAGAUUACGACAUAUGGAGGAAGCAACGGGUAAAUAGUCAGCAAAUCUCAUCAACAAACUACACCAUCCAGAAUCCUUUCUCGGAGAAAACGCCGUCUGAGCUAGAAAUGGCAAGACAAGAAUUCGAACGAGAAAAGGCCAAGAUGUCUCGGGACCUUAGUGCCCUUCAAGAAGAAAACUAUCAACUGAAGAUUGAAGUUCAGGUUGAAAGGUCCAGGACUGAAAAGUACAAAAAGAAGCCGAGAUUGUGAGAAACGACUUAAGGGACCUUCAUUUGGAAAACAAGAAAUUAAGAAACACUAUAAAGAAUAGCGGGUUGGGUAAGUCGACAGCAGAAUGGAAGGAAGAAAUUAGCAAUAUCAAGGGAGGAAUGGAGUUUUGGAAGGGAAAAGUAAAGAAAGAGGAGGAAAAGGCUGCGCGCGCUGUGAUAGAGUUAAGAAGGAAGAACGACGAGUAUGAAAUAGUGACUGCAAAAUUUGCGAAUAGUCAGUCUGAAUAUCAAGAAUUAAAAAGGAAAGCACGAGAUCUAGAAAAUAUGCUGCAAUCUCGUCAACAACAAUUAGAUAACCUCCUGAAGGCUCUAGAGGAAAAGCAUGAUCAGUACGAUAGGGACAUUCAGGCGUAUGAAGGAACUCUCAAAGAAAAAGAAAUGCAACUCGACUUCUUGAUCAAUGAAAUUCGUAAAGCGGCUAUGCAAGUUGUUCAAUUAUCAGAUGAAGCCGAAGUUAUCAGUUGCCAAUUCCCUCCGAGCCAAAGAUCGAGCAUAUCAGAGUUUUUAGAGCAAGUGAAUAAACAAGGCAAUGUGGCUAGGAAAUUUGUGUAACUGUUGGAAAAAUGAGAACUUUGUGUAAUAGACUAUGUUGAUAAAUGAAAUGCCUAAAUAUGGGGCUAUCUUGAAAUCAACACCAAAUUCUUGCAUGUUUACUCAUAACUAACAUUUAUGCAUCAUUUAUUCUUUGGACAUUCAUCCAUUCAUAUACUCAUUCAUUCAUUCAUCACGAGUACAUAUCACCAUAAUCAUCCACCGAAACUAAAGAACCGUAUAAUCCGCAGUUGCAAGAUUUCAAAUCUGGAACCACGCAAUUCCUAUAAAACGCGCCGACAAGCUAGAGUAAUGGAGGAUGAAUUCAAUGAGAGAAUUGAAAGGAUGGAAAGGGCUCAAAAGGAAUUACAAGAGUAACUGGCCAAAUCGCAGCAAGAGACGAGAGACCUAAUGGUGAGAUCUCGAGAGGAAUCACUCGAGCAAAGAGAUCAGAUGGCUAAAAUGAUGGAGAUGAUGACAACUUUGGUCAAAGGAAAAGGACCCAUGCAGAACUCCGAUGUUAUGGAACCUCGGUCAAGAAUUCACCAUGAUCAGGAUCCACUUUAUCCCCCAGGAUUUACUCCACCUCAUGUCCACGCAAUACAACGAGGAUACCCCCAAAGGGAACCUACAGGCCUAGAACAACAUCUUGCUCCGCCCACUAAUUUGGGGCAAGGAAUGUUAGCGUCGAACCUUGGGGCUAGUCCUGCUAAUCCACUAGUUCCAGAUCUGGAUGACCUAGCAGAGGCAGCCAAGUUGAAAUUGGAUAACCAUGACGCAAAAUAUAGGAGUCUAGAGGAAAGACUCAAAGCAAUAGAAGGCACUGAAGUCUUCUCCGCACUAGGUGCCAAGGAACUCAGUUUGGUACCUGAUCUAAUUUUGCCUCCGAAGUUCAAAGUGCCUGAUUUUGAGAAAUAUGAUGGGACAAGGUGCCCAAAAGCACAUCUCAUUAUGUUCUGUCAAAAAAUAACCGGUUAUGUGAACGAGGAUAAGCUACUCAUACAUUGCUUUCAAGAUAGUCUAACAGGGUCAGCUCUUCGGUGGUACAAUCAACUUAGUAGAGAAAAGAUUCGAUCCUGGAAGGACUUGGCGUCAGCAUUUUGCGAACAGUACAAGCAUGUAUCGGAUAUGGUGCCAGACCGUAUGACCUUGCAAAUGAUGGAGAAAAAGCCAUCAGAGACCUUUAGACAGUAUGCGCAGAGAUGGAGAGACGUCUCAGCUCAAGUGGAACCCCCACUAACAAAAACGGAGAUAACCGUUCUCUUUAUCAAUACUUUAAAGGCACCGUUUUAUGACAAAUUAGUGGGAAGUGCCACGAAAGAUUUCGCGGAUAUUGUAAUAUCCGGUGAACUCAUAGAGAACGCCGUCAAGAGCGGUAGAAUGGAAGGAUCAGAAGGCUCAAGAAAAGCAGCACCCUUAAGGAAGAAAGAGCCAGAAGCCCUCAUGGUGGGAACUGGGAGUCGUUACAUUCCCAAUUCAUAUCCUAAUCAACCCCGACCUCGAGAUUAUCCACCCUCGAGUUUCCAUUAUCCCCCUCAAACCCCUUGCUACCAAGCACCACAUCCGUCCUGCCCCGUAUACGCUACGAACAACCAAAGACCCGUCACCACUUUCCCACAAAACACGGUACCCACCCAAAGCCAACCCAGAAACGAACCAAGACCAUCAAGGCAUAAUCCUGAGAGACCGCAAUUUACCCCCAUCCCUGUGUCGUAUGGGGAAUUGUACCCAAAACUUUUAGAAAAAUAGCUAAUUUCUCCCCAUUACAUGGCACCCCUUAAACCUCCAUACCCAAAGUGGUACGAUCCAAACGCUAGUUGUGCAUACCACGCAGGGAACCAAGGGCACUCUACUGAGAACUGUCUCACUUUCAAAAGGAGAGUUCAAGGACUCAUUGAUGCGGGUAUCCUACGAUUCGAUAGUGCUAGUAAAGCCACGGAGAACCCGUUCCCUAACCAUACCGAAGGGAAUGUGAGCACAGUGGGGAAAGAGGAUGAAUGGAAGGUCAGAAGAUGUGUAUCAGAAAUAAGGACGCCUCUGCAGAAAAUCUGGGAGGUAUUGGUUAAGAAAGGAUUGCUCUGUCACUCUGAUAGAAUUUUUGGAGAAGAAGGUCAAAGUUUUUGCAAUUUUCAUGGGAUUGUUGGGCACGACAUUCAGUCGUGCGAGGACUUUAAAAGGUUACUUCAAGACUGGAUGAAUAAUAAAGAGAUCAAGGUCCUUAACAAGAGUGAAGAUGCCAACGAAAGAGAAGUAUGUGUCUCUGAUAGCCAAUCACCAGGUCCCCCUUAUAGUGCUGAUCGACCGUUGGUAAUUUAUUACGACGCGAUGAGAGAGCCCUUGAAACCACAGAUGGUAAUUGAAGUACCAUCUCCUUUCCCGUAUAAGGACAACAAAACAGUACCGUGGAGAUAUGAUGUUAAUAUCGUUACACCGGAAGUUGAAAAGUCCAAAGCCAUAAUUGAAGAUGUUGGGGAGGUAGGUCAUUUUACUCGAAGUGGACGAUGUUAUUCUAAAGAAGUUGAAUCGGUAAAGAAAAGUAGCGACUCGAAGCAAAAAGGAAAAGCAGUGAUGCACAAGGUCGAAGUCGAGCAAGAAAUUCCACCCGUGCAAGAAACUAAAAAGCUUGUGAAUGAGGAAGAAGCUCAAGAAUUCUUGAAAUUUAUUAAGCACAGUGAAUAUAGUGUGGUGGAACAAUUGAGCAAGCAGCCAGCACGAAUCUCAGUUCUAUCUCUACUGUUAAAUUCAGAGCCACACCAGAACGCUUUAUUGAAGGUGUUAAAUCAAGCUUACGUGGCCAACAACAUAUCUGUCGAAAAGCUUGAUAGGUGGGUAAACAAUCUGAAUGCGGACAACUUCAUCUCUUUUAGUGAUGAUGAGAUACCGCUAAAUGGUAGAGGUUCGGUGAAAGCGCUGCAUAUCACGACCCGCUGCAAGGGCUACAUAAUACCGAACGUACUCAUCGAUAAUGGGUCAGCGUUAAAUGUUAUGCCAUUGGCUACACUUUCCAAAAUACCGAUGGAUUUGUCCUACUUAAAGCCCUGUCAUUCCAUGGUAAGGGCAUUCGACGGGACGAAGUGCAAAGUCAUGGGAAAGAUCGAAAUCCCUUUGGAAGUGGGCCCCUACAUCUAUGAGGUCGAAUUUCAAGUUAUGGACAUUACACCCUCUUAUAACUGCCUUUUGGGAAGACCUUGGAUUCAUUCUGCAGCAGCAGUCCCAUCAUCCCUCCAUCAAAAAGUGAAAUUCAUCAUGGAUGGCUGUUUGGUCACAGUCGAGGGCGAAGAAGACAUUAUCGCAUCUAUCUCUGUUGAUGCGCCAUACCUGGAAGUAAGCAAGGACGUAGUGGAAUGUUCCUUUCGAUCCCUUGAAUUCAUCAAUGCCACUUUCGUCGCUGAGGGAAAUAGAAUUUCGAUGUCAAAACUGUCGAGAAAUACCAGAAUGGGUGUCAAGUUGACCGUAGGAAGGGGAGCUUGUGCGAGAAGAGGUUUAGGGAGACAUAUGCAAGGAAUAGUGAGGGCUUUAAAGCCAGUGCACCACAAGGCCUGAUACGGUUUGGGGUUCCAGCCUGACAUGCGCCAAAGAAGAAGACAGUGGAAGAAGGAUCAAGAAAGAAGAAUUGCAAGAACUUUGGGCCGAGAACCAGAAUGGGAACCAAUAGAGUACCCUCCUUUGUCAAAAACAUUUACAUCUGCGGGAAUGAUGUACCCUGGACAAGAGGAUCCACGAAACAUGCUGGGAUUAAUUGAAAAGGAUUUUCAGAAUGUUAGUAUAAAUGUCAUUGACAAAGAAGCUGGUGCAAGUAAAGAUGUCUCGAGGAUACGCCAUUGCCCUCCUGGUUUCAUGUUGAACAAUUGGAUAGCUGAGGAGCUUCUUGUAGUUUAUAAGCCUUCAGAGUAAUGCUAAACAUCAACCUUCUAUUGUGUCCUUAGAUAUAAUAGAGUUCUUUUGUAAGAGUUUGCAUUCGCUCUUUAUCAUUUAAAUGAAUAUCAAUGAAGAUGCAUUUUGUCACGAUUUUUCGCAUUAUCACUAAUUUCAUAAUCAUUUUCUCAUUUCAUAGCCUAUCCUUACAUUUGCCUCAUUGCCAUGACAUAAAAUUUUGUUUGUUGUUUCCAAUACUUGGAUGUCCCCCGAUAGCUUCCUUUUCCAUUCAACUUUCAGGUGCUCAGAUAUUGACGACAUGAAUAAGCCCGUUACGAAUCUUGAAAUUGAUUUUGAGAAGGCUGUUUGCUUAGGAGAAUUUGAAGCCGAAGAAAAUGCUGAAGAUUAUGUCUCGUCUCUUGAAUUGUUAAGAAUGGUGGAACAAGAGGAUAAACAGGUUCUGCCUCAUGAAGAAUCUGUAGAAACAAUAAAUUUGGGCACUGAAGAGAGGAAACAAGAAGUGAAGAUUGGGACUUCUAUUUCAGAAAGUACCAGACGUAGUUUGAUCACUUUACUCCGCGAAUACAAAGAUGUUUUCGCGUGGUCAUACCAGGACAUGCCAGGGCUAGAUGAAGAUUUAGUGGUCCAUAAGCUCCCAUUAAAGCCAGAAUGCAAGCCCAUCCAGCAAAAAUUAAGACGGAUGAGGCCCGAAAUCCUGUUGAAAAUAAAAGAGGAAGUCAAGAAGCAAUUUGACGCUGGCUUCCUACAAGCCUCCAAAUAUCCAGAAUGGGUGGCUAACAUAGUCCCGGUACCAAAGAAAGAUGGAAAAGUACGAAUGUGCGUGGAUUACCGUGACCUGAAUCGAGCAAGCCCAAAAGAUAAUUUUCCCUUGCCACAUAUUGACACGUUGGUGGACAACACAGCAAAACAUUCAUUGUUUUCUUUCAUGGAUGGAUUCUCGGGGUAUAAUCAGAUCAAGAUGGCUCCUGAGGAUAUGGAGAAAACUACCUUCAUAACAAUGUGGGGAACGUUCUGCUACAAGGUGAUGCCAUUCGGGUUAAAGAAUGCUGGGGCAACAUAUCAGAGGGCUAUGGUGACAUUAUUCCAUGACAUGAUGCAUAAGGAAAUAGAGGUCUACGUCGAUGAUAUGAUUGCUAAAUCUCGAGGAGAAGAAGAGCAUGUAAUGAACCUCAAGAAGUUGUUCGAAAGGCUGAGAAAGUUUCAGCUAAAGCUUAAUCCAGCCAAAUGUACAUUCGGGGCUACCUCGGGAAAGUUGCUAGGCUUCAUUGUCAGUGAAAGAGGUAUCGAAGUUGAUCCAGAUAAAAUAAAAGGCAUCCAAGAAUUACCACAUCCGCCACGCAAAAGGAAGUUAGAGGAUUUUUAGGGAGAUUAAAUUACAUCGCCCGAUUUAUCGCUCAACUUACCAACCAAUGCGACCCAAUCUUUCGGCUUCUUCGAAAACAUAGCCCGGGAGAAUGGAACGAGGAAUGCCAAGUGACCUUUGAUAAGAUAAAACAAUAUUUGUCCAGUCCUCCAGUGCUAGUACCGCCAACUCCGGGAAGACCAUUAAUUUUGUAUCUGACAGUGUUCGAAAGUUCAAUGGGUUACGUACUGGGACAACAUGACGAGUCAGGAAAGAAAGAAAAGGCGAUCUACUACCUCAGCAAAAAGUUCACUGAAUAUGAGGCAAAAUAUUCGUCCGUUGAGAAAUAUUGUUGCGCUCUGGUUUGGGUAGCUCGGAGACUCAAACAAUAUAUGUUGUAUCACACGACAUGGCUAAUUUCAAAGCUGGACCCAAUAAAAUACAUGAUGGAAUCGCCGGCACUAUCAGGAAGAAUGGCACGAUGGUAGCUCCUCCUUUCGAAAUAUGACAUUGCCUAUGUAAGUCAGAAGUCAAUAAAAGGGAGCGCAAUAGCUGACUUCUUAACAACUCGAACGACAGAGGAAUAUGAGCCUUUAAGAUUCGAUUUCCCAGACGAAGACUUAAUGUGCAUCACAGAAAUAGAAUCCGAGUCAUCAAAAGAGAAGUCAUGGAAGAUGUUCUUUGAUGGUGCGUCAAAUGCUUUAGGGCAUGGAAUUGGAGCAAUCCUGGUAUCACCAGACGGGAAUCAUUAUCCGUUCACUGCAAGACUGAACUUCUUCUGUACCAAUAAUAUCGCAGAAUAUGAGGCCUGUAUCAUGGGGUUUCGUGCAGCUAUCGAACGAAACAUCGAGAUCUUAGAGGUGUACGGGGACUCAGCCCUAGUGAUUUACCAAAUCCGUGGAGAAUGGGAAGUGAGGGACUCAAAAUUGAUUAAGUACAGCGAUUUAGUGGCUGGAUUGAUCAAGGAAUUCAAAGAAAUAACUUUUCAUUACUUCCCACGAGAAGAGAACCAACUGGCUGAUGCCCUAGCCACUUUGGCUUCAAUGUUCAAAGCAAGUAGAGAAGCAGAAAUAAUGCCCCUCAAAAUGAGCAUAUACGAGGUCCCUGCACACUGUUGUAGCAUUAAGAAAGAAGUAGACGGACGGCCUUGGUUUCAUGAUAUCUUAGAAUAUAUCAAGAAUCAAAGGUAUCCCGAACAAGUAAAUGAGAACGAUAAAAGAACAAUUAGAAGAAUGGCAGCGGGAUUUGUUCUUGAUGGGGAUAUCCUGUAUAAAAGAGGAAAGGAUCAGAUGCUUUUGAGAUGUGUGGAUGAUGUUGAAGCCAGAAAAAUACUUGAAGAGGUCCAUGAGGGAGUUUGCGGAACGCAUGCCAAUGGUUUCAAUAUGGCCAGAAAGAUCAUGAGACUCGGUUAUUAUUGGCUGACAAUGGAAAGUGACUGCAUCAAUUUUGCCAGAAAAUGCCACAAAUGUCAAAUCUACGGCGAUAAAAUUCAUGUAGCCCCUUCACCCCUUCAUGUCAUGACUUCUCCGUGGCCUUUUUCUAUGUGGGGCAUGGAUGUCAUAGGGCCAAUUUCUCCAAAAGCUUCAAAUGGACAUCGAUUCAUUUUUGUGGUUAUCGAUUACUUCACAAAAUGGAUUGAAGCCGCUUCAUUUGCCAAUGUGACGAAGACUGCAGUGUGCAAGUUUUUGAAAAAGGAAAUCAUUUACCGAUAUGGUUUGCCUGAAAGAAUCAUCUCAGAUAAUGCCACGAAUCUGAACAAUAAGAUGAUGAAAGAAGUGUGUGAGCAGUUUCAAAUAAAGCAUCAUAAUUCCUCGCCCUAUCGCCCAAAGAUGAACGGGGCUGUUGAAGCAGCUAACAAGAACAUUAAGAGGAUCAUUGGGAAAAUGACUGAGACAUAUAAAGAUUGGCACGAGAAACUUCCAUUUGCUUUGUUUGCAUAUCGUACAUCUGUGCGAACAUCUACGGGAGCAACUCCUUUCUCUCUAGUCUAUGGAAUGGAAGCUGUGCUACCUAUCGAGGUUGAGAUCCCCUCUCUGUGAGUAUUGAUGGAAUCAAAGUUAGAAGAAGCAGAAUGGGUUCGAGCUCGAUAUGAUCAGUUGAACCUCAUUGAAGAAAAACGUCUAAGGGCAAUUUGUCAUGGGCAAAUGUACCAAAAGAGAAUGAUCGCAGCCCAUGACAAGAAGGUACGACAAAGAGAGUUCCAUGAAGGAGAACUCGUUCUGAGAAAGAUUCUCCCAAUACAAAAAGACCUGCGAGGAAAAUGGGCACCAAAUUGGGAAGGACCAUACGUUGUAAAAAAGGCAUUCUCGGGAGGAGCUUUAAUCCUUACCAAGAUGGAUGGGAAGGAGUUACCGAAUCUGGUGAAUUCGGAUGCGGUGAAGAAAUAUUAUGCUUAAGAUGAAAACCCGAAAAGGGCAUCUUAAAAAAAAAGGGUGAAAACCCGAAAAAGGUGUCUUGAUUAGUACAAAAAGAUUAGGAUGAAAACCCGAGAGGGCGUCCUAAUGAAACAAACCUGGCGGUCAAACGAUAGGUCAAGUAGUGAGACUACAGUAUUUGAAGCACUUCUGAAAGCUCGAAAUUUUCUACGCAAGAAGCCAUGCUCGAAAAGAUAAUUGAUUGAGGAACGUAGAAGAGUUCAUGUGUUGAAUAUCUAGAGCAUUAGUAUCCGUUGAAUACGACCUUUUCUUUCUUUUUGACAUUUUUACUCUCAUUGGUUAACUUUCUUUGUUUGCCACACUUGAAAUAAAGGAAUAUGAGAUAUCCUUUGUGUCCCUACCUGACCAUUUUCAUGCAUCUCAUUAUGUGUUUAUUUAAUGAUAAAUAGUGAAAUGACAUACUCUAAACAAAAGAAAUGUCAAGCAUUACCCGGAUAAGAAUUUGAUAAGUGCAAGAUCUUCAAAGCAAGAACAAAGUUUAACCAAGGGCAAAAGGGUGAUAUCUGAGAAACGUCGAUUACUCGUAAAGCUCGAAGACAGGUAUGAGGCCUGAAGAGAAGGUCGAGAAUCAAAGCAAUGAACGCAGAUCCUCAAAAAUCAUGGCAAAAAUGACAUACGACCAAUAUGCUUAAGGAGCACUGCAUAAUCAUGUAGGCAUAAAGGCAUUUAAGACAAACAUGUGCAUAUCAUGAUGACUUCAUGCAUGGCAUAUACAGGUAAUCCAGUAAAGCAAGAAAUCUUGAAUCGCACAGAAUCAAAGGAAAAGAUACCCGAGUUCUACCAAAGGACUGGUUUUGGUAUUUUGAUGUUUAAUAUUCAUGCUUUCCAAGGAAAAUCAACUCAUAUUGCGAGAAAUGAGUUGAGCCUCAAGACACGUUGAGCUAUUUUUAAUUUUUUUAAAAAUCAACUCAUAUUGCGAGAAGUGAGUUGAGCCUCGGGGCACGCCGAGGUAUUUUUAGUUUAUGUUUUAAAUUGACUCAUAUUGCGAGAGGUGAGUUAAGCCUUUUAAUUUUUGUUUCUCAAAAUUCAACUCAUAUUGCGAGAAAUGAGUUGAGCCUCAAGACACGUUGAGGUAAUUUCAAUUUUUGUUUUCAAAAUUCAACUCAUAUUGCGAGAAAUGAGUUGAGCCUCAAGACACGUUGAGGUAAUUUCAAUUUUUGUUUUCAAAAUUCAACUCAUAUUGCGAGAAAUGAGUUGAGCCUCAAGACACAUUGAGGUAUUUUCAAUUUUUGCUUUUCAAAAUUCAACUCAUAUUGCGAGAAAUGAGUUGAGCCUUAAGACACGUUGAGGUAAUUUCAAUUUUUGUUUUCAAAAUUCAACUCAUAUUGCGAGAAAUGAGUUGAGCCUCAAGACACGUUGAGGUAAUUUCAAUUUUUGUUUUCAAAAUUCAACUCAUAUUCCGAGAAAUGAGUUGAGCCUCAAGACACGUUGAGGUAAUUUCAAUUUUUGUUUUCAAAAUUCAACUCAUAUUGCGAGAAAUGAGUUGAGCCUCAAGACACAUUGAGGUAUUUUCAAUUUUUGCUUUUCAAAAUUCAACUCAUAUUGCGAGAAAUGAGUUGAGCCUCAAGACACGUUAAGGUAAUUUCAAUUUCUGUUUUUAAAAUUCAACUCAUAUUGCGAGAAAUGAGUUGAGCCUCAAGACACGUUGAGGUAAUUUUCAAUUUCUGCUUCUCAAAAUUCAACUCAUAUUGCGAGAAAUGAGUUGAGCCUCAAGACACGUUGAGGUAAUUUCAAUUUUUGUUUUCAAAAUUCAACUCAUAUUGCGAGAAAUGAGUUGAGCCUCAAGACACGUUGAGGUAAUUUCAAUUUUUGUUUUCAAAAUUCAACUCAUAUUGCGAGAAAUGAGUUGAGCCUCAAGACACGUUGAGGUAAUUUCAAUUUUUGUUUUCAAAAUUCAACUCAUAUUGCGAGAAAUGAGUUGAGCCUCAAGACACAUUGAGGUAUUUCCAAUUUUUGCUUUUCAAAAUUCAACUCAUAUUGCGAGAAAUGAGUUGAGCCUCAAGACACGUUGAGGUAAUUUCAAUUUCUGUUUUCAAAAUUCAACUCAUAUUGCGAGAAAUGAGUUGAGCCUCAAGACACGUUGAGGUAUUUUCAAUUUCUGCUUCUCAAAAUUCAAUUCAUAUUGCGAGAAAUGAGUUGAGCUUCAAGACACGCUGAGGUAAUUUCAAUUUCUGUUGUUAAAAAAAAAUCAACUCAUAUUGCGAGAAAUUAGUUGAGCCUCAGGACAUGCUGAGGUAAUUUCAAUUUCUGUUUUCAAAAUUCAACUCAUAUUGCGAGAAAUGAGUUGAGCCUCAAGACACGUUGAGGUAUUUUCAAUUUCUGCUUUUCAAAAUUCAACUCAUAUUGUGAGAAAUGAGUUGAGCCUCAAGACACGUUGAGGUAUUUUCAAUUUCUGUUUUUCAAAAAUCAACUCAUAUUGCGAGAGGUGAGUUGAGACUUUUAAUUUCUAUUUUUCUAAAACCAACUCAUAUUGCGAGAGGUGAGUUGAGCCUUUUUCUGUUUUUCAAAAAUCAACUCAUAUUGCGAGAGGUGAGUUGAGCCUUUUAAUUUCUGAUUUUCAAAAAUCAACUCAUAUUGCGAGAGGUGAGUUGAGCCUUUUAAUUUCUGUUUUUCAAAAAUUAACUCAUAUUGCGAGAGGUGAGUUGAGCCUUUUAAUUUCUAUUUUUCAAAAACCAACUCAUAUUGCGAGAGGUGAGUUGAGCCUUUUUCUAUUUUUCAAAAAUCAACUCAUAUUGCGAGAGGUAAGUUGUGCCUUUUGCAAAUUCUGUUUUCAAAAAUCAACUCAUAUUGCGAGAAGUGAGUUGAGCCUUGGCUCACGUGCUGAGCUAUUUUCAAUUUCUAUUUUUAAUGUCUAGUUUUAANNNNNNNNNNNNNNNNNNNNNNNNNNNNNNNNNNNNNNNNNNNNNNNNNNNNNNNNNNNNNNNNNNNNNNNNNNNNNNNNNNNNNNNNNNNNNNNNNNNNNNNNNNNNNNNNNNNNNNNNNNNNNNNNNNNNNNNNNNNNNNNNNNNNNNNNNNNNNNNNNNNNNNNNNNNNNNNNNNNNNNNNNNNNNNNNNNNNNNNNNNNNNNNNNNNNNNNNNNNNNNNNNNNNNNNNNNNNNNNNNNNNNNNNNNNNNNNNNNNNNNNNNNNNNNNNNNNNNNNNNNNNNNNNNNNNNNNNNNNNNNNNNNNNNNNNNNNNNNNNNNNNNNNNNNNNNNNNNNNNNNNNNNNNNNNNNNNNNNNNNNNNNNNNNNNNNNNNNNNNNNNNNNNNNNNNNNNNNNNNNNNNNNNNNNNNNNNNNNNNNNNNNNNNNNNNNNNNNNNNNNNNNNNNNNNNNNNNNNNNNNNNNNNNNNNNNNNNNNNNNNNNNNNNNNNNNNNNNNNNUAGAUAAUGUGAAUGUAUUUAGAGGUGCUUAUAUAGUAUUCAAAACUAUCAUAUAAAUUCAAUUUUCAACCAUAUAUAAUUGACAUUAUGGGAGUUGGAAAAUGAUAGGGGGCACUAUAGCAAAUGUUAUAGUUGUAUAAAAUUAGGACUUUGUGAUGGAAUAGUUUAGGGCAUAUUGUUUGAAUAUUCCAUAAACAUUAAAAAAAAAACCAAAUUUGUAAUGGAAUAUAAGAUUGGGUUUUCUUUUAUUAUCAAUUUAAAGCCAUGAGAAUCUUUAUUAUUUAAAAAUUAAUGUAAUUGUUAAAUUGAAAUUGCAGGGGAAUUUCAAAUAGGAGAAAAUAUAAAAGAAAUGGAUCCAAAAACAGUGGGAAGUAGUGUUGUAAAAUAUGGGAGGUGGAGAUUUGGAAUGACAAAGAAAGCAAUGGGGCAUUCAUUAGUUUAUAGCCAACUUUAUCCAUUUAAAGGCCUCCAAAAUUAUACCUCUGGAAUUAUUCACCAUGUUCGCCUCACUGGUAUUUCUCACCAUUUCUUCCCUUAUUUAUCUUCUGCAAAUUUGUUUUCUUACCAUUUCUUUCGCAUUAAUACUAACUUUUUUAAUUUACAAUAUGGUAGCCAAUACUGUUUCGGUAUUAGUAAUAUUAGUCGAUACAUAUCACUUUUAAGGGUGAGUUUAAAGGGAUAGGAACAAUUCCGUGUGUUGACUUAAUAGUCAGGGUGUUCACCGUUCUAGGUAUGGUUUGAGUUCAAGUUAAGUUGUGCUAGUCACGUUACUGUUAGGGUUUUGCCCUUCUCUUGUAAUUCAGCAAAAAGAAAUUAAUAUAUGGUGAAAUUGCACUUUAACUCCUCCAAAAAUGAAAAUAUUUAUAUUUAAUUCCUUCAACAAUAAUGAAAUCGUAAGUUAAUGCAAGAUAAAUGACACUUUAACUUAACAAUCUCCGCUCCCCUUAAAAAAAAAAUCCUAACUUCACCCUUAAUCAUCUUGAUUUUAGAUUGGUACCAAGUAGAUUAAAUUUUGUUCUUAUUAAAACAUUGGUGUGUUUCCUUCUGUUUCAGCUAAUACCAACUUAUACCGAUAUGUACCAAACAAUAUUGGUAGGACUGAGAAAGAAAUCAAAAAAUUGAACUAAUUUUUAUUUAUAAUUUUAUUUAUAAUUUAAAAAUAAAAAUAUAUUUAAACAGUGACAAUAACUCAAAUUUUAUAUAAAAACUAUUUAAAAAUAUUAUCAUAUAAGAGUUAUUAAUUUAUUUGAAAAUUAGUUUCUUUUAAAAAUAUUUAUGAAUAUUUUUAAAAAUUUUACAAAAUAAUAUCCAAAAUUCAUAGAAUAAUUUAUCAAGAUAAGUUCAAACACCCAAAAUUAAUAGAUCUUGAACCAAAUAAAUCCAACUAAAAUAAACCCAAAAUUAAUAGACCGAGAAUCAAAUUAUCAUAGAAGAUAUACCAUACACACUAAUACCCAUAAUUACCCAAUAAUUCUUCUCACACUUUGCAGGUUUAAAACCCAACACCUUCUAUUACUAUCAAUGUGGAGACCCUUCAAUCCCAGCAAUGAGCGAUGUUCAUUAUUCACCAUGUUCGCCUCACUGGUAUUUCUCACCAUUUCUUCUCUUAUUUAUCUUCUGCUAAUUUGUUUUCUUACCAUUUCUUUCGCAUUAAUACUAACUUUUUUAAUUUACAAUAUGCUAGUCAAUACUGUUUCGGUAUUAGUAAUAUUAGUCGAUACAUAUCACUUUUAAGGGUGAAUUUAAAGGGAUAGGAAUAAUUUCGUGCGUUGGCUUGAUAGUUAGGGUGUUCACCGUCCUAGGUGUGGUUUGAGUUCAAGUUGUGCUAUUGUAAUUCACCAAAAAGAAGUUAAUAUAUAGUGAAAUUGCACUUUAACUCCUCCAAAAAUGAAAAUAUGUAUAUUUAGUUUUCUUCAACAAUAAUGAAAUCGUAAGUUAAUGCAAGAUAAAGGACACUUUAACUUAACAAGCUACGCUCCCCUUAAAAAAAAUCCUAACUUCACCCUUAACCAUCUUGAUUUUAGAUUGGUACCAAGUAGAUUAAGUUUUGUUCUUAUUAAAACAUCAGUGUGUUUCCUUCUGUUUCAACUAAUACCAAUUUAUACUGAUAUGUACCGAAUAAUAUUGGUAGGACUGAGAAAGAAAUCAAGAAAUUGAACUAAUUUUUAUUUAUAAUUUUAUUUGUAAUUUAAAAAUAAAAAUAUAUUUAAAUAGUGACAAUAACUCAAAUUUUAUAUAAAAAUUAUUUCAAAAUAUUAUCAUAUAAGAGUUAUUAAUUUAUUUGAAAAUUAGUUUCUUUUAAAAAUAUUUAUGAAUAUUUUUAAAAACUUUACAAAAUAAUAUCCAAAAUUCGUAAAAUAAUUUAUCAAGAUAAGUUCAAAAACCCAAAAUUAAUAGAUCUUGAACCAAAUAAAUCCAACUAAAAUAAACCCAAAAUUAAUAGACCGAGAAUCAAAUUAUCAUAGAAGAUAUUUACCAAACACACUAAUACCCAUAAUUACCCAAUAAUUCUUCUCACACUUUGCAGGUUUAAAACCCAACACCUUCUAUUACUAUCAAUGUGGAGACCCUUCAAUCCCAGCAAUGAGCGAUGUUCAUUAUUUCCGAACAAUGCCGGCCUCCGGUCCAAGGAGUUAUCCGGGAAGAAUUGCAAUCAUCGGAGACUUGGGGCUCACGUAUAACACAACUUCAACAAUUGAUCACCUUAUGAGCAAUCACCCGAACCUGGUGCUGUUAAUCGGCGAUGCAAGCUAUGCCAACUUGUAUCUCACCAAUGGCACCGGUGCCGAUUGCUACUCUUGCGCUUUCUCCGACACUCCUAUUCACGAAACGUAUCAGCCUCGUUGGGAUUAUUGGGGAAGGUAAAUUUUAACGAUGUUUCAUGGAUUUAAAUAGCGGUCACAACAUGACAUUACGAUAGUAUUUGUUAUAAAUGUGCAGGUUUAUGCAGCCUUUGGUGUCCAAGGUUCCCUUGAUGAUGAUAGAAGGGAACCAUGAAAAAGAAGAACAGAUUGAGAAGAAGACAUUUGCGGCUUAUAGUGCUCGAUUUGCAUUUCCAUCGGAGGAGAGCGGAUCAUCGUCGACAUUCUAUUAUUCUUUUAAUGCAGGUGGCAUUCAUUUCGUGAUGCUCGGUGGUUACACCGACUAUAACAAAUCAGGGGAUCAAUACCAGUGGUUGAAGAAGGACCUUGCAAAAGUUGAUAGAAAAGUGACUCCAUGGUUGGUUGCAACAUGGCAUCCUCCAUGGUACAGUACAUAUACUGCACAUUAUAGAGAAGCUGAAUGUAUGAGGGUAGAAAUGGAAGAUUUAUUAUACAAAUACGGAGUUGAUAUAGUCUUCAAUGGACAUGUAAGUCGUGCUUUAUAAUGAAUUAAUUCAAUUACAUUCACUCGAAGAGCUGAUGGUCGUGUUCAUUUGGUGAUAAUCAAUAGGUUCAUGCCUACGAGAGGUCGAACCGAGUGUAUAACUACAACUUGGAUCCUUGCGGUCCUGUUCAUAUUACGAUUGGUGAUGGUGGCAACCGAGAGAAAAUGGCAAUUACACAUGCUGAUGAACCCGGAAAUUGCCCCAAACCAUCGACAACUCUGGAUAAAUUUAUGGGUGGGUUCUGUGCAUUUAACUUCACAUCAGGGCCGGCAAGUGGUAAAUUCUGCUGGGAUAGGCAGCCUGAUUAUAGUGCAUAUAGAGAAAGCAGCUUUGGACAUGGAAUCCUUGAGGUAUAUUAUGCAGAUAUUUCAUUAAGAUUAAUUUCUAUGGACCGUAAAAAGGACACAAAGGGUACUUUAAUUAUACAAAAAAAACAUUAACAGCAAGUGUUUUGCAGGUGAAAAAUGAGACUCAUGCACUGUGGACAUGGUACGGUAAUCAAGAUGCUUAUGGGACUACUGGUGAUGUGGUUUAUAUAGUUAGGCAACCUGAUAGAUGCCCUGUUGAACCCGACGUAAUUAAUUAAGAGUAAACUCCAAAGCUUAAUUAAGUUGAUUCAUCUGCAGUCACCAUUAAAAAGUGAUGCCAAGAAAGUUUAGGUUUGAAUCUCGGCAUCUGUCCUCAGACUAUGAUUUCUUUUGUACCAGUAAAUAUCUUUCAAAGCUAUAAAUACAUAUUAAACAUCAAAAUCAGACAGCUGAUAAAUCACAAAGGGAUUAUGUACGUAUGUAUGCAUGCAUGUAUGUUGGCUUCUAAAGAUUGAAAAGUAAAUAAUUAAGGAUUCAAAAGGAACAUUAUUGUGAUAUGAUUUGCAGGUUCGUAAUUUUAAUUAAAUGAAAUAAGUUUGAUGUAACUAUGCAAGUAGUACUUAGAAUCCUAAAAGUUUGAAAUAAAUAUUUGUAACUUUGUUGAAUGUUUUCAUGAGAGUUCCUUUCUCAUGGAGGUCAAUUUCUUUGUUAUAAGAUACGGUCCCAUGGUUUGACAUACUAAGAUUAAAUAGGCUCUUAUGUAGGCUAACACGUAUCCUACUUUAGGGUCAACACGUGUCUCUUGAGUAUGGGUUUGCCUGCAUGGUGGUGUGAACCCAUUAGGUGCGGACUUAUACAGACGAACUAUAUGGUUUGGUUAACUAUAUCCGAAAUAAAAGGGGUCAGAUCGGUCUUAAUCAGAAAACAAAUAAUUUAUGGCGGACACUACAACAAACUUAAUAAUCACAUUUGUUAAUAACAAAUAAUUAAUUUGUUUUGAUAACGUAAUUACAAGACAUAAUUUGAAAAUAAUAUAUGCUUGCUUAGAUACCAUUAUUCUCAGUACUCCAAGUAACAUAAAUAUUGAAAUGAAUUUGUGAGAGAGCUAAGAUGGUUGUAUUCUAAUAGAGAGAUUUCUAUUGCUGGUAAAGAAGACUUUAGCUCCACUAUCGUGCGGCCGUGACAUUAGCUUAAGCUCCUCAUUAAGCUAAUUAAAUGUGAUCUCUAGAUUAACCAACAAUGUCUUCAUAAAGUAGACAACUAAAUGAUCGAUACCACCAGCAUCCUUCCAUAAAUAGCUGCGAAAUAGGGCUUCAACUUCUAACAAAAACGCCUCUUCCUAUCAUUGGGGUCAUGCAUCAAGGUUUAAAAAGUUCCAUAUUGGAUGCAAAAUAAAUGAUAGAACAAGUAAGAGCAGGAUAGACAUUGAGCUUGUGUUGAGUGUACUAUCAAAUGAAGCUCUAGAGAGAAAUGGAGGGCUGAAUCCAGGGUAAUUGAGCCCCGGACCGCCACCUCCGCCAUUGAUCGGUGUGGUUGUCGUAGUUGGCACAUUCGGAUUGUUCCACGACCCUGUUUUUGGCAUAGCUGUCCCUCCGGAUGUGCUGGAAAUUUCAUAACUUAAGCUUUUAAAAUCAAUAAAAUAACAGUGACAAAAACUACAAAUAAUGAUGGAAUCCAAUUUGGUUGGUAAUUUUCAAAAAAUAGGCGAAAGGAGCUAUUAUUAGCUUUUGCUGGAACCCAAUAGAGGUGCUCAUGGGCCGGGCCGGGCCGGGCCCAGAAAAAAUUUCGGCCAGUGUCCUAGACCCUGGCCUGGCCGAGGCUGAAAUAUGAGCCUAAAAUUUUAUCUAGGCCAGGCCUGAAAAAAAAUUCAUAAGCCCGAGCCCAGCCCGGCCCAUUUUUUAAAUAAACACCAAAAAAAAUUUAAAAAUAAAAAAAUUUAUUUUAAAAAUAUUUUAAAAAAUAAAAAUAAAAAAUAUUUUAAAAAUAAAAAAAUAAAUAGAUUUAUUAUAUUUGGGUCGGGUCGGGCCGGGCCAAAAAAUGUUAUGUGAGGCCCGGUCCAUUUUUUAAAUGGGCCUUUUUUUUUGUCUAAUGUCAUAUUUCGGGCCUAUUUUUUACUUAAACCCUCCCAUAUUUUGGGCAGGCCAUUGGGCCGAGCCGGGCCGCCCGGCCCAUGAAGACCUCUAGAACCCAGCAAUGCGCCCAUGGAUAGAGAUGACAACAAGGUGAGACGGGACGAGUUUUUGCUCGCCUCAAUUUCGACUCGAUUUUUAUAUCCUCUACUUCGAUUUAUUCUGAGCUCGAUUUUAUUUAAAAAUGUAAAAAUAAUUAUAAAAUUAAAAAAAAAGUGUUUUAGUAAGUAAAUCAAGGCAGACAAAUCGAAUUUUCAUCUAAAUCUAAACUCGAAUUGAUCUUGAACUACCCAUGUAUGACUCCAGUAUCCAAAUAUCUAGAGUGUUUUUUGACCGUUGGAUGUCUUUCAAGAAAAGAGUACCCAUCCAACGGUUGAAAAAGUCUCACCUAAACAAGACGGUAGGAAAACAUUACAAGUAAAGAAGUGGCCAACAGACAUAAAUAAGCCUGGAAACGUAAAAGGUGUAAACCUUCACAAAGUGACGACUGCAUGUAGGAUACGAAAAUGGACGGUUAGAGAUCAUGCCGAGAAACACGUGUCAGACAUCUACUCAAUUACAGCAUCACCAUGAAAGGCUCACACCCACUUGAGAAUCAAAGGAUUAUGCAAAGUUGAUUCAUGUUAGUUAAUUAGGAUUUAAACAAUAUCUUAUUUUGCGCCUUUUUGUUUUUCUGUCUUUGAUCCUCUUACAAGCCACAAGGGUUUCAAUAAUAAAUUACACCCAACUUCAAAAAGUUAUUAAAUGAGCAAUAAAUUAUUCAAAUUUUUUUAUUUAAGUCACUAAACUAUUUAAAAGUUUUUAUUUAAUUUACUGGGCUGUUAAAUUUUUUUUUUAAAAAGGAGGUUCAGCUAGUGAACUCCAAGCAACAAUUUAACAAUCGGUAUGGUGGAUAAAUACCCGCUGACGAGUAGAUCCAAGUUGAUCUAACGGUUAGUGUCGGAGAUCGGAGAAUGAAGAGAAAAACUGUUUGGAUUUUAGUUUAUAGAUUUGUGACGUUAAAAGUUAUUUCAUAAAAAAAAAUUAAACUGUAAAAGAGAAGGGAAAUUAAAGCUUUUGAGUGUUGCAAGCAAUGCAGACAAAGAAAGCCGUACAACAGUAAUUUUAACAACCCGAUGACUUAAAUGAAAAUUUUCGAGUAGUUCAAUGAAAGAAAAUACAAAAAAUUCUCUCUGCUGCGUUGUUUUCGUCUUCUUUGCAGGUAAGGAGGCUAGCUGGCGUAAGGAGGUGGUGGAUGUGGCACAGCACACGCGGGGAAGGCCUUGGUGGCUGCGGCGCCGGAAGGAGGGCUGUUGCAGCUAGGGUUUUCUGAUUUUUUUUUUGUUUUGGGCUAGGGUUGUGUUGAUAGUUGUAUUGGGCUAGGUUUUUGGGCUGGGUGUAGUUGGACUAGAUGCAUCUGACUUUGGGUUUGUACCGGGUCACUGUAAAUGGGUUUGGUUUUUAUUGUUAUUGGGCUGUGAACUAUUUGAGUUUUAAUUAAUUUUUAUUUAUUUGGUUUUUUAUUGUGGGCUGGGCAAAUUGGGUAUUACAAUCAGCUAAUUAGGAAAGACUGUGAUGAUAGUCACACCUUACAUCCAAAAGCAAAGCUUUUUACAUGUGUAUGUGAGGUUGCUAAGCAAAUCUGAUGAGCCUUCACUGAUGUUUUAAGGUUAAGUUAAUGUUCCUUUUCGGCAAAGAACAUUAUCGAGAUCACGGUAUUUUGAUCGCCUUUUGCUUGUUAUGUUAUUUGUUCUGAAACGAUUGCAUAAUCUUUACUGUGAUUGCAGGAUAUAGAGCAACUUCUGAAUUUCAUUGGUGUAAAGAGUUGAGGACCACGACAUGUUCUUGCAAAUUUGAAGGAGCUUCUAAGGUCUGUCCGGUCUUCAGAAUAUAUAGAUACCUGAAUUAAUUUUGAUUUUGUAGGAUCAACUAUAAUUAGCUACUUAUUACACUAUGAAUAGACAACCUCACCUUCUUCACACACUACACGUGCGGAUUUUUUACCAAUCCCAUUUCAAAGGAUCACACUUUUUUGUUGUUUACAGAAUCAUAAUUAAUGUUAAUUAAAGUGGAAUAUUUCAGAUUUCUGAUGAUGAGCAUAUUCUUGAGUAUUGCAGUAAAAAAAUGGGUGUGGAACUUAUUUGAACUUUGAAUGUAUGUUCUGUUGGUGAGAAUAUAAAGUUGAUAAAGAUUUGGUAAAUAGAAUAAAAUAUUAUUUUUAUUAGAAAAAUUAUUUGGUAGACUGCCAAUCGAGUUAUAAUUAUCAUGACGUAAAACAUGUCAUAUUACAAAUAAUAAAAUUAUAAUGACUCAAAUAUACGAACAUGUCAAAAUUUACGUAAAACGAAUUAUUAACAUGUCAAUGUAUAAUACGGUACGCAAAAAUAGGAUAAUUGCUUGUUUUUUAAAUUGAAUUGUUAUAACAUAUUAUACAAAAUACAUUGUGAAUUAAAGCAUAAUAUGAACAUGAUAUCAAAAUAUUAAAUAUUUUUUAAAAUUUGAUGAUACGAAUAAUUAUGUAAAAUAUAACAUGAUACAAAAUAACUUGAGAGGAAAAGAGGAAUAAAGAAUUGCAUUGUUUGUGAGGUUUUAAAAUAUUCCAGUUUUAGAUUCAAUUUUCUAGUAUGUUUGGUUUAAUUUUACAUUAGAUUUCCUUUUUAGUAUGCACUAGUGAACGCUUGGCAGUUAAUUUAAUUUAAUUUAAUUUAAAGAGAUAUUGCAUAUACAUAAUAAUGGAUUAUGAUUUUACAUUAAACUUCAUAGAAGAAAAAAGAAAUAGACGGUUGAAAAUGAUAAAACCAUAAGAUAAAAGAGCUUUUAUUUAAAAUGCAAAAAUCAACAAAAUAUGCAUUAUCGCUCAACUUAGCAUAAUUAAACAUUUAGGUGUGGAAAUCAAAUCACAAUUUGAGUAGCUAAACAUAUCGCUUGAAAAUGUGAUAAGUAAGAAAAUUGCCCACAUUUGAGUAGCGACAGGUGGUAAUGCAUUUCCCAACAAGAGAAAACCAAGCUCUUCGCCAGUAUGGAUUUAUGUAGAGGACAACAAAAAUUGUUAACAACACAACUACAUAAGAAACCAAAAAGCUCACACAAAAAUCAUAACUAUCUAUCAAACCAUCUUCUCCUUUAUCUUCUGAUACAGUUGAUAUUGUUGAUGGUGAAUCGGUUUUGGAACAACUUUUAUGCAGUAUAGGUCCACAAAGAAAAGGGUUUCCUUCAUAACUGUUUUCAAUAAAGGUCUCAAAUUGAGCUUUUGGUUCGGGAAUACUACCUGACAAGUUGUUAAAUGCCACGCUGAAAACCUCCAAAGAGUUUAACUCUACCAAUUGAUUGGGGAUUUCACCACUUAAGUUGUUGUAAGAAAGGUCCAAACUCUCAAUUUGAUGUAGUUUUGAGAGUGACGAGGGUAUAACUCCGGUCAACUUAUUGUGUGAAAGGUUUAAAGAAUGGAUUUCACUCAAGUUCCCUAAUUCUGGUGGGAUAUGACCAGUUAAGUUGUUGCAAGAUAAAUCAAUCCCAGUCAUAUAUGAAAGGAUGUCGCCCUUGUAUGAAUAGAACCCACUCUUUGUUGUGAACUCUAUUACUUCUUCUAAGUAGCUACUAGGAUAGUAAGAAUCCAUUCCCAAAUUUAGUAUCAUACUGCGUGUUGUUUCAUCCUCUUCUAUAGAUGGCCCAUAGAACCAAGUUUCUAGAAUCUUCUUCGUUUGCAUUGGAAGAGAUAAAUUUCCCAAACAAGAAGGUAUAGGACCAGAAAACAUAUUUUGAGAAAGAUCUAUGAUGCUUAAAGAAUGCAACUUGCAUAACUCAAUAGGAACUUUACCAUGAAAAUGAUUAUCUUUCAAGAGAAGAACACUCAAAGAAGAAAGCGUGUAAAUCCAUUUUGGAAUACUACCUGUCAAAUUGUUUCCUCUAAGAUCUAAAGUCACUAUUGAAGAGCUAUUAUAAAAAGCAAGUGAUAGUGGGCCUCUCAGUCUAUUCCCGUGGAGGUGGACAUGCUCUAUGUAUGGUGGAUUAAAACAUGACGGUAUAGAGCCAGAUAAAUUAUUUUGAGAAAGAUCCAAAAAUUCCAACCUAUUCAACUUGCAAAAUUCCAUUGGAAUGGAACCUUCAAAACCAUUGUUGGACAUAGCUAAUCUCUGCAAAAACGAUGCAUUCCCUAUCCAUCUUGGGAGCUUUCCAUGCAACUUGUUGUUACUGAGAUCAAUUUCGCUUAGUGAAUUUGGAAACUCAAAAGUAGACACAUCAACAUUUGUCAUCUCUCCUGAAAAAUUAUUUCCAUCCAAAUAUAAAUGCUGCACCCCAUUUGCGCUGAGAAUCACAGGAACUACAUUUCCACUGAGGUUGUUAUUUGAUAGUCUCAAAAUGGUCAGUGAGCCUUUCGUGAUCAACUCUUCUGGUACUUUUCCAUACAAAUGAUUGUCUAAUAGAUCUAAAAAUGAUAAGUCCUUCAUGCCACUUAAACAAAGUGGGAUAUUAUCUUCAAAAGCAUUCUUGGAUAAGAAUAACCGACUCAAAUGUGGAAAAGUUGAACAUAUACCAGUUGGAAUUUGACCUUGUAAUUUGUUUUCAGAUAUGUCAAUUGAAGAUACAUCAGAAAUAAGAGCCGACGAAAGUGAGAGAGGACCUGUAAAUGAAUUACCCUUCAAGAUGAGAUCUUCUAACUUUGUGUUGUUUUCUAGCAACCAAGUUGGUACAGUUCCACUGAGAUUGUUAUGAGAAAGAUCCACAUAUCUCAAGUCAUAUUGGUAGUAAAGGAAGGUAGGAAAUUUACGAUUGAGUUGUUGAGAUGCUAUGCACUUUGGCAAUCUGAUGACUUCCAAUUGGAACUUUGGGAUUGAGGUAUAAAAGGAAGAUUCCAUUACCAUCUUGUUUUCAUUAAUCGAAAGGGCUUUGAGGUUUGAAAGGUUUGCAAAUGGUGCAAAUGACAGCGGAAUUUGAAAAUGGUUUCUUGAAACAUCUAACACACGAAGAGAUGUCAAGUUACUAAAACAACGAGGAAGCAUCCCCUCAAGUGCAUUGUUGCUCACAUCCAAUACUUCAAGGUUCUUUA